CUGAUAGCAAUAGCCAUGUGUCAUAUGAACACAUCUGAUUGGGACACGCGGUACUCUAAGCUGUUGGAUGGAGAGCGUGGCGAACCUAUUUGGCACUACAUGCCCACCAAUUACAUCAUGUUCUAUUAGAUAUAUUUAAAGUUCAUGCUCAACUAUGUAAUCUUGUUAUCUUAUCAAUAAAGCGUGUCGAGUGGAUGGAUGUUUGUUAAAAAAACUCAUCACCACUAAAAUCUGGGAGUCUUUUGACUGCUACACACCAAUAUUUUCUUUUAUUGCAUCCCAAAAAACUCUAGUCUGAUUAAUUGUAAUGUUGCACUUGGGAAUUAUUAUUUUUGCAUUUUGGUCGCUCAGAUGAGCUGUACUUGGUUUCUGCUGCCACAUCACUGGCCAAACAGAGGCGGAUUCGUGCCAUCCCAGCCACCACUGGUGAAGUAUCCUCACCAUCCCAGUAACUGUCAUUGGAGGAGACGAUUUUAGGAGAAGAAGGGAUCACCGGUCAUCCUUGAACCAUCCCCACCACCACAUAUGCCCCGUGGGGUGGCGCCGCCGGGGAAACAAGAGAGGAAGAUGUGUAGUCAAGAGAGACAUGCUAGACGGGGUAGUGAGCGAGGGGUUGUGGUUCUGUGUCGUUCUACCGAUUUAUAAUAAUCGUCACAUUUUGGGUGUAAAGGGUAUAUUCCUUUUAACAUAACUAGGAAAGUGGCCCGCUCGAUGCGUGUGCUAAGAUUUAAUGAAGUGGCACGUGGGUAUGCGGUUGUACCAAUAUAAUGUAAUCAAUGGAAUGCCAAUUAGUUGUAAAUUUUCAUAAAUUGUCUUUCUGGUCUUGGUAAAACAUGUGAUUUAUAUAAGUGGCCCAUAAGUGUUGAGUGAGGUAUAGAGUAGCUAGUAAUAAGUUCAUAAAUUUUUGAAAAUGUAAUUAUAUGUAUGAGCACACAUACCAAUCCAAACUAGUACUAUAUCUACAUGGUAAUUGUAUAUUCUUGUAUAGUUACUGCUCUUGUUUUUUAUCUGAUUAACUUAUGGCUAAGUUACUAAUUGAUGAUAGUAAGUUUGGAAUGUGAAAUACCCUACAUCUUAAGGUAUAGUGUUAAUUUGCUAAUGCCCCUCCACUUUUUCCGGUCUUUGGGACCGGCAUUGGAAGUGUUAGGCCCCCUACCCCUAUUAAUAUUCAACAAAGUUAAGAAACUUUAGUACAUUUGUGAUUAGCUAUAGUUUAAAUAAUUCCUAGAGAAGACUGAAAAUAUAACAAUUGAAUAUCAAAGCAAGUCUGAGUGCAUUAUACAUAUGAAUUAUAAUAAUUUACUGAUGCUCUCACUAUUCGUUUGCAUUACAUACUAAGCUUGUAGAAUCAAAUAUCACAUUAUAGUUUGCCGAUGUUUGGUAGUAAUGAACUAUUUCCAAUUGUUGAUGCAUGUUUGCAAUAAUUCGCUAACCAAAAUUAAUAUAUAAUAGCCUAAUGUUCAAACAGGUCUGAUUUCAUUGUAGAUGUGAAAUAUAACAAUGUCUCAAUGCCCUUAAUAUUGGUAGUAAUGAAUUAUUUUGACCUCAUCGCUAUCUUCAUCAUUUACCACUACCCAUAGUCCAUCCAUUUAUGUUAACAUUGAGAAGGGGAUGGACUACAGGUCAUGGUAAAUAAUGAAUUUUUUCAUCCAAUAUUUAGAAUCCACUCUAAAAAUUCGGCUGCCCUUUUGUAUCUCUGAUUCAUCAUGAGUUGUGCAGUUCAAUCGCAUGUUCUUUGUUAGCUUCAUUAUAUGGAAGUGCUUCCAAAGAUAUCACCUGUUAAUGGAUGCAGUGACUAUGUUGUGUCUUGUUCCCUUUGGUCCAAAAGGAUCACUAUAAAAAAAGACACAUCCGUGGCAUUUUGGCCCGAACGAAAAAAAUUAUGUCAUGCUUAUGACAUUUCUAUGACGAUAAUUAUGACAAAACCCAGUAUCAGCAUAUAUGUGGUGGGCUCCUACUUAUAUGACAAAAAAUCAUGACAAAAAAUGGGGUUUUCAAACUGGGCGAGGCGGAGACGCACUUGCAUGACAUUCUUUGGGCCGUCCAUGACGGAAAAAAUCAUGGUAGAAGCAAGGGCAAGGAAAAUUUCGGGGAGUUCCCGGUUACGGUGGGUCGUCGGGGCCGAGUGAUGCACGGAGGGAUUGCAUGUUUCUCUCAUACAUGUACGUGCGUGUGUGUGACGCGUUGGGCUCUAACUGAACCCGUUCGAGGCGUUCGCUUACUGAACCCGAGCGCUUGCACUAGCUACGUUACCGAACCCGAGCGAUCGAUCCCUGACUGUUAACUGAACCCGAGCGAUUCCUUUGCUACUGCUGCUAACUGAAGCCGAUCGAACCUGCUGCCUCUUGAUGAACAGUGACCAUUGUUGGGGGUUGGAUGAACAGUUCCUGAUGGGGGUUGGAUGAACAGGACCCAUGGUAGUAGAGGCCAUUGCCGCUGGAUGAACAGGACCCCGAUCGUGGAGGCCGGUGGAGGGUGGAUGAACAGUACCCCGUCGAGGGAUUGUUGAAUAGUAGCCGGUGGAGGCGGGAUGAACAGGACCCCGUGGAUGAAGAAUAGAUGGUGGAGGCUGGAUGAACCGGAACCCAUGGUAGUCAACGGUGGAUGAAAAGUAGCAGGUGGAUGCCGGAGGAAGUCAAUGGUGGAUGAACGGUAGCUCGUGGUGGCUGGAGCGAGGCAGUCGACGGUGGAUGAACAGUAGCCCGUGGAGUCCCAUUUUGCCGUACGACACACCCCUCUCGAUGAACAGGACCCUAUUUCGACCGUAGGCGCUCCAACACAAGCCCAUUUCCAACGUUUUGCGGUACGCCACACCCCUCCCGAUCAACAACAGCCCGUUACAACCGUAUGCACUCGAACACAAGUCCAUUUCCUCUAUUCUGCGGUACGCCAGACCCUUCCCAAUGAACAGGACACCGUUUCGACUGUACGCAGUCGAACAGAAGGCCAUUUCCUCCGUCUGCAGUAUGCCAGAGCUUGUUUCGGUUAUUCCGUCCAAGCCGGUUGGCUCUCGAUGAAAACGCGACGCUGUUUACUCUGUUCCGACCUAGCCGGUUGGCUGCCGAUGAACAGGACAGUGUCGCUGUAUGCAUUAGAGACCCCACACAUAUGUACGUACAUAGCCAUAUUUACUAUCUUGUAGCAUGGUUGUACGUAUGUGUACAUGAUAUAGACUGCGUGACAUGCAAUGUCAGCGCCUCUACUUCAACAUGUGUGGCUCCUUACCCGGCCAUGGUACGUCGCAGCAGAGAGACCGUUCGACCGCUAUGUACGUACACGUUCUUGGCCAGACAGAUAACGCUACCUUCGCUUCAACCUGGUGGGCCCCAUCUGUCAGGGGGGAAGAAGUCACUUCCUUCUGUGCGAAGGUAAAGCCAGUGGGUCCCAACUAUCAGGGGGGACAUUUUUUCACGAAAUACAGAGGCCCUUCCGAUGGGUCUGAGCUGUGAGGUGGAGGAAUCAUUAUUUUGCGCGUAAUAAGGAGGCACUUGCUUGCGUGCGGGCAUGGACCUCGCUGUCAGCCUCUCCACAUACAGUCCUCUUCUGAUGGCUGUCAUUCGUUGAUCGCGUUGACCACGCCGCACGAAGAGCACCCAGGCGGUGGACGACGGUGAGGCAGGGAACGACGCGGAGCCCGAGAACACGCAGAGGCUAGUAUGAUGGUUGACUGGUUCGACUGCGGUAUGAGGCUGUCGUUGCUAUAGAAUAACAGGGGUGUGGGUGAGUAGAGGGAUGGCCUGGCCAGCGGUGGGAGUAGGGUGGGGCGGUGAGGCCUGAGCGGCAGCACAACCGGCCACGGAGGCAAGAACAGGCGGUCCUGCCGACACUGGUUUGCGCGACUGGUGCAAGAAGAUCACAUAUUGAAGAAGUAGCGGGACCAUUUGAUUAAAAUCCAAUGGUCACUGCUGCUAGAGUCGUUUGUUGACUAAGUUGAUAAAGCCCUACGUGCGCGUCAACUUAGUAGGCCCACAGGUCAGCCUCCGAACCGGUGCACCGAAGAUGUUAGUGGGAUGAAUCAUUUUUUAGCAUAAUAAGGAGGCAGUUGCUUGCGUGCGGCCAUGGACCAUGGGGGUCCCUAUAGUCAGCCUCUUGACAUACAUCCUUGAUGAAGAUGGAGCAUAGCCAGACUAUAUGAUUUUGUAGGAACAAGCUUUCUUUGGCCAUGUUAUUUUGAGAAGACAUAAUUAUUUGUUAGUAUGCUUGAAGUAUUAUUGUUCUUAUGUUAAUAUCAAACUUUUGUUUUGAAUCUUACAGAUCUGAACAUUCAAGCCACAGUAAAGAGAAUUACAUGGAUAAAUAUGUUAGGUAGCAUUCCACAUCAAAAAUUGUGUUUUUAUCAUUUACCUACUCGAGGAUGAGCAGGAAUUAAGCUUGGGGAUGCUUGAUACAUCUCCAACGUAUCUAUAAUUUUUGAUUGUUCCAUGCUAUUAUAUUAUAUGUUUUGAAUGUUUUAUAUGCAUUAAUAUACUAUUUUAUAUGAUUUUUGGGACUAACCUAUUAACCUAGAGCCCAGUGCCAGUUUCUAUUUUUUCCUUGUUUUAGAGUUUCGCAGAAAAGGAAUACCAAACAGAGUCCAAACGGAAUAAAAUUUUCGCGGUGAUUUUUCUUGGACCAGAAGACACCCAGGAGACUUGGAGUGCGAGUCAAAAGAGCCACGACGCGGCCACAAGGGUGGAGGGUGCGCCUAGGGGGGUUGGGCGCGCCCCCCGACCUUUUGGGCUCGAUGACCCCCUGACCUAGAUCGUCCUCCUAUAUAUUCUCAUAUACCCCGAGAACUUCCAAGAGAGCCACGAAACCACUUUUCCACUGCCGCAACCUUCUGUACCCAUGAGAUCCCAUCUAGGGACCUUUUCCGGCAUCCUGCCAGAGGGUAUUCGAUCACGGAGGGCUUCUACAUCAACACCAUUGCCUCUCCAAUGAAGCGUGAGUAGUUUACCACAGACCACGGGUCCAUAGCUAGUAGCUAGAUGGCUUCUUCAUUCUCUUUGAUUCUCAAUACUAUGUUCUCCUCGAUGUUCUUGGAGAUCUACUUGAUGUAAUACUCUUUUGCAGUGUGUUUGCCGAGAUCCGAUGAAUUGUGGAUUUAUGAUCAACUUAUAUAUGAAUAUUAUUUGAAUCUCCUCUCAAUUCUUAUAUGCAUGAUUCGAUAUCUUUGCAAGUCUCUUCGAACUAUCAAUUUGGAUUUGCCAACUAGAUUGGUUUUUCUUGCAAUGGGAGAAGUGCUUAGCUUUGGGUUCAAUCUUGCGGUGCUCGAUCCUAGUGACAGAAGGGGAACCGACACGUAUUGUAUUGUUGCCAUCGAGGAUAACAAGAUGUGGUCUUCAUCAUAUUGCUUGAGUUAAUCCCGCUACAUCAUGUCAUCUUACUUAAUGUGUUACUCUAUUGUUAUGAACUUAAUACUCUAGAUGCAGGCAGGAGUCGGUCGAUGUGUGGAGUAAUAGUAGUAGAUGGAUAAUCGUUUCUGUCUCCUUGACAUGGACGUGAUGUCUAUAUUCAUGAUCAAUGCCUUAGAUAUCGUCAUAACUUUGCGCUUUUCUAUCAAUUGCUCGGUAGUAAUUUGUUCACCCACCAUAAUAAUUUCUAUCUUUCAGAGAAGCCUCUAGUGAAACCUAUGGCCCUCGGGUCUAUUUUCCAUCAUAGAAGUAUCCGACCAGGGGUUGUGUACAUGGAGAGGCAACGGACGACAGCAACGGCAUCCUAUUCAUCGGGCAGCGAACCGGCUGGGUUGGAAUGGAGAAACAUCAUCCUGUUCAUCGGGAAACAACCGACUAGGUCGGAAUGCGUCCUGUUCAACGGGAGCCAACCGGCUUGGACGGAAUAGCCAAAAUGGGGUCUGGUGUACCGUAGAACGGAGGAAACGGCCUUCUGUUUGACCAGCCAAGGUCGAAACGGGAUCCUGUUCAUUGGGAGGGGUCUGGCGUACCGCAAAACAGAGGAAACGGACUUGUGUUCGAGUGCCUACAGUCGAAACAUGGUCCUGUUGAUCGGGAGGGGUGUAGCAUACCGCAAAACGAAGGAAAUGGACUUGUGUUGGAGCGCCUACGGUCGACACGGGGUCCUGUUCAUCCACUGUCUACUGCCUCGCACCAGCCUCCACGGGCUACUUUUCAUCCACCGUCGACCUCCUCCACCCUCCACGGGCUACUAUUCAUCAUCGACUACUGUUCUCCCAGCCUCCAUCGGCUGGUGUUCAUAGAGCCUCCACGUGGUCUUAUUCAUCCACCCCAACCGGCUGGGGUGCGUAGGACUCCUCAUGGUCUUGUUCAUCCAGCGACAACGGCCUACUACCACAAGGUCCUGUUCAUCCAACCCCCACCAGGAACUGUUCAUCCAUAGCCAACCACUCGGCUCGACUCACCAUGUCUCGAAUCGUUCUACGUACCGCUCGCACGGUACCAACAGUCACUCUUCAUCGAGAGGCAAUCCAACACUGGUUGGCUAGCUACGUCUCGCACGGUGGCUCCAUCAGCUUCAGUAAGCAGCAGCAGUGAUCGAUCGCUCGGGUUCAGUUAGCAGCAACAGCAAAUGAAUCGCUCGAGUUCAGUCAACAACGAGCUUGGGUUCAGUUAACAGUCAAGGGAUUGAUCGCUCGGGUUCAGUAACAUGCGAUCGCUCCGAGUUCAGUAAGCCAACGCCUCGCACACACGCGCGUCCACGAGAGAAACGCGCAGACCAUAGUGCAUCGCUCAGCCCCGACCACCCACCGUAACUAGUAACUCCGCGAUAUUUCCUCUCCCUCGCUUCAACCAUGAUUCUUUCCGUCAUGGACGGACCAAAUAGUUAAAGGAAAUAUGCCCUAGAGGCAACAAUAAAGUUUUUACUUAUAUUUUCUUAUAUCAUGAUAAAUGUUUAUUAUUCAUGCUAGAAUUGUAUUAACCGGAAACUUAGUACAUGUGUGAAUACAUAGACAAACAGAGUGUCCCUAGUAUGCCUCUACUUGACUAGCUUGUUAAUCAAAGAUGGUUAAGUUUCCUAGCCAUAGACAUGUGUUGCCAUUUGAUGAACGGGAUCACAUCAUUAGAGAAUGAUGUGAUGGACAAGACCUAUCUGUUAGCUUAGCAUAAUGAUCGUUUUGUUUUUCUGCUAUUGCUUUCUUCAUGACUUCUACAUGUUCCUCAGACUACGAGAUUAUGCAACUCCCGGAUACCGGAGGAACACCUUGUGUGCCAUCGAACGUCACAAUGUAACUGGGUGAUUAUAAAGAUGCUCUAUAGGUGUCUCCCAUGGUGUUUGUUGAGUUGGCAUAGAUCAAGAAUAGGAUUUGUCACUCCGUGUUUCGGAGAGGUAUCUCUGGGCCCUCUCGAUGAUGCAUUACGGAACGAGUAAAGAGACUUGCCGGUAAUGAGAUUGAACUAGAUAUGAUGAUACCGACGAUCGAAUCUCGGGCAGGUAACAUACCGAUGACAAAGGGAACAACGUAUGUUGUUAUGCGGUUUAACCAAUAAAGAUCUUCAUACAAUAUGUAGGAACCAAUAUGAGCAUCUAGGUUCUGCAAUUGGUUAUUGACCAGAGAUGUGUCUCGGUCAUGUGUACAUAGUUCUCGAACUCGUAGGGUCCGCACGCUUAACGUUCGAUGCUGAUUUGUAUUAUGAGUUAUGUGAUUUGAUGUACCAAAGGUUGAUCGGAGUCUCGAAUGAGAUCACGGACAUGACGAGGAUUCUCAUAAUGGUCGAGACAUAAAGAUUUAUAUAAUGGACCAUGUUAUUCGGACACCGGAAGCAUUCCGGAUAGUUUCGGAUAAAACCGGAGUGCCGGAAGGGUUACCGGAACCCCCUGGGGAAGUAACGGGCUUUAGUGGGCCUUAGGGGUGAGAGAGGGCAGCAGCCAGGUGGUGGCACCCCCUAGGGGAGUCCAAAUAGGACUAGGGGAGGGGGCGCGGCCCCUCUUUCCCUCUCCCUCUCCAUUUCCAUCCUUCUUCUCCUACUUGGACUAGGAAAGGGGGAGCCGAUUCCUACUUGCAGUAGGACUCCCCCCUUGGGCGCGCACAUAGGGCCGGCCGGCCUCCUCCUCCCCUCCUUUAUAUACGGGGAGGAGGCACCCCAUAGACGCACAAGUUGAUCUUUUAGCCAUGUGCGGUGCCCCCCUCCAUAGUUACACACCUCGGUCAUAUCGUUGUAGUGCUUAGGCGAAGCCCUGCAUCGGUAACUUCAUCAUCAUUGUCACCACAUUGUUGUGCUGACGGAACUCUCCCUCUGGCUCAACAGGAUCAAGAGUUCGAGGGACGUCAACAAGCUGAACGUGUGCUAAUCGUGGAGGUGACGUGUGUUCGGUACUUGGAUUGGUUGGAUCGCGAAGACGUUCGACUACAUCAACCGCGUUACUAAACGCUUCCGCUUUCAGUCUACGAGGGUACGUAGACACACUCUCCCCUCCCGUUGCUAUGCAUCUCCUAGAUAGAUCUUGUGCGAUCGUAGGUAAUUUUUUUGAAAUACUGCGUUCCCCAAAAGUGGUAUCAGAGCGAGGUUUAUGCGUAGAUAUUAUAUGCACGAGUAGAACACAAAGAGUUGUGGGCGAUAAUAGUCACACUGCAUACCAGCAUGUCAUACUUUGAUUUGGCGGUAUUGUUGGAUGAAGCGGCCCAAACCGACAUUACAUGACCGCGUUCAUGAGACUGGUUCUACCGCCGUGCUUCGCACACAGGUGGCUAGUGGAUGUCUAUUUCUCCAACUUUAGUUGAAUCGAGUGUGACUACGCCCGGUCCUUGUUGAAGGUUAAAACAGCACACUUGAUGAAAAAUCAUUGUAGUUUUGAUGCGUAGGUAAGAACGGUUCUUGCUAGAAGCCCGUAGCAGCCACGUAAAACUUGCAACAACAAAGUACAGGAUGUCUAACUUGUUUUUGCAGGGCUUGCUGUGAUGUGAUAUGGUCAAGACGUGAUGAUAUAUAAAUUGUUGUAUGAGAUGAUCAUGUUUUAUAACAGUUAUCGACAACUAGCAGGAGCCAUAUGGUUGUCGCUUUGUAAUUGCUUUACUUUAUCACUAAGCGGUAGUGAUAGUCGUAGAAGCAAUAGUUGGCGAGAUGACAACAAUGCUUCGAUGGAGAUCAAGGUGUCAAGCCGGUGACGAUGGUGAUCAUGAUGGUACUUUGGAGAUGGAGAUCAAAGGCACAAGAUGAUGAUAGCCAUAUCAUAUCACUUAUAUGAUUGCAUGUGAUGUUUAUCUUUUUAUGUAUCUUAUUUUGCUUAGUUUGGCGGUAGCAUUAUAUCAUGAUCUCUCACUAAAUUGCAAGGUAUAAGUGUUCUCCCUGAGUAUGCACCAUUGCUAUAGUUCGUCGUGCCGAGACACCACGUGAUGAUCAGGUGUGAUAAGCUCUACGUUCACAUAUAACGGGUGCAAGCCAGUUUUGCACAAGCAGAAUACAGGUUAAACUUGAUGAGCCUAGCAUAUGCAGAUACGGCCUCGGAACACUGAGACCAAAAGGUCGAGCGUGAAUCAUAUAGUAGAUAUGAUCAACAUAGUGAUGUUCACCAUUGAAAACUUCUCCAUCUCACGUGAUGAUCGGACAUGGUUUAGUUGAUAUGGAUCACGUGAUUAUUUAGGUGACUAGAGGGAUGUCUAUCUAAGUGGGAGUUUUUAAGUAAUAUGAUUAAUUAAACUUCAAUUUAUCAUGAACUUUGUAUGUGAUAGUAUUUUGCAUGUCUAUGUUGUUGUAGAUAAAUGGCAUGUCCUACUGUUCCUUUGAAUUUUAAUGCAUUCCUAGAGAAAGCUAAGUUGAAAUAUGAUGGUAGCAACUACACGGACUGGGUCCAUAACUUGAGGAUUAUCCUCAUUGCUGCAUAGAAGAAUUAUGUCCUGGAAGCACCGCUAGGUGCAAAGCCCGCUGCAGGAGCUACUCUAGAUGUUAUGAACGUUUGGAAGAGCAAAGCCGAUGACUACUCGAUAGUUCAGUGUGCCAUGCUUUACGGCUUAGAAUCGGGACUUCAACGACAAUUUGAACAUCAUGGAGCAUAUGAGAUGUUCCAGGAGUUGAAGUUUAUAUUUCAAGCAAAUGCCCGGACUGAGAGAUAUGAAGACUCCAAUAAGUUCUAAAGUUGCAAGAUGGAGGAGAAUAGUUCUGUCAGUGAACAUAUACUCAGAAUGUCUGGGUACCACAACCACUUGACUCAACUAGGAGUUAAUCUUCCUGAUGAUUGUUUCAUUGACAGAGUUCUUCAAUCACUACCACCAAGCUACAAAAGCUUCAUGAUGAACUAUAAUAUGCAAGGGAUGGAUAAGACAAUUCCCAGCUCUUUGCAAUGCUAAAAGCUGCGGAGGUAGAAAUCAAGAAGGAGAAUCAAGUGUUGAUGGUCAAAAAGACCACUAGUUUCAAGAAGAAGGGCAAAGGGAAGAAGGGGAACUUCAAGAGGAAUGGCAAGCAAGUUGCUGCUCAAGUGAAGAAGCCAAAGUCUGGACGUAAGCCUGAGACUGAGUGCUUCUGCUGCAAAGGGACUGGUCACUAGAAGCAGAACUGCCCCAAGUAUUUGGAGGAUAAGAAGGAUGGAAAAGUAAAAGGUAUAUUUGAUAUACAUGUUAUUGAUGUGUACCUUACUAAUGCUUGCAGUAGCGCCUGGGUAUUUGAUACUGGUUCCAUUGCUAAUAUUUGCAACUUGAAACAGGGGCUAUGGAUUAAGGGAAGAUUGGCUAAGGAUGGGGUGACGAUGCACGUGGGAAAUGGUUCCAGAGUCGAUCUGAUCGCGGUCGGCAUGCUACCUCUACAUCUACCUUCGGGAUUAGUUUUAGACAUGUAUAAUUGUUAUUUGGUGCCCGCGUUAAGCAUGAACAUUAUAUCUAGAUCUUGUUUGAUGUGAGAUGGUUAUUCAUUUAAAUCAGAGAAUAAUGGUUGUUCUAUUUAUAUGAGUAAUAUCUUUUAUGGUCAUGCACCCUUGAUGAGUGGUCUACUUUUAUUGAAUCUCGAUAGUACUGAUACACAUAUUCAUAGUAUUGAAGCCAAAGAUAUAAGUUUAAUAAUGAUAGUGCAACUUAUUUGUGGCAGUGCCAUUUAGGUCAUAUUGGUGUAAAGCGCAUGAAGAAACUACAUGCUCAUGGGCUUUUGGAAUCACUUGAUUAUGAAUCACUAGAUGCUUGCAAAACAUCCCUCAUUGGCAAGAUGACUAAGACUCUGUUCUCCAAAACAAUGGAGCGAGCAACAGAACUAUUAGAAAUAAUACAUACUGAAGUAUGCAGUCCGAUGAGUGUUGAUGCUCGCGGCGGGUAUCGUUAUUUUUUGACCUUCACAGAUGAUUUGAGCAGAUAUGGGUAUAUCUACUUGAUGAAGCAUAAGUCUGAAACUUUUGAAAAGUUCAAAGAAUUUCAGAGUGAAGUGGAAAAUCAUCAUAACAGGAAAAUUAAGUUUCUUCGAUCUGAUCAUGGAGGUGAAUAUUUGAGUUAUGAGUUUGGUCUUCAUUUGAAACUAUGCAGAUUAGUUUCGCAACUCACGCCACCUGGAACACCACAGCGUAAUGGUGUGUCCGAACAUCGUAAUCGCACUUUAUUAGAUAUGGUGUGAUCUAUGAUGUCUCUUACUGAGUUACCACUAUUGUUUUGGGGUUAUUCUUUAGAGAUGGAUGCAUUCACGUUAAAUAGGGCACCAUCAAAAUCCGUUGAGAUGACACCAUAUGAACUGUGGUUUGGCAAGAAACCCAAAUUGUCGUUUAUUAAAGUUUAGGGCUGCGAUGCUUAUGUGAAAAAGCUUCAAACAGAUAAGCUCGAACCCAAAUCGGAGAAAUGUGUCUUUAUAGGAUACCCAAAGGAGAUUAUUGGGUACACCUUCUAUCACAGAUCCGAAGGCAAGUUAUUCGUUGCUAAGAAUGGAUCGUUUCUAGAGAAGGAGUUUCUCUCGAAAGAAGUGAGUGGGAGGAAAGUAGAACUUGAUGAGGUAACUGUACCUUCUCCCUUAUUGGAAAGUAGUUCAUCACAGAAAUCAGUUCCAGUGAGUCCUACACCAAUUAGUGAGGAAGCUAAUGAUGAUGAUCAUGAAACUUCUAAUCAAGUUACUACCGAACCUCGUAGGUCAAUCAGAGUAAGAUCCGCACCAGAGUUGUACGGUAAUCCUGUUCUGGAAGUCAUGUUACAUGACCAUGACGAACCUACGAACUAUGAGGAAGCGAUGAUGAGCCCAGAUUCCAGAAAAUGGCUUGAGGCCAUCAAAUCUGAGAUGGGAUCCAUGUAUGAGAACAAAGUAUGGACAUUGGUUGACUUGCCCAAUGAUCGGCACGCCAUAGAGAAUAAAUGGAUCUUCAAGAAGACGACUGACGCUAACGGUAACAUUACUGUCUACAAAGUUUGACUUGUUGUGAAAGGUUUUCGACAAGUUCAAGGAGUUGACUACAAUGAUACCUUCUCACCCAUAGAGAAGCUUAAGUCUAUCCGAAUCAUGUUAGCAAUUACCGUAUUUUAUGAUUAUGAAAUUUGGAAAAUGGAUGUCAAAAUUGCAUUCCUUAAUUGAUAUCUCAAAGAAGAGUUGUAUAUGAUGCAACCACAAGGUUUUGUCGAUCCUAAAGGUGCUAACAAAGCAUGCAAACUCCAGCGAUCCAUUUAUGGACUAGUGCAGGCCUCUCGGAGUUGGAAUAUAUGCUUUGAUAGUGUGAUCAAAGCAUAUGGUUUUGUAAAGACUUUUGGAGAAGCCUAUAUUUACAAGAAAGUGAGUGGGAGCCUCUAUCAAGGAGGGAGACAUAGAGAUUUGCAAGAUACAUAUGGAUCUGAAUGUUGCAGACCCGUUGGCUAAGCCUCUCUCAUGAGCAAAACAUGAUCAACACCAAGACUCCAUGGGAGUUAGAAUCAUUACUAUGUAAUCUAGAUUAUUGACUCUAGUGCAAGUGGGAGACCGAAGGAAAUAUGCCCUAGAGGCAAUAAUAAAGUUGUUAUUUAUAUUUCCUUAUAUCAUGAUAAAUGUUUAUUAUUCAUGCUAGAAUUGUAUUAACUGGAAACUUAGUACAUGUGUGAAUACAUAGAAAAACAGAGUGUCCCUAGUAUGCCUCUACUUGAGUAGCUCGUUAAUCAAAGAUGGUUAAGUUUCCUAGCCAUAGACAUGUGUUGUCGUUUGAUGAACGGGAUCACAUCAUUAGAGAAUGAUGUGCUGGACAAGACCCAUCCGUUAGCUUAGCAUAAUGAUCGUUCAGUUUUUCUGCUAUUGCUUUCUUCAUGACAUAUACAUGUUCCUCAGACUAUGAGAUUAUGCAACUCCCGAAUACCGGAGGAACACGUUGUGUGCUAUAAAGGUCACAACAUAACUGGGUGAUUAUAAAGAUGCUCUACAGGUGUCUCCGAUGGUGUUUGUUGAGUUGGCAUAUAUCGAGAAUAGGAUUUGUCAGUCCGUGUUUUGGAGAUGUAUCUUUGGGCCCUCUCGAUAAUGCUCAUCAAUAUAAGACUUGCAAGCAAAGUGACUAAUGAGUUAGUUGCGGGAUGAUGCAUUACUGAACGAGUAAAGAGACUUGCUGGUAACGAGAUUGAACUAGGUAUGAUGAUACCGAUGAUCGAAUCUCGGGCAGGUAACAUACCGAUGACAAAGGGAACAACGUAUGUUGUUAUGCGGUUUGAUCGAUAAAGAUCUUUGUAGAAUAUGUAGGAACCAAUAUGAGCAUCGAGGUUCCACAAUUGGUUAUUGACCAGAAAUGUGUCUCAGUGAUGUCUACAUAGUUCUCGAACUCGUAGUGUCCGCACGCUUAACAUUCGAUGACAAUUUGUAUUAUCAGUUAUGUGAUUUGAUGUACCGAAGGUUGUUUGGAGUCCUGGAUGAGAUCACAUACAAGACGAGGAUUCUCGAAAUGAUCGAGACAUGAAUAUUGAUAUAUUGGACCAUGUUAUUCAGACACCGGAAGCAUUCUGGAUAGUUUCGGAUAAAACUAUAGUGCCAGAAGGGUUACUGAAACCCCCUGGGGAAGUAAUGGGCCUUAGUGGGCCUUAGGGGAGAGAGAGGGCACCACCCAGUAGGUGGUGCCUAUCGGAUCACGGGUUCCGGCAAAACCCUUAAGGUUCAAACUCUGGGGUGUGCGCGAAUACCUCCGCCCCCCUAUCGAUCCGUGUCCUAACUUAGCCUAGAUCUCACAAACUAACUCGACAAACUCGCAACACAAAGGACACAAGAUUUAUACAGGUUCGGUCCACCGUUGUGGUGUAAUACCCUACUCCAGUGUGGUGGUGGUGGAUUGCCUCUUGGGUUGAGGAUGAACAGUAGAAGGGGAAGAACAGCCUCCUGAGGUUGAGGUGUUCUUGUGCUUGGUGGACUUGUGUGGCUGGGGGUGACAUUGGAUCCUCUCCCUCCCUAUGGUGGUGGCUAGUCCUAUUUAUAGAGGCCCUGGUCCUCUCCCCAAAUAUUGAGCGGGAAGGGAGCCAACAACGGCCAAUUUGAAAGGGGACAUCUAGUACAAGCUAUCCUGACAAAAGGUGGUCUUCGCCUGCCAAAGGUUCUGGCGGUGACGCCGUCCUGGGCUCCAUGGUGACCUCUGUCUUGCCGUCCUUCUGGUCUUGGUCUCGUCGCACCAAUAUGGAAACCUUCGCUUGAUGCCUCGGUACUCCGCGCCUACGCUUGCCCCCUUAGCACCAAAGGGGAAACAAGGACGAUGCGCGUGCUGGCGCCCGCCUGGUCUCAAUCAUCAUGGCUUACGUCAGGGAAACCUCACGAGGUUUGCCCAACUUUGAACUCUCCGCCCCACACGAGCCAGCCUGAUGAGGCUACUCCUGAGGAGGUCUUGUGUCGUCCGCCUCGCGAGGCUUGGCCCCUCGCGAGGGUCUUGAUUCCUUGUUGAUGAAGAUGGUCCAUACAGGGCAGCCAGCAAAGCCAUGCCGUGGGCCGCAGGCAGGCAAGUCUGGGGACCCCCGUUCCCAGAAUGCUGACAGUAGCCCCCGGGCCCAAGGCGCGCUCGGGCUUGGCUUCGAGGUGAAGCCAAGGGUCAAGCUUGGAGUGCCGCGGGCCCUAAUAGCCUGCGGCCUUGGUCGACGCAUUUUAGUUGAUUGGACGUCGACGUCUCCGCUUCCGCACGCUGCCUUGAUACCCGCCUGGCUAAAUGGCCACCGCGGUCUACACGGUUAUUCUUCCAUCGCUUGCGCCAUUCUCUUCAGUUUCCCCUGCUUCCUCCAGACUCUGCUCCUCUUUCCAAUCUGACCUUAGCUCUGCUCGCCCCAUCGCCGUGGCACUGACGCAAGCGGAUAAAGGGAAGAAGCCUCUGUCUUCGGCUAGUGCGCCCCCGGCCGCCGAGCCCGCAAUAGGCCGAUCGCGGGUGCUCAAUGAUGAGGCCGUGGGCAAGGUGUGUCUCAUGCUCGCAUCCAGCUUCAACAAGCCGGGAGAAAUGGUGGCUUGGCAUGUUUCCCGUGCUCGCAUUGACCAGACGGCCUCUGAGGUCCCCUUCUUCAUUGACGCCCUCUGGGCCGGCUUGGUCCCUCCUUUCUCCGCCUUUCUCAAAGCAGUGCUUUCCCAUCACUAGAUCCACAUGCUGCACCUUGAUCCCCAAUCCGUGACCCUGCUUGCUGUCUUCGCCUUCGUUUGUGAGGCCAUGGUCGGCAUUGCUCCUUCCGUGGCUCUUUUUUGCCACUUCUUCUUGCUGCACCUGAUUGAUCCUAGGCAGAGCUCCAGGUGCCUGAGCUUUCUGGCUGUGGUGGCGACGACUGGCGAUGGGAUUGACUUCGAGCUUCCACCAUCCGCGAGCGGGUUCCAGACACGGUGGGUGUUUGUUGACGCUAGAGUGCUCAGCCCCCUGCUCUCUUCUCCGUCUAAGCCCGCCAUUCCUAACUCUGGCUGGUGCCACCGGAGGCUCGCCGAUCCACGCCUUGUCCCCGUCUGGCUGAGGUUAAGAUGGCUCAAAGACCUUGGCGUGACUGCGCCUAUGGUGGUGAGGGAGUUCGUCCGGCGUCAAAUUGCUCCGCUUCAGUGCCACUCCCGGCCGAUGUGGGCCUUGCUCAGCAGCCAGGACCACAUGAGACUUUAGGAGUCUAAGCUCCCCCAUGAGGCGCGGCGAACGGUGUUUGAGGUCCUAACGGGCGUCUCGUUGCCGGACGACAUGCCAAGGAAGAGUUGUGUUUUGUAUCGCUGCUCGAACAAGAUGUCCUUCGUGGAGCAGAUGCCCUCCUCCGACGAGUGGGGGUUGCGCCCAGCUGGCCUCGUGGGCCCCGCGAGAACCCCAUCAUCGUGGUUCCUUUCCUCGACGCUGGCGCAAAGCUCCCCCAAGUGUUGGAGCAGGGGGGCAUGCAUCGUUGGGGGCCGAUAGUGAAGGUGCUGAGAUGCUGAUGUCGCGCAGGGCUCCUAAAGCGUCGACCUCGGGGUCCCGUGACUCUUGCCCUGGGGCGACUGCUGAAGGUGCGGUGCAGCCCGCGUCUCCCGCGGCCGGGGCUCAUGAGGCCUUGGCAAGUCACUGUGAGGUAGAUGCGGCCAGCUCUCCUCAGCCUGGCGCAUCUAAGGCUGCCCCUCGGAGCACUUCUCCAGCCGCGCCUCAUGUCGGCCUCCAUGUCCAGUGCUUUGGCUGGCUAUGCAUGGACUUCGCAGAACUCCGCAAGAGAAAGGGGUCCCCAAGCUGCGGCAACGGUACCUUCGGGUCAUUGAAAUGGAGGAAGUAUAUCGCCGUUGACGAGUAAAUAUCUUAUCUUGGUGAUCUUCCGUGUGCUGCUUUCCUUCCUGACGAUCGUUCCCUCAUGACCCUUUUUGCCAAGGCUAUAAAAUCUCCUUAGAAGCAUCUCCCUCUCGCCCCGUUGCACACGCCAAGCUCGAGCGCCACAGGCUCGUGCAUCGCCCACGAUGUUGGGUCCACCACGGGAGUUGGCUGGUCAUCAGGGCAUCUUUAGCUCACGCCUUCGUCAUCCUUCCUUCGUGGCCAGGCUUGGAGCACGGCAAGUGUGCGAAGGGCUCCUCCCCUGAUCACUGCUGGCGGCUGGCUGGCUUUGUUCUUGGGGUCCUCUUCAAGUAGAGGGCCCCGUUUAGUUUGGGCCCCUCGCGAGACCCAGCCGGCGCCUGGGCAGCGCCAGCCCAUUGCCCCUGCUGAGAGGGGACGUACCGCGUCGGGCAUCACCCACAGCCCCUGUAGCGCAGGGCGAGAUGAUCCAUGCGCUCGAGUUCGAGCACGGGCAGAGCGUUGCUCGUCAUGAGCUCUUCCAGGAGGCGAUGGGCGCAAUGAACCGACUCAGUGAAGAACUUGAGGGUGUCGAUGCGUGCCUCGAGGCCGAGGGUCUUCGGUUGGCGGAGGAGUGGCACAAGAUGCGGGUGGCCAUCGACCUCGGGCUCCAACAGCGCGAGCGGGACAACAGGAAGGCCGAGGCUUCUCUUGUAGCCUCCCGUGAGGCCUGCUCACGAGCUCUGGAGGAGGCUCGGGAAGCUGACCGCCGUCGCGAGGCCGCGGAGAAAUGUGCGUGGGAGCUCCAAUCCUGGAGCGCUGUCUUGGAUCAGCAGGUGGAGGCACGCAGGGCUGCUCUUGCGUCUUUGAGGGGGUCGCCCGCCGAGGAGGAAUGUCACAGCCCUAGUUCAGCCCUUGCUUGUCUUUGCAUCAUCACCUUGCAUCAUGAUUAAAUUCCAUUAAAAUUUGGAAAUGGGGAUUGCCUAAACCCUAGCAUUAAAGGAAUUAACUAGGUUCAAACUUAAAACUUUUCAAUGAACCCAAAAUGCCCUUCAUAAAUGUCCACCAUCUUUGGUCCUGGCUAAACCCUCUGCCAAAAAUGGUUUCAUAUUUUUGGAGGCUAUUCGGGAUUUUUGAAUUAAAUCACAAGUUGUGUCAGGUCUGAUUCAUCAGAAAUGAAUCGGAGGUGUGUUAACAUGUCCUACUAUGUUUGAGCUAAGUGUGUGAACACGUUUUAGUAAAGGUAGCGGUGAGAGGCCAUGUAGGAGUACAUGGUGGGUUGUCUCAUUGAAACUGUCCUCAGGAAGUGAGUUCUGUGUCUGUGAUCCAUGAACAACUACUACCACUCAUUGGGAUCCUUAAUUGACCCUCUCGGCUUCUUAAUCACCCUAGUACUCUGUCCAGGAGUUGCAACUAGUUUCUGGUGUUUGUAGGUUAUGUGUUGGCGGCCGUGCGUAGCGCUGACCCUAGGGGUGGGCUAUGUUGCGGUAGAUACACCAUGGCACGGUGUACCGGGCGCCCGUUUGGUGACUCGGGAACCCUGUUCACAUCGUUCGGGGCCGUAUGUGGAAACCUCAGUCGGACUCCCUGCGGAUGGAACCUGGAUAGGCGAUAAACCUAGACUAGAGACUUAAGUGUUUAGGUAGGCCGUGGCCGACACCCUCGCCAGGCUUCCGCUUGAAGAUUGCCGAGAUACAUGACGUGUAUAUGGUGGUAAGUGGUGGGAGCGUGUGUGAAGAAGUACACCCCUGCAGGGUUAUCAUUAUCUAUUUGAAUAGCUGAAUUCCUCGGAUAUGGAAACUUGGACCCCUUGCAUAGUUCAUAGACAAGUGAAAGUGGAUACUCUAAAACUCGCAAGAUAAGUGUGAGUGCUAUGGAUGGCGUUCUCGUAGGGAGACGGGAACGGGUCCAUAGUGGUGUAUUGAUAUGGUGAAUGUGUGGACUCGUGUGCGCCACCUCAAAAGUGUUACUUGAAGUCAUAGUUUAAGAUAGCCACCGAGUCAAAGAUGGCUUGCUGCAGUUAAACUCCACCACCCCCUCCUUUGUUGAUACCAAUGCAUAUGUAGCUAGUUCUGAUGUAAGUCUUGCUGAGUACUUUUGUACUCACGUUUGCUUAAUUUAUGUUUUGCAGAGAGACUCCAGUCUCGCUAGUAAUUUCACGUGGACUUCGACGUUAGCUUGAUACCUCAGCUACGAUCUUGUGCCCUCGGCAGGAUCUGGUAGCUAGUCAGGCUUCUUAGCCUUUUUCAUUUGUACAUGUCUGUACUCAGACAUGUUAAGCUUGCGCUUGUGCCUUGAUUUGUAUGCUAUGUUUGUUGGGUCAUGAGACCCAUUUUUGUAAUUUCUCGCUCCUCGGAGUCUAAUGAAUAAAUACUUGAGUCGUAGAGUCUUGUUGUGAUGCCAAGUUGUAUGUACUCAUAUCGGGCAUAUUGUGUGUAUGAUUGAAAUGCUUGGUAUGAGUGGGAUCCGACAAUCUAGUUGUUUAUCCUUGGCAGCCUAUCAUAUGGGGAAAUGUAGUCUAGUGCUUUCUGAGCGAUAGUAGUCCGCUACAGCCCGGUUCACCGGAGUCCUGCUAGCCCAGCACUACUGCUCGGAACACUUGACUGGCCGGCAUGUGUUUCACUUUGUUCCUGUGUCUGUCCCUUCGGGGAAAUGUCACGCGGUGACAUCCGGAGUCUUGCCUAGCCUGCUACAGCCCGGGUUACCGGAGUCCUGUUAGCCCAGUGCUACAGCCCGGAUUCACACGCUGUUGACCGACAUGCUCGAAGUUGAUUCAUGUAUGCCUGUCCCCAUGGGUUAGUGCCGCUUUGGGUUCACGACUAGCCAUGUCGGCCCGGGUUCUCUGUCAUAUGGAUGCUAGCGACACCAUCAUAUACGUGAGCCAAAAGGUGCAAAUAGUCCCGGGCCAGGUAAGGUGGCACCCGUGGGAAUACCGUGCGUGAGGCCGCAAAGUGAUAUGAUGUGUUACAUGCUAGAUCGGUGUGACUUAGGAUCGGGGUCCUAACAGCGUUGGUAUCAGAGCCUGACUGCCUGUAGGAUUACCAAGCCAAGCUGGUCGAAGUCGUGUCUAGAAAUGCUUUAGUUAUGUAAGGGAAUCGAUUGUGGAAGGGAACGUAAGGCUCUUUUUACUCCUUUUACCUUAUGUCCUUCUGAUCUGAGUCAACCUCUUCUUUUCUACGGGGAUUAAGAACUAGGCCUUCUCAACUAUCUAUUAGGAUGACGUGUUACUAAACCGUAGUUGCCUAGGAUUCUUGAGUUUAAGCCCGAGUUCGGUUCCUACUUCUUCCAUGUGUUCUUAGUUGAUCUCAGAACAUUGAUAUUGUGAUGUUGAGUGGUUAUGCCACCAUUUUGCAGGAUGUCUCAAAUCUUUUUAAGCAUUUAUAGCCGUUAUGCUGUCCGAGUCACCCCAGGUUUCUAAACAAUCUGAUGCAUUUUCAAAUCCUUUCUUUCUGUUCCUGAUGUCCUUUUUGGUCAGAAUAAGCACACUAAUCGGUGAGUUGAGGUACUCUGUUGCCUCGACAUAUAUGUUCGAGUUAUUAUUAUGACCCUAGGUGUCUUAGGGGAUCACCUAGUAAUCUAGCCAUGUUUUGUGUUCCCAGUGUGAUGAUUCUGGCCACCAUUCUCGAAAGCAUCCCGUGAUGCCAUUUAGUAGUAGGUAUUCUACUCUUGGGCUUUUGAACCCGAGAUUCACUCUACUUACCCCAUGUUGAUAGUGUUUGCUAGUUCCUUUAUGAUAUUAGUAACCUUGCCUUAGUCCUCGAGGUCCGUGGUAUUUCCUUCUCCCAAAUACUAUGAACCACUUAUGGUAGAAGUUUGUUGGAUCAGAAGCUCACAACAAGAGUGCUCUCGAUGAGUUCCCCAUUCUAUAUUGUGAUUCUGCCAGUCCUACCUCUCUGCAUGGGUUAUCCAAAAGAAACAUGUUGAACUUGGUUCGGCAUACUAGUCUAUGCAUCCACAACUCAAAAAGAUAUAUGUUCUUUGAGUUGUCCCCCUUCAGUUAUAUUCCAACCUUCUUCUAUCAGUUGAUAGCCAAGAGUAUGUGUGCAUUUGUGUUCAUUGAUGCCUAUUAUUCUUGUGGUCCGUCCAGCCAUUCUAUUCCAGAAUGACUAGGAGAAACAAACUCCAGCACCUCAUCCAUAUCUAGGAUUGGGUCAAAGCAGUUGUAUUCCGCAGAUCAAAUGCAAUCAAGCUUUUGAGUCUAUUCUACCCUGAAGUAUUACCCACUUUAUGUCAAGAAUAUCAUGAGAAUUGCACCAUCUCUUAUGAAUUCUUGAUGUGGUGAUACUUCUUGCCAUCAUUUUUCAUUCCUCGGUCCCAUGUUGUCGCAACCGGAAUACCGACAAGUGAAUAGUGAUGUGUGAAAUCAAUACUCCUAGCAACCCUUUGCUUGGUAGUUAAUGGACAUUAAUAUCAUUCUUAGUGUGCUGAUUAUUGAAUCAUCAUUCUAAGAUAGAUUGUGCUACCUAGUCCUUAUUUCUAGUGCACUCUUCGACCAAUGAGUUAGGAUUAUUCAAUCCCUUGCUUAUUUGAUCAUAUCGUCUUGCCCUGAAAAGCAAGAUUGUUCUCGAUCUUAGUAACAUAUCGGUGGUUCGUGAUAUUCCGAAUAUCUUCUCGGAGGGAUCACCAGGUUGUCACCUAACCACUAUGUUGAGUUCGUGAUCAAGUUGGUUUCUUGUAACCACCCAUUCUCCAAGAAUCUGUGUUGGAUACCCUGAGCUAGUUGGUUAAGGUAAACACUUGGAGGGUUGGAAGGAUAAAGCUUUAUCUGACUUAGUUCAUUCCAAAGGUAUAUCUUUUGUGUGUGCGUGUUGAAGGAAGAUGAUAUCUUCAACAAUUGGUCCUCGUGAUCAGUUGUUGGAUCUAUUGCCUUGUCAAACCUUUGUCUUGAGUAUGGGCUAUCGUCAAGUCAAAUCAGAACCAACGAUGUUCGUAAUGGUGUCUUACCCGUGGUUGAUCCCUCGGGCAUACACCAUUAUAUCUUUUGGUCUGACCAAUGCUAUCACCGUGUUCACAUGAUGGUGGAAGUCCAGUGAUAUGGAAAUUCCGAUGAGUCGUUGUUGAGCCCAUCAGCAGCAUUUUGUCUCCCCCAUGAUUCAUGCUGAACAUCAACCUAAUGUUGAAAAUUUUAUAAGAAAUGCCUUCGUGUUCCGUUCAUGAAGCUUAUGCUUGGAUGGAAGAAGUGACUUCCUCGAAUUCAUGUGCAUUUGGUGCAAGUUACCAUCGUGAGUUCGAGAAAUAUUGUUUUUGUUUCCCCUGGAAUCAUCCCAAGUCAGUCAUGCAUAUGUGCGAAGUAUUCUGUGGUCUGGAGACUUGCAACCUUCAUUCUAUAUGUAUCCCUAGCACACCAAGCCACUGAUUGCAUUGUUCAAGGAGAAGAAGUUCCUUCUUAAGGCAUGCCUUAUACAAGGGCUUCAAUAUCCUCGUUGAUGGUUCCCAACCAGAAUUCGGUAGUGUUUCAUUGUAAGACUACCAUGUGGUCAUGCUUGUCUGGGACAGCAUGCUCACAUGUUUGUAGCGGAACCCGCUCAUGUUUUGGAGCAUGCUAUCGUAGUUCAUCUCCCGAGAUUCUCGCAAUAUCAUCUCGUCGAUUUGUGUUGCAAACUUUCUUCCCAGACAUGCCGAUGUUUGAAGUGUCCUGUUACCAAAUAGAUCUGAAUCUCAGGCAGAUAUGAUGGUUGGAAAAAUCCCCAACAUUUGCAUUUUGUUCCCAGCUUGCACCACCAUUGUGCCAUUUUUCCCAUGGACUACCUUCUCGGUAAUUCCUAGUCAGGAUCAUCUUCAAAAGUGGUACUACCAUGGGUUCCAUCCAUUUGCGAUGAUAAGCAAAGUCAUCCAUUGCAUUGUCUUCAACAAGGUAGUCCACAUCAUCCAUCCUAGUCCGAGUAUGCAAUUUCUUCGAGCUCUUUCAAACAAUCAAUUGUAAUUUGCCUUAAGCUGGUAUGAAAAGCUUCAAUGAUCUAUGGAUCAAAAGUAAUUAUUUUUGCCACUUAAGGGGAUAGUUCUUCGAGUCACCUUUUCCAAAGUGCCUCAUUACGGGAUCAUGGCAAUCAAUCUCCUCGCUACCUUGAAACCUAUGCACCAUCCUACUUAAGCGUGGGAGUGUUUUCUACCAAAUUGAACUUUCAUCAUUUGUUCAUUCCUUCCCUUUUGAUUUGUGUUUGUGUCUUGGAUCAAGAGAUGAUUCAACGUCUCAUUUCCAUGAGUUGAUCGUGUAUCGCUUGAUCUUUGAGAAGAUCAUUUUCUAUAGAGUUUCCUUCUGUCGUCAUCAUGUUGGAUGAAGAUCUCGAAAGCAAAGACGUCAAGAUCAAUUUGAAGCAAUGAGCCAACAUCUUCGAGAAGCAUAAUUGGAUCAUGAAGAUUGUGUUAGUUUGUGUUCCCCUUUGACCUCUUACCUCACGUCUUGAAUCUCGGGACGAGAUUCUUGUUUAGUGGGGGUGAGCUGUCACAGCCCCAGUUCAGCCCUUGCUUGUCUUUGCAUCAUCAUCUUGCAUCAUGAUUAAAUUCCAUUAAAAUUUGGAAAUGGGGAUUGCCUAAACCCUAGCAUUAAAGGAAUUAACUAGGUUCAAACUUAAAACUUUUCAAUGAACCCAAAAUGCCCUUCAUAAAUGUCCACCAUCUUUGGUCCUGACUAAACCCUCUGCCAAAAAUGGUUUCAUAUUUUUGGAGGCUAUUCUGGAUUUUUGAAUUAAAUCAUAAGUAUUUGAAUUUGGACAUUUAAAUUCUAUAAAAUAUUUUAAAUGUCCAAAUAAUCUUGAAAGCAUUUGAGGGCUAUUGGAAAUAGUUUCAAAAGUGCCCACAAUUAUUUUCAGGAUUUUAAAAAAUGAAUUAGUAUUUUUACUAAUUCCAAACAGAAAAGAAAAAAAAAUAGAAAACAGAAACUAAAUUAAGAGAGAGAGAGAGAGAGAGAGUAACCUCACCUGCAGCCCACCUGGCCAAAGCCAGCCCGACCCACCAGGGGCAGCACUGUCUUCUUCCUCCUGCUAGGAGGAGAAGCAGCUGCGUGCCUGAUGGCCGCCGAGCCGCGCUGGCUCCUCCCUGCCUGCGUGCCCCCCCCCCUCGACUGCCUGGUCGCCACCACGACACCCCUGACCCCCUCUCACUCCCCCUCUCUCGCUCUGGACUCCCUCCCCCUCCUCUGCUUCCUCUCCCGCGUUCGACCACGGGCACCCGAGAGCGCCGACGAGCACCACCGGGGCCAUCGUCCACCUCGCACCUCGCAGUUGCUUCCAGAGGAACCGCCAUCGCCCUCUGCGUCAUCUACACCAACCCAUUCGACUGCGGGAGCCCUGUAGCAUCGUCCCCGAGCUCGUCUUCUACCUUCGGCCUCCGGCAACCUCACCUUCGAUUCGCCGCCGUCUCCGCGUCCCCGAGCUCGCCGACUUGCUCGUCCGACUCGCCGUGAGCCACUGACCCUAACCCCCCUCCUUUGCACUCCAUUUGCAUGCUGUAGCCGUUGCUCCGCCGGAGACCGAACCACUCCGCCGCCCGAGCUUCUCGCCGCCGUGGCCAUAGUUGUCGAAGCUCCCAACUGAGCACACCCACGUGCUCACCGCGCCGCGUAGGUGCCGUAGGAGCUAAGCACAUCACUCCACGGCCACCGCAGCCCCGUUCCCGAGUGUGCCCGAACUCCGGCCGCCACCGAGGUCGAUGCCGCGCACAACCCCGGCCACCCUAGCUUCUACUGCUUGCUGCGCUGGAUGCGGGAGAGCUCCAGCUCCCCGCGGAUGCCCUCCGCCACUCGUUUCGUCGCAUGCGCUGCGUUUCCGAGACGCGCCGCCAUCUCGGGCCUCGCCGGCGUCAUGUCGCCGGUGGGGUUGACCCAUUUGACCAUGUGGGCCCCGCCCCCUGGUCAAACCUAGAUUAGGAGUUAAACUAACACUAAUUUAGUUAGGUUAGUCGCUGACAUGUGGGCCCUGACCCCACUGACAUUUUAGUUAGGCUUAAUUUAAGGUUAAUUAACCAUAUUAAUUAGCUGACUCAAUGACAUAUGGGUCCCGUAGGUCAGGUUUGACCUGGCCGACCAGUUGACCUGCUGACAUCACCCUUGCGCAAUGCUAACACAGUAAAGCUUUUCUGGGAUUUUAAAUAAAUCAGAAAUGAUUUAUUUAUUUGAGAAAAUAGCUAAAACUUUUAAAAACCAUAGAAAUUAAACCGUAACUCCAAAUGAAAAGAUUUAUAUAUGAAAAAUGAUCAGAAAAAUCCAAAGAAUCUGAAUAUGGCAUUUUCAUGCAUGUUUGAACAAUUAACCUCACUGUUUAGUCCAAAACAUGACAAUGCACUAUUUGAAUUCAUAGUUUGAAUUUGAAUUUGAACCUAGUGUUCAAACCAACUCCAUUUAACUUGUUGCUAGUUGCAUUAGCUCAAUCAACGGCAUAUUGCCAUGUCAUGAUCAUGCAUCAUAUUGUUGCAUCGCAUUGAUUGUAUUCUUCCUUGUUCGCCGGUAAAUGUCCCCUCUCGGUAGAUGCAACUCCGACGCUGUGAUCGAUGACACCGAUGAAGAACUAUAUUGUCUUCAGAAGUGCCAGGCAAGCAAAACCCCCCUUGUUCAUUCCGAUACAAUCCCACUCUCGCUCCUGCUCUCUUUUACUGCAUUAGGACAACAAUGAUUCAAUUGUUACAUGUUGCGGUAGUUGAACCCCUUUCCUUUGCAUGACCUGUCAUUGCCACAGUAAAUAGAUGAAACCCACUAGCAUGAGUAGGAGUUGUUUGAGCCCUGAUGUGCCUACUCAUUCAUGCUUGUUGUCAUGCCUGCUAUUGCAUGGAGUUGUGUCAGGUCUGAUUCAUUGGAAAUGAAUCAGAGGUGUGUGAACAUGUCCUACUGUGUGUGAGCUAAGUGUGUGAACACGUUUUGGUAAAGGUAGCGGUGAGAGGCCAUGUAGGAGUACAUGGUGGGUUGUCUCAUUGAAACCGUCCUUAGGAACUGAGUUCUGUGUCUAUGAUCCAUGAACAGCUACUACCACUCAUUGGGAUCCUUAAAUUGACCCUCUCGGUUUCUUAAUCACCCUAGUAUUCUGUCCAGGAGUUGCAACUAGUUUCUGAUGUUUGUAGGUUAUGUGUUGGCGGCCGUGCGUAGCGCUGACCCUAGGGGAGGGCUAUGUUGCGAUAGAUACACCGUGGCACGGUGUACCGGGCGCCCGUUUGGUGACUCGGGAACCCUGUUCACAUCGUUCGGGGCCGUAUGUGGAAACCUCGGCCGGACUCCCUGCAGAUGGAACCUGGAUAGGCGAUAAACCUGGACUAGAGACUUAAGUGUUUAGGUAGGCCGUGGCCGACACCCUGGCCAGGCUUCCGCUUGAAGGUUGCCGAGAUACAUGACGUGUAUAUGGUGGUAAGUGGUGGGAGCGUGUGUGAAGAAGUACACACCUGCAGGGUUAUCAUUCUCUAUUCGAAUAGCCGGAUUCCUCGGAUAUGGAAACUUGGACCCCUUGCAUAGUUCAUAGACAAGUGAAAGUGGAUACUCUAAAACUCGCAAGAUAAGUGUGAGUGCUAUGGAUGGCGUUCUCGUAGGGAGAUGGGAACGGAUCCGUAGUGGUGUAUUGAUAAGGUGAAUAUGUGGACUUGUGUGCGCCACCUCAAAAGUGUUACUUGAAGUCGUAGUUUAAGAUAGCCACCGAGUCAAAGAUGGCUUGCUGCAGUUAAACUCCACCACCCCCCUCUUUGUUGAUACCGAUGCAUAUGUAGCUAGUUCUGAUGUAAGUCUUGCUGAGUACUUUUGUACUCACGUUUGCUUAAUUUAUGUUUUGUAGAGAGACUCUAGUCUCGCUAGUAAUUUCGCGUGGACUUCGACGUUAGCUUGAUACCUCAGCUACGAUCUUGUGCCCUCGGCAGGAUCUGGUAGAUAGUCAGGCUUCUUAGCCUUUUUCAUUUGUACAUGUCUGUACUCAGACAUGUUAAGCUUCCGCUUGUGCCUUGAUUUGUAUGCUAUGUUUUUGGGUCAUGAGACCCAUGUUUGUAAUUUCUCGCUCCUCGGAGUCUAAUGAAUAAAUACUUGAGUCGUAGAGUCUUGUUGUGAUGCCAUGUUGUAUGUACUCAUAUCGGGCAUAUUGUGUGUAUGAUUGAAAUGCUUGGUAUGAGUGGGAUCCGACAAUCUAGUUGUUUAUCCUUGGCAGCCUAUCAUAUGGGGAAAUGUAGUCUAGUGCUUUGUAAGCGAUAGUAGUCCGCUACAGCCCAGUUCACCGGAGUCCUGCUAGCCCAGCACUAUUGCUCGGAACACUUGACUGGCCGGCAUGUGUUUCACUUUGUUACUGUGUCUGUCCCUUCGGGGAAAUGUCACGCGGUGACAUCCGGAGUCCUGCCUAGCCUGCUACAGCCCGGGUUACCGGAGUCCUGUUAGCCCAGUGCUACAGCCCAUAUUCACACGCUGCUGACCGACAUGCUCGAAGUUGAUUCAUGUAUGCCUGUCCCCAUGGGUUAGUGCCGCUUUGGGUUCACGACUAGCCAUGUCGGCCCAGGUUCUCUGUCAUAUGGAUGCUAGCGACACUAUCAUAUACGUGAGCCAGAAGGCGCAAAUGGUCCCGGGCCAGGUAAGGUGGCACCCGUGAGAAUACCGUGCGUGAGGCCGCAAAGUGAUAUGAUGUGUUACAUGCUAGACCAGUGUGACUUAGGAUCGGGGUCCUGACAGUGUUGGUAUCAGAGCCUGACUUCCUAUAGGAUUACCAAGCCAAGCUGGUUGAAGUCGUGUCUAGAAAUGCUUUAGUUAUGUAAGGGAAUUGAUUGUGGAAGGGAACGUAAGGCUCUUUUUACUCCUUUACCUUAUGUCCUUCUGAUCUGAGUCAACCUCUUCUUUUCUACGGGGAUUAAGAACUAGGCCUUCUCAUCUAUCUAUCAGGAUGACGUGUUACUAAACCGUAGUUGCCUAGGAUUGUUGAGUUUAAGCCCGAGUUCGGUUCCUACUACUUCCAUGUGUUCUUAGUUGAUCUCGGAACAUUGAUAUUGUGAUGUUGAGUGGUUAUGCCACCAUUUUGUAGGAUGUCUCAAAUCUUUUUAAGCAUUUAUAGCCGUUAUGCUGUCCGAGUUGUAACGCCCCGGAUAUAACUUUCCCAAUUUGUACUCCAACUCUUGCCGUUUCCGGCGUUAAGUUAUAUUUAUUUCUCGGGUUCGGGUCUUUUUCUCCGUGUGUUGUUUUCUUUGUCAUGCAUCUCAUAUCAUGUCAUCAUGUGCAUUGCAUUUGCAUACGUGUUCAUCUCAUGCAUUUGAGCAUUUUCCCCGUUGUCCUUUUUGCUUUCCGGCGCUUCGUUCUCCUCCGGUGGUCAUUUCUAGCUUUUCUUUGUGUGUGGAGAUUAAACAUUUCCGGAUUGGACCGAGACUUGCCAAGCGGACUUGGUUUACUACCGGUAGACCGCCUGUCAAGUUACGUACCAUUUGGACUUCGUUUGAUACUCCAACGGUUAACCGAGGAACCGAAAAGGCCUCGUGUGUGUUGCAGCCCAACACCCCUCCAAUUUGGCCCAAAACCCACCAAACUCUGCUCCAUGUCCUAGAGCGUUCGAUCACGAUCGCGUGGCCAAAAACCGGUCCUCAUUUGGACUCUCCUAGCUCCACUUAUGCCUAUAAAUAGCCCCCUCCAUUUUUGGAUCUCCCCUCUCCCCGAAACCCUAAAAUUCAUCCCUCCGCCGCCGGACAUGUCCGCCUCCUAGCGGACGAAGUCGCCGCCGCCACCCCACGCUAAUUGCGCGCCUACACGUGGCACCGGCCGCUCCCUCCGCCGCCAGCCCGCCGAAGCCCGCGGGGAGCCCUCGGGUCCAUCUUCCCCGACCCCGCGCCCGAGGCGCCCGACUCCUCGCUGCGCCGCCCGGGUCCCUCUGCCGCGCUGCCGCCCGCCAUUCCCUCCGCUGCCAAGCUCCGCCGCGCCGGCGUCGAGGCGUCCGCCGGCCGGACCCUGCCGCCUUCUCCUCGCCGCCUCACCGCACCGCCCACCGCCGCCGGGAGCACGCCGGCGCCGCCCUGGUCUCCCCCCCCUCGGAGAGCUCGAGCUCCGGCCACCACCACCAUCUCCGGCACCGGCCAUCAUCGUUUUUCGCGCCGGUGAACAGUGCAGAUCUGGAUAUGAAAAUCCCCCCGGUUGACUUUUAUCCCCGAAACCCUAAUUUUUGUGCAUACUUUGACUGGCAAUAUCUCCGCAUCUGUAGCUCCGUUUUGGACAUAUAGUAUAUCAAAAUGUUCGUCUCGACGAGUACAUCAUUUCAUUCCAUUGCAUCAUUUUCAUUUGAGUUCAUAUUGAUGCCCGAAAUACUGUUAGAAGAGGGCUUCGUGAGUUAAUUGUCAGAUCUGCUAGUUCAUCUUAGACUUUUGUCAUUUUUGCCAUGUUUAAUGUGUGCAUGCUAUGCCCGUGAGUCCUACAUAUGUUUUGUUAAGGGUUUUGUCAUCUUUCCAGAGGUGCAAACCAUGCAUUUUUAGGAUGUGUGUGGUGACUUGUGCAAGCUUGCAAAGUGGUGCACUUGCUAAUUCUGUUUUCAGGGACUUAGUAGUUUUCACUAAGUCUGGGAUUAUUUAGUUCAUGAUGCCAUAUGUUCAUGCUAUUUCCUAGUGAUCCGUGCCUCUUUUGAGGAUGAUCAGUAAAGGAGUUUUGUUAAUCUUGUUAUGCUCUAUCCAUCCAUGUCUUUGUUUGCAAUUAUGGAGCACCCUAGCGUGAGACAAUCGAGUUCUACUUUUGCUUCGUGGUGAAUCUGGGCAGAUCGUCAACUCGUUUGCGAUUUUGCCGGCGUUGUUGUGGUUGAUCCGUGCAUGCUAUGCCAUUGUUCUUGCCAUGUCUAGCUAGAAUUUUGUGUCUUCUUAAUGGUUAUAUGCUUGCCUUGCCAUGAUUUGCACCAUAGUGAGUGCAUCGAGCUCGUUUACAUGCCUUCGUAAGUUAUAUUUCAGCAUGUCUCAGUUUUCACUAAGUCUGAAAACUGAUUGUGUUUUAGCUAUGUUCGUGGGCUUGUUAGUAUAUUUUGUGAACCCUUUUGGCCCCGGGUCACUUUGGGUAUUUUGUUAAGCUUGUUGAGUAGCUCCAUGCCAUGUUAUUCCUUGUCAUAACCAGGUCAUGUAUCAUGUUGUUUUGGUGCUCCGAAGAGGGCUUCACGAUCUGAAAUUUCAGACAAGUGUUAAUUUCACUAAGUCUGGAAUCUGUUUUGCAUUUGCGUUUUUGCCAUGCUUGUUUGAACCUCAUAAAGGAUGAAUUGGCCGUGGCUCAGUGCUAGUCUUUUGUUAAGCUUCUUGUGUGCAUCCCUGCCAUGUAUUUUUUUGUCAUGUUUGGUGGCUGUAGCAUGUUCGUUUCGUUGCAUUUAGAUGCCUACUUGCUGUAAAUUGCAGACCGGUGUCAUUCUUAAAACGCUUGCCAUUUCCAAACAGUAACUCCGAUUCCAAUGAUCUUUAUAUCGUUUUCAAGCGAUUUCAUCCCCUCUUUCCAGUGGCACACUUGGUUUUCCUAGUUGAGGCCAGGUUCAUGCAUUUCCUGUCAUAUCUUGCAUUUUGCAUCCCGCAUCGCAUCCCGCAUAGCAUGUCAUCAUUGCAUCUUAUUGUUUGAGCUUGCACGUGGUUGAUUGUAUCCUUGUUGCUUGUUUGUCUUGUUUGGGUAGAUCCGGGAGACGAGUUCGCUAACGAGGAGCCUGUUGAGUUUGCUUUUGAGGAUCCAGUCAACUCUGACAGCUUUGCAGGCAAGAUGAUCAUACCCUCGAAAUCACUACUAUCUUUGAUAUGCUAGUUUGCUCGCUCUUUGCUAUGCGAAUGCUGCGAUGACUACCUUUUGCUUGUCAGCCACCCAAUUGCCAUGUCAAACCUCUAACCCACCAUGUCCUAGCAAACCGUUGAUUGGCUAUGUUACCGCUUUGCUCAGCCCCUCUUAUAGCGUUGCUAGUUGCAGGUGAAGAUUGGAGGCCGUUCCUUGUUGGAACAUUUUUUUACUUGUUGGGAUAUCAUUAUAUCGCUAUGUUAUCUUAAUGCAUCUAUAUACUUGGUAAAGGGUGGAAGGCUCGGCCUCUCGCCUAGUGUUUUGUUCCACUCUUGCCGCCCUAGUUUCCGUCAUAUCGGUGUUAUGUUCCUGGAUUUUGCGUUCCUUACGCGGUUGAGUUAUAAUGGGAACCCCUUGACAGUCCACCUUGAAUAAAAAUUCUCCAGCAAUGCCCAACCUUGGUUUUACCAUUUGCCACCUAGCCUUUUCCCUUGGGUUUCACGGACUCAANNNNNNNNNNNNNNNNNNNNNNNNNNNNNNNNNNNNNNNNNNNNNNNNNNNNNNNNNNNNNNNNNNNNNNNNNNNNNNNNNNNNNNNNNNNNNNNNNNNNNNNNNNNNNNNNNNNNNNNNNNNNNNNNNNNNNNNNNNNNNNNNNCUAAGUGUUGGUCCAACCUAGAGCACCGUGCGGGGUCGUCCCUUGGCAACUUGGGUUACGUUGGCUCCCGUACGCUUAGCUUAUCCUGUGUGCCCUGAGAACGAGAUAUGUGCAGCUCCUAUUGGGAUUUGUCGGCACAGCGGGCGGUGUUGCUGGACUUGUUUUACCAUUGUCGGAGUUGUCUUGAAUUACCGAGAUACCGAGUCUGAUCGGAACGUCUUGGGAGGAGGUCUAUUCCUUCGUUGACCAUGAUAGCUUGUCAUGGGCUAAGUUGGGACUCCCCUGCAGGGAUUGAACUUUCGAAAGCCGUGCCCGUGGUUAUGGGCAGAUGGGAAUUUGUUAAUGUCCGGUUGUAGAUAACUUGAACCUUAAUUAAGUAAAAUGAAUCAACUGAGUGUGUUGCCGUGAUGGCCUCUUCUCGGCGGAGUCCAGGAAGUGGACACGGAGUUGGAGUCAUGUUUGCACAGGUUGUCCUCUAGUUUCUCGCUCGCGCUUUGCUUCCUCUUCUCACUCUCCUUUGCAAAUAAGUUAGCCACCAUACUUGCUAGACGCUUGCUGCAGCUCCACUUAUAUUUACCCUUGCCACACCUAUAAGCUUGAAUAGUCUUGAUCGCGAGGGUGCGAGAUUGUUGAGUCCCUGUGGCUCACAUAUACUAUAACUCCAGAUGCAGGGCCUGACGAUUCCGCUCCAGGUGACGCGUAUGAGCUCAAGUGGGAGUUCGACGAGGACUCUCAGUGUUACUACGUGUCUUUUCCUGAUGAUCAGUAGUGGUGCCCAGUUGGGGUUUGAUCGGGACCGUGUCGCAUGUUGGGUUCUCUUUUAUUUAGGCGCCGUAGUCGGGCCUUGAGUGUAUGGUUGAUGUAAUGUUAUUUAUGAACUUGAUUGACGUGGCAAGUGUAAGCCAACUAUGUUAUCUCCCCUUUUAUUAUUACAUUAGAUGGGAUGUUUGUGAAGAUUGCCUAACUUGAGACAUAUGCCUUCAAUGCGAUUAUGUCUCUAAGUCGUGCCUCGACACGUGGGAGCUAUAGUCGCAUCGAGGGCGUUACACGAGUCGCCCCAGGUUUCUAAACAAUCUGAUGCAUUUUCAAAUCCUUUCUUUCCGUUCCUGAUGUCCUUUAUGGUCAGAAUAAGCACACUAAUCGGUGAGUUGAGGUACUCUGUUGCCUCGACAUAUAUGUUCGAGUUAUUAUUAUGACCCUAGGUGUCUUAGGGGAUCACCUAGUAAUCUAGCCAUGUUUUGUGUUCCCAGUGUGAUGAUUCUGGCCACCAUUCUCGAAAGCAUCCCGAGAUGCCAUUUAGUAGUAGGUAUUCUACUCUUGGGCUUUUGAACCCGAGAUUCACUCUACUUACCCCAUGUUGAUAGUGUUUGCUAGUUCCUUUAUGAUAUUAGUAACCUUGCCUUAGUCCUCGAGGUCAGUGGUAUUUCCUUCUUCCAAAUACUAUGAACCACUUAUGGUAGAAGUUUGUUGGAUCAGAAGCUCACAACAAGAGUGCUCUCGAUGAGUUCACCAUUCUAUAUUGUGAUUCUGCCAGUCCUACCUCUCUGCAUGGGUUAUCCGAAAGAAGCAUGUUGAACUUGGUUCGACAUACUAGUCUAUGCAUCCACAACUCAGAAAGAUAUAUGUUCUUUGAGUUGUCCCCCUUCAGUUAUAUUCCAACCUUCUUCUAUCAGUUGAUAGCCAAGAGUAUGUGUGCAUUUGUGUUCAUUGAUGCCUAUUAUUCUUGUGGUCCGUCCAGCCAUUCUAUUCCGGAAUGACUAGGAGAAACAAACUCCAUCACCUAAUCCAUAUCUAGGAUUGGGUCAAAGCAGUUGUAUUCCGCAGAUCAAAUGCAAUCAAGCUUUUGAGUCUAUUCUACCCUAAAGUAUUACCCACUUUAUGUCAAGAAUAUCAUGAGAAUUGCACCAUCUCCUAUGAAUUCUUGAUGUAGUGAUACUUGCCAUCAUUUUUCAUUCCUCGGUCUCGUGUUGUCGCAACCGGAAUACCGACAAGUGAAUAGUGAUGUGUGAAAUCAAUACUCCUAGCAACCCUUUGCUUGGUAGUUAAUGGACAUUAAUAUCAUUCUUAGUGUGCUGAUUAUUGAAUCAUCAUUCUAAGAUAGAUUGUGCUACCUAGUCCUUAUUUCUAGUGCACUCUUCGAUCAAUGAGUUAGGAUUAUUCAAUCCCUUGCUUAUUUGAUCAUAUCGUCUUGCCCUGAAAAGCAAGAUUGUUCUCGAGCUUAGUAACAUAUCGGUGGUUCGUGAUAUUCCAAAUAUCUUCUCGGAGGGAUCACCAGGUUGUCACCUAACCACUAUGUUGAGUUCGUGAUCAAGUUGGUUUCUUGUAACCACAAAUUCUCCAAGAAUCUGUGUUGGAUACCCUGAGCUAGUUGGUUAAGCUAAACAACAACUUGGAGGGUUGGAAGGCUAAAGCUUUAUCUGACUUAGUUCAUGCCAAAGGUAUAUCUUUUGUGUGUGCGUGUUGAAGGAAGAUGAUAUCUUCACCAAUUGGUCCUCGUGAUCAGUUGUUGGAUCUAUUGCCUUGUCAAACCUUUGACUUGAGUAUUGGCUAUCGUCAAGUCAAAUCAGAACCAGCGAUGUUCGUAAUGGUGUCUUACCCAUGGUUGAUCCCUCGGGCAUACACCAUUUUGGUCUGACCAAUGCUAUCACCAUGUUCACAUGAUGGUGGAAGUCCAGUGAUAUGGAAAUUCCGAUGAGUCGUUGUUGAGCCCAUCAGCAGCAUUUUGUCUCCCCCAUGAUUCAUGCUGAACAUCAACCUAAUGUUGAAAAUUUUAUAAGCAAUGCCUUCGUGUUCCGUUCAUGAAGCUUAUGCUUGGAUGGAAGAAGUGACUUCCUCGAAUUCAUGUGCAUUUGGUGCAAGUUACCACCGUGAGUUCGAGAAAGAUUGUUUUUGUUUCCCCUGGAAUCAUCCCAAGUCAGUCAUGCAUAUGUGCGAAGUAUUCUGUGGUCUGGAGACUUGCAACCUUCAUUCUAUAUGUAUCCCUAGCACACCAAGCCACUGAUUGCAUUGUUCAAGGAGAAGAAGUUCCUUCUUAAGGCAUGCCUUAUACAAGGACUUCAAUAUCCUCGUUGAUGAUUCCCAACCAGAAUUCGGUAGUGUUUCAUUGUAAGACUACCAUGUGGUCAUGCUUGUCUGGGACUGCGUGUUCACAUGUUUGUAGCGGAACCCGCUCAUGUUUUGGAGCAUGCUAUCGUAGUUCAUCUCCCGAGAUUCUCGCAAUAUCAUCUCGUCGAUUUGUGUUGCAAACUUUCUUCCCAGACAUGCCGAUGUAUGAAGUGUCCUGUUACCAACCAGAUCUGAAUCUCAGGCAGAUAUGAUGGUUGGAAAAAUCCCCAACAUUUGCAUUUUGUUCCCAGCUUGCACCACCAUUGUGCCAUUUUUCCCAUGGACUACCUUCUCGGUAAUUCUUGGUCAGGAUCAUCUUCAACAGUGGUACUACCAUGGGUUCCAUCCAUUUCCGAUGAUAAGCAAAGUCAUCCAUUGCGUUGUCUUCAACAAGGUAGUCCACAUCAUCCAUCCUAGUCCGAGUAUGCAAUUUCUUCGAGGUCUUUCAAACAAUCAAUUGUAAUUUGCCUUAAGCUGGUAUGAAGAGCUUCAAUGAUCUAUGGAUCAAAAGUAAUUAUUUUUGCCACUUAAGGGGAUAGUUCUUCGAGUCACCUUUUCCAAAGUGCCUCAUUACGGGAUCAUGGCAAUCAAUCUCCUCGCUACCUUGAAACCUAUGCACCAUCCUACUUAAGCGUGGGAGUGUUUUCUACCAAAUUGAACUUUCAUCAUUUGUUCUUUCCAUCCCUUUUGAUGUGUGUUUGUGUCUUGGAUCAAGAGAUGAUUCAACGUCUCAUUUCCAUGAGUUGAUCGUGUAUCGCCUGAUCUUUGAGAAGAUCAUUUUCUAUAGGGUUUCCUUCUGUCGUCAUCAUGUUGGAUAAAAUCUCGAAAGCAAAGACAUCAAGAUCAAUUUGAAGCAAUGAACCAACAUCUUCGAGAAGCAUAAUUGGAUCAUGAAGAUUGUUUUAGUUUGUGUUCCCCUUUGACCUCUUACCUCACGUCUUGAAUCUCGGCACAAGAUUCUUGUUUAGUGGGGGUGAGCUGUCACAGCCCCAGUUCAGCCCUUGCUUGUCUUUGCAUCAUCAUCUUGCAUCAUGAUUAAAUUCCAUUAAAAUUUGGAAAUGGGGAUUGCCUAAACCCUAGCAUUAAAGGAAUUAACUAGGUUCAAACUUAAAACUUUUCAAUGAACCCAAAAUGCCCUUCAUAAAUGUCCAUCAUCUUUGGUCCUGGCUAAACCCUCUGCCAAAAAUGGUUUCAUAUUUUUGGAGGCUAUUCUGGAUUUUUGAAUUAAAUCAUAAGUAUUUGAAUUUGGACAUUUAAAUUCUAUAAAAUAUUUUAAAUGUCCAAAUAAUCUUGAAAGCAUUUGAGGGCUAUUGGAAAUAGUUUCAAAAGUGCCCACAAUUAUUUUCAGGAUUUUACAAAAUGAAUUAGUAUUUUUACUAAUUCAACACAGAAAAGAAAAAAAAUAGAAAACAGAAACUAAAUUAAGAGAGAGAGAGAGAGAGAGUAACCUCACCUGCAUCCCACCUGGCCAAAGCCAGCCCGGCCCACCAGGGGUAGCACUGUCUUCUUCCUCCUACUAGGAGGAGAAGCAGCUGCGUGCCCGAUGGCCGCCGAGCCGCGCUGGCUCCUCCCUACCUGCGUGCCCCCCCCUCGACUUCCUGGUCGCCACCACGAAAUCCCUGACCCCCUCUCACUCCCCCUCUCUCGCUCUGGACUCCCUCCCCCUCCUCUGCUUCCNNNNNNNNNNNNNNNNNNNNNNNNNNNNNNNNNNNNNNNNNNNNNNNNNNNNNNNNNNNNNNNNNNNNNNNNNNNNNNNNNNNNNNNNNNNNNNNNNNNNNNNNNNNNNNNNNNNNNNNNNNNNNNNNNNNNNNNNNNNNNNNNNNNNNNNNNNNNNNNNNNNNNNNNNNNNNNNNNNNNNNNNNNNNNNNNNNNNNNNNNNNNNNNNNNNNNNNNNNNNNNCCACGGGCACCCGAGAGCGCCGACGAGCACCACCGGGGCCAUCGUCCACCCCGCACCUCGCUGUUGCUUCCAGAGGAACCGCCAUCGCCCUCUGCGUCAUCUACACCAACCCAUUUGACCACGGGAGCCCUGUAGCAUCGUCCACGAGCUCGUCUUCUACCUUCGGCGCCGGCAACCUCACCUUCGAUUCGCCGCCUUCUCCGCGUCCCCAAGAUCGCCGACUUGCUCGUCCGACUCGCCGUGAGCCAUUGACCCUAACCCCCCUCCUUUGCACUCCAUUUGCACGCUGUAGCCGUUGCUCCGCCGGAGACCGAAACGCUCCGCCGCCUGAGCUUCUCGCCGCCGUGGCCAUAGUCGUCGAAGCUCCCAACUGAGCACACCCACAUGCUCACUGCGUCGCGUAGGUGCCGUAGGAGCUAAGCACACCACUCCACGGCCACCGCAGCCCCGUUCCCGAGUGUGCCGGAACUCCGGCCGCCGCCGAGGUCGAUGCCGCGCACAACCCCGGCCACCCUAGCUCCAGCUCCCCGCAGAUGCCCUCCGCCGCUCGUUUCAUCGCCUGUGCUGCGUUUCCGAGACGCGCCGCCGUCUCGGGCCUCGCCGGCGUCAUGUCGCCGGUGGGGUUGACCCAUUUGACCACGUGGGCCCCGCCCCCUGGUCAAACCUAGAUUAGGAGUUAAACUAACACUAAUUUAGUUAGGUUAGCCGCUGACAUGUGGGCCCCAACCCCACUAACAUUUUAGUUAGGCUUAAUUUAAGGUUAAUUAACCAUAUUAAUUAGCUGAGUCAAUGACAUAUGGGUCCCGCAGGUCAGGUUUGACCUGGCCGACCAGUUGACACGCUGACAUCACCCUUGCGCAAUGUUGACAUAGUAAAGCUUUUCUGGGAUUUUAAAUAAAUCAGAAAUGAUUUAUUUAUUUCAGAAAAUAGCUAAAACUUUUAAAAACCAUAGAAAUUAAACCGUAACUCCAAAUGAAAAGAUUUAUAUAUGAAAAAUGAUCAGAAAAAUCCAAAGAAUCUGAAUAUGGCAUUUUCAUGCAUGUUUGAACAACUUAACCUCACUGUUUAGUCCAAAACAUGACAAUGCACUAUUUGAAUUCAUAGUUUGAAUUUGAACCUAGUGUUCAAACCAACUCCAUUUAACUUGUUGCUAGUUGCAUUAGCUCAAUCAACGGCAUAUUGCCAUGUCAUGAUCAUGCAUCAUAUUGUUGCAUCGCAUUGAUUGUGUUCUUCCUUGUUUGCCGGUAAAUGUCCCCUCUCGGUAGACGCUGCUCCGACGCUGUGAUCGAUGACACCGAUGAAGAACUAUAUUGUCUUCAGAAGUGCCAGGCAAGCAAAACCCCCCUUGUUCAUUCCGAUACAAUCCCACUCUCGCUCCUGCUCUCUUUUACUGCAUUAGUACAACAACGAUUCAAUUGUUACAUGUUGCGGUAGUUGAACCCCUUUCUCUGCAUGACCUGUCAUUGCCACAGUAAAUAGAUGAAACCCACUAUCAUGAGUAGGAGUUGUUUGAGCCCUGAUGUGCCUACUCAUUCAUGCUUGUUGUCAUGCCUGCUAUUGCAUAGAGUUGUGUCAGGUCUGAUUCAUCGGAAAUGAAUAUGAGGUGUGUGAGCAUGUCCUACUGUGUGUGAGCUAAGUGUGUGAACACGUUUUGGUAAAGGUAGCGGUGAGAGGCCAUGUAGGAGUACAUGGUGGGUUGUCUCAUUGAAACCGUCCUCAGGAACUAAGUUCUGUGUCUGUGAUCCACGAAUAGCUACUACCACUCAUUAGGAUCCUUAAUUGACCCUCUCGGCUUCUUAAUCACUCUAGUACUCUGUCCAGGAGUUGCAACUAGUUUCUGAUGUUUGUAGGUUAUGUGUUGGCGGCCAUGCGUAGCGCUGACCCUAGGGGUGGGUUAUGUUGCGAUAGAUACACCAUGGCACGGUGUACCGGGUGCCCGUUUGGUGACUCGAGAACCCUGUUCACAUCGUUCGGGGCCUUAUGUGGAAACCUCGGCCGGACUCCCUACGGAUGGAACCUGGAUAGGCGAUAAACCUGGACUAGAGACUUGAAUGCUUAGGUAGGCCGUGGCCGACACCCUCGCCAGGCUUCCGCUUGAAGGUUGCCGAGAUACAUGACAUGUAUAUGGUGGUAAGUGGUGGGAGAGUGUGUGAAGAAGUACACCCCUGCAGGGUUAUCAUUAUCUAUUCGAAUAGCCGGAUUCCUCGGAUAUGGAAACUUGGACCCCUUGCAUAGUUCAUAGACAAGUGAAAGUGGAUACUCUAAAACUCGCAAGAUAAGUGUGAGUGCUAUGGAUGGCGUUCUCGUAGGGAGACAGGAAUGGAUCCAUAGUUGAUAUGGUGAAUAUGUGGACUCGUGUGCGCCGCCUCAAAAGUGUUACUUGAAGUCGUAGUUUAAGAUAGACACCGAGUCAAAGCUGGCUUGCUGCAGUUAAACUCCACCCCCCCCCCCUUGUUGAUACCGAUGCAUAUGUAGCUAGUUCUGAUGUAAGUCUUGCUGAGUACUUUUGUACUCACGUUUGCUUAAUUUAUGUUUUGCAGAGAGACUCCAGUCUCGCUAGUAGUUUCGCAUGGACUUCGACGUUAGCUUGAUACCUCAGCUACGAUCUUGUGCCCUCAGCAGGAUCUGGUAGAUAGUCAUGCUUCUUAGCCUUUUCAUUUGUACAUGUCUGUACUCAGACAUGUUAAGCUUCCGCUUGUGCCUUGAGUUGUAUGCUAUGUUUGUUGGGUCAUGAGACCCAUGUUUGUAAUUUCUUGCUCCUCGGAGUCUAAUGAAUAAAUACUUGAGUCGUAGAGCCUUGUUGUGAUGCCAUGUUGUAUGUACUCAUAUCGGGCAUAUUGUGUGUAUGAUUGAAAUGUUUGGUAUGAGUGGGAUCCGACAAUCUAGUUGUUUAUCCUUGGCAGCCUAUCAUAUGGGGAAAUGUAGUCUAGUGCUUUCUGAGCGAUAGUAGUCCGCUACAGCCCGGUUCACCGGAGUCCUACUAGCCCAGCACUACUGCUCAGAACACUUGACUGGCCGGCACGUGUUUCACUUCGUUCCUGUGUCUGUCCCUUCGGGGAAAUGUCACGCGGUGACAUCCGGAGUCCUGCCUAGCCUGCUACAGCCCAGGUUACCGGAGUCCUGUUAGCCCAGUGCUACAGCCCGGAUUCACACGUUGCUGACCGACAUGCUCGAAGUUGAUUCAUGUAUGCAUGUCCCCAUGGGUUAGUGCCGCUUUGGGUUCAUGACUAGCCAUGUCGGCCCGGGUUCUCUGUCAUAUGGAUGCUAGCGACACUAUCAUAUAUGUGAGCCAAAAGGCGCAAACGGUCCCGGGCCAGGUAAGGUGGCACCCGUGGGAAUACCGUGCGUGAGGCCGCAAAGUGAUAUGAUGUGUUACAUGCUAGAUCAGUGUGACUUAGGAUCGGGGUCCUGACAAGGAAGAGAGCCGGAAGUGCGAGGAGGUGCUCGUGCUGGAAGCCGUGGAGCGCAGCCUUGAACUCGAAUGGCUCGAGACGAGGUAGCGCCAGGUUCCUCAGGCGGAGGACGACGUCGGCGCGCGCGAGGUCAGGGCCCAGGAGGAGAUCGACCGCCGUGUGGCCGAGGCUCGCGUGGAUCUCGAGAGAAGGCAGAACAUGAAGCUGAAGCUCAUGGAAGCUGGGGCCGCUGGUAGGACUGCCGCCCUCAUGUCCCGUCUGGUCGAGGUGGAGCGGCGUGAGGAGGCCACUGCAUCAGCUCUGGCCACGGCGCAGGCUGGGCUGGUUUUAUCCCACGCCGAGCUACUCUUCGGCAGCGGGUCGCCGAUGCCGAGUCCGUCGCGUGGCAGAACAGGGACGAAGUGCUUGAGCGGCGAACAUUGGAGCGUGUGCACGCCUCCAUGUUCGAGGACCUCAGGAACAGGGCCAACACCGCCCUGGGCCAUAUCUGCAAUGAAAAUGCUCCUCAUCCCCAAGAAAACGACUACGCCAGCCACCUCCGCUUCUUUGGGGAUGUGCUGAUGCGCCUGCAGAACCGUUCCGAGAGGGCUCGCCAACUUGUUGAGGAGAGGAGUCGCAGUCUGCUCAGGCGCACGUUCUCCCGCGUCUUCAGCCACCUCUGGAACAUCGACCCCAACUUCGAUUUUGAUGCCGCCAUUGCUCCCUUACCGGAAGCCAUCCGGGGCGAUCUAGCACGAUGGGUUGAAAACAAUGUGGAUGUGCUAGUCAGGGCCUUCGCUUCUGACGAUGAUGGGGUAGUGGUCGUGGCAGAUGAAGGUGUGGUGGUUGAUGACGGCGAUGCCAACGCCGGUGAAGGUGGAGGAAACGACAAUGAUGGCGACAGCGACGCCAACGAUGGCGCCAGCGAUGCUAGCGGUGCAUCAGAAGAUGAUAUGGGAGAUGCGGCGAGCGACAUAUCCGGCUGGUUCCUCGUUCCCCUGCCGUUUACCCUAUAAAAACAUGGGCAUGGCCCCAGAAGAUUGUAAGAGCAUUUUGAGAAUGGGAGCCCCUCAUGUAAACAAUCGUAGCUUUUAUCCUUCUGUGUCAAAUUGAGUAUGCGUCUUCAUGAGCUUACGCAUGCCGGGGCAAGGUUGUUGUUGCGGUUUAACUUAGCUUGGACGAGCCCAAAAUCGGCCCGAGAGAUUGCGGGUUUUUUAUGAGCACCUGAGGAGUUUGUCGACACGCCUGAGGGAGGCGACAAGGCAUGCAACGCCACGUAAGCUGGCGGGCUGCUAAGACGGCGUGGAGGUAGGGUCUUCACGAAGAUCUGCAUGCCACCACAUAGGUACUUGCUGGGUUGUCCUGGAGGCCGCGUGUCGCCACGCAGGUGCCUGCCCAGCUGGUUGGGCUGGCGGCUGCAUGGGAACGGCGGUGGGGACUUGGCAGACGUGGGCCUGGCUGUGGCCCCGUAGGUGUCCUCGGCAAGGGUCUUGCCGGGGCCCCGGCAAGGGUCUUGUCGUGGCAUCGCGGUCGUCCCCGGCAAGGAUCUUGCCGUUGAUUUCCUCGGCACGGAUCUGGUCGAGGAUCGUCAUCUUCUGGUCCUCAUCCGAUCUUCUGUGCUUAUGAUCUUCACAAAGAUCUGUAUGCCACCAUGGAGGUGCCUCCCGAGCCUUGGUUCCAAUGUGGUUGAUGGUGUUGGAACCCUUGGGCUCAAGGGUGGCACGCUCUGUUGGCAUUGGGCAAGUUCCCCCGGCAAGGCUCUUGUCGGGGUUGCGGAGGCCGCCCCGGCAAGGGCCUUGCCGGGGGAGUCCACCUCGCCCUCUUCUCUUUGUGUCUCUGGUCUCGGCGUUGUUCUGGUUGCCUUGUGCUUUUGCUCCCUCUGCCCCACUAGGUAUGGUCGUACGCGUGGCUCUAACUGUCCGCGCAAAAGUAAAGGGGUACAAAAGUGAGCCCCUACUUUUCUGCACCGACACAAUGCAUGAUCAUGUAGUUGACAUCAUAUUUGUGGCGAAGCCACCGUUCAUCCUAUUUUUUAUACAUGUCACUCUUGAUUCAUUGCACAUCCCGGUACACCACGGGAGGCAUUCAUAUAGAGUCAUAUUUUGUUCUAGUAUCGAGUUGUAAUUUUUGAGUUGUAAGUAAAUAAAAGUGUGAUAAUCGUCAUUAUUAGAUCAUUGUCUCAUGCGAGGAAAUAAAAAAAGGGGAGAGAAAGGCCAAAUAAAAAAAAUGCCCAAAAAAUGAGAGAAAAAGAGAGAAGGGACAAUGUUACUAUCCUUUUGCCACACAUGUGCUUCAAAGUAGCACCAUGAUCUUCAUGAUAGAGAGUCUCCUAUAUUGUCACUUUCAUAUACUAGUGGGAAAUUUCCAUCAUAGAACUUGGCUUGUAUAUUCCAACGAUGUGCUUCCUCAAAAUUCCCUAGGUCUUCAUGAGAAAGCAAGUUGGAUGCACACCCACUUAGUUUUUUUUGAGCUUUCAUAAACUUAUAGCUCUAGUGCAUCCGUUGCAUGGCAAUUCCUACUCACUCACAUUUAUAUCUAUUGAUGGGCAUCUCCAUAGCCUGUUGAUAUGCCUAGUUGAUGUGAGACUAUAUCCUUCUCUUGUCUUCUCCACAACCACCUUCUAUUCCACCUAUAGUGCUAUGCCCAUGGCUCACGCUCAUGUAUUGCAUGAAAGUUGAAAAAGUUUGAGAACAUCAAAAGUAUGAAACAAUUGCUUGGCUUGUCAUCAGGGUUGUGCAUGAUUUGAAUAUUUUAUGUGAUGAAGAUGGAGCAUAGCCAGACUAUAUGAUUUUAUAGGGAUAAGCUUUCUUUGGCCAUGUUAUUUUGAGAAGACAUAAUUUUUUUGUUAGUAUGCUUGAAGUAUUAUUGUUUUUAUGUCAAUAUUAAACUAUUGUUUUGAAUCAUACGGAUCUGAACAUUCACGCCACAAUAAAGAGAAUUACAAGGAUAAAUAUUAGGUAGCAUUCCACAUCAAAAAUUCUAUUUUUAUCAUUUACGUACUCAAGGAUGAGCAGGAAUUAAGCUUGGGGAUGCCUGAUACGUCUCCAACAUAUCUAUAAUUUUUGACUGUUCCAUGCUAUUAUAUUAUCUGUUUUGGAUGUUUUACAUGCAUUAAUAUGCUACUUUAUAUGAUUUUUGGGACUAACCAACUAACCUAGAGCCAGUGCCAGUUUCUGUUUUUUCCUUGUUUUAGAGUUUCGCAGAAAAGGAAAUACCAAACAGAGUCCAAACAGAAUGAAACUUUGGCGAUGAUUUUUCUUGGACCAGAAGACAUCCAGAUGACUUGGAGUGCACGUCAGGGGAGCCACGAGGCGGCCACAAGGACGGAGGGCGCGUCUAGGUGGGUAGGGCGCGCCCCCACCCUUGUGGGCCCCUCGUGACUCCACCAACCUAUUUCUUCCGCCUAUAUAUUCUCAAAUACCCCAAAACCUUCCAGGGGAUCCAUGAAACCACUGUUCCACCACCGCAAUCUUCUGUACCCGUGAGAUCCCAUCUAGGGGCCUUUUCCGGCGUUCUGCAGGAGGGGGAUUCGAUCACGGAGGGCUUCUACAUCAACACCAUUGCCUCUUCGAUGAAGCGUGAAUAGUUUACCAUAGACCUACAAGUCUAUAGCUAGUAGCUAGAUGGCUUCUUCUCUCUCUUUGAUUCUCAAUACCAUGUUCUCGUCAAUGUUCUUGGAGAUCUAUUCGAUGUAAUACUUUUUUGCUGUGUGUUUGCCGAGAUCCGAUGAAUUGUGGAUUUAUGAUCAGCUUAUCUAUGAAUAUUAUUUUAAUCUCCUCUGAAUUCUUAUAUGCAUGAUUUGAUAUCUUUGCAAGUCUCUUUGAACUAUCAAUUUGGUUUGGCCAACUAGAUUGGUUUUUCUUGCAAUGGGAGAAAUGCUUAGCUUUGGGUUCAAACUUGCGGUGCUCGAUCCUAGUAACAUAAGGGGAACCGACACAUAUUGUAUUGCUGCCAUCGAGGAUAACAAGAUGGGGUUUUCAUCGUAUUGCUUGAGUUAAUUUCGCUACAUCAUGUCAUGUUAUUUAAUGCGUUACUCUGUUCUUAUGAACUUAAUACUCUAGAUGCAUGCAGGACUCGGUCGAUGUGUGGAGUAAUAGUAGUAGAUGCAGAAUCAUUUCGGUCUACUUGAUACGGAUGUGAUGCCUAUAUUCAUGAUCAUUGCCUUAGAUAUCAUCAUAACUUUGCGCUUUUUUCUAUCAAUUGCUCGACAGUAAUUUGUUCACCCACCGUAAUAUUUUCUAUCUUGAGAGAAGCCUCUAGUGAAACCAAUGGCCCUCGGGUCUAUUCUCCAUCAUAUAAUCUUCUAUUUUCCAUCAUAUAAGUUUCCGAUCUACAAUUUUAGUUUCAUAUUUACUUUCUUUGCAAUCUUUUACUUUCCGAUCUAUAAACCAAAAAUACCAAAAAUAUUACUUUACUGUUUAUCCAUCUAUAUCAGAUCUCACUUUGUAAAUAACCAUGAAGGGAUUGACAAACCCUUUGUUGCGUUGGGUGCAAGUUGGUGUUUGUUUGUGCAUGUAUUUGGUGGCUUGUUGCAUUGUCUCCUACUGGAUUGAUACCUUGAUUCUCAAAGUUGAGGGAAAUACUUACUCUACUUUGCUGUAUCACCCUUUCCCCUUCAAGGGAAAAACCAAUGCAAGCUCAAGCGGUAGCAAGAAGGCUUGGUGAAGCCUGACUAUCUACAUGGCCCUUCACAGGCUCGAGGCUGCCACCUGAGUAGCAAGCUAUUCAUCAACAUCGAGAUCUACAUAGAAUCCAUCAGAGGGGGCGGUGUUCUCCUCUACAAUAGUUUAUUAAGCAAACAUGGGUACUAAGGUACUCAGCAAGUCUUACACCAGAUCCUAUCAUAUAAGCAACAUUAUCAACAAGGGUAGUGGAAUUUAUGCAGCAAGCUAGCUCUGACUCUUGGCUAUUCUAUCCUUCGUAUAACAGUAGUUUGAAUAAGAUGAGAUAGGGCACAUGAGUCCACUAAUCACCACAACAACACUCCAUCGUGGAUCCUCUCCCGUCUUCCUACGAGUGGGCCAUCCAUGGCACUCACACUUGUCUUGAGUCUUCUAUGGGUAACCGUUAACUUGUCUAUGAACUGCAUAAGCAACCAAGUGGUCCAUUACUGCAGAUGUGGCUAUUCAAAUAGUUUGAUAACCCUGCUGGGGUGUACUUCUUCACACAUGUGUCCACCACUUAGCGCUUGCACACGUCAUGUGCUCGACAGACUUCAAGUGAAAGCCGGCGAGGGUGUAGACAAUGACCUAACCAACCACACAAGUCUCUAGUCCAGGUUUAUUGCCUAUUCGGGUUCCAUCCACAAGGAGAUCCAGCUGGUGUUUCCAGUACAGCCCCAAACGCUGUGUGUAGGGUUCCCGAGGCACCAAACUGGCAUGCCGGUACACCGUGCCAGGUACUUGCCCAAUCACAGUCCACCCCAAGGGUCAGCGCUGCGCACAGCCUCCAGUAUACUAUAGACACCAGAAACUACUUGUAACUACUGGACCGAGAUCAUGGCAGUCAAUAAUUCGAGCGGGGUCAUAUUUCAGGGCCCAAUGUGUCAUAGUAGCUGGUGUUGAAUCACACACACAGAACUCAAUUCUUAGGGACGGUUCCGUGGCAAAGACAGGUCAUGUAUAGGAAAGGGGUUCAACUACUGCAGCAAACAGCAGUUUGAAAUGUUGUUGUUUUAAUGCAGUAAAAGAGAGCAAGAGUGAGAAGAUGGUAUUGUAUCGAGAUGAUCAAUGGGGGUUGCUUGCCUGGAAGGGUGGUGGAAGUGUACUGCCCUUCGGUUGGAUAUAUUCACGGAUAUCCUCGGGUGUAGGACCUACCACGAAGAUCACACCGGUAACACAAUCAAUACAUGGCAAUAUGCAACAAUAUGAUGCAUGCAUAUGACAUGGCAAAGUGAGUGUGUUGGGCUAAUGCAACUAAAACCAGAGGGGUUGAGUCAAUUUGAACCAAAGGUUCAAAUUCAAACUCAAACUAUGAAUUUAUAAAGUGCGGUAUCAUGUUUUGAUGUAUACAGCAAGGUUAAGUUGCUUUGUCAUGCAUGAAACCAAUGCUAAUGGAUGGAUUGGAUUUUUCUGAUCAUUUUUCAUAUGUAAAUCUUUUCCAUCUAAGCUAUAGAUUAAUUUCUAUGAUUAUUUGAAGUUUAAACCUUUUUCUGGAUUUUUUGAUUAAUUAGAAAUAAACUAAUUCCAGAAAAGGGAAUUACCACGUCACCAUGACGUCAGCGAGUCAAUGGGGCGGCCCAGGUCAAACUGACCAGUGGGUCCCGCAUGUCAGUGACCAACUAAACUAACCUAAUUUAAUUAGUACUAACCUAGGUUAAUUAGCAGGGCGGCCCCACACGUCAAUGACCCAGGGGAGGUCAAACCCCUGUUCAACAGGGGCUAACACGCCGGCGCUUAGCCAUCGGUGAUAAAGGAUGCGGCGGGGCGCUUUGAGAACGGGUUGUGGUGCCCCGUUCGCAGUGCAGCUGGGCUCGUUCGAGAGCCUAGACCAGCGCGCGUCGGGCGAUGACGCCAGUCGGGCCUGAGGCGGCCAGAUGCAACGGCGGGGAGCUCGACUGCGGCGGCCGGAGCUCGGUCGCAGGCGCGGGCGGCACUGCGGGGCAUAGGCGGGCGAGCUAGCACGCUAGGGACGGCAUGCGCGAAGCGGCGAGUGCAAAGGACACGAUGGGCGAACCAUUUGGUCACCGAAGUUGUGUCGGCAGUGAUCGCAGCCGGUGGCGCAUGCGGGUGAGAGCGGCGGUGUGGCUACGUAGUGCGGCAGCGAGAACAAAGAGGUAAAGAAGGGGCAGCGGCUCACGGCGAUCGUAGUGGAGUGGACGGCGAGCUCGAAGGUGGUCGGAGCUGAGCGCGGUGGCGAGGGGGGUCUCCGGCGAUGGGCGAUGAAGGUGGGGUUAGGGAGGCAUAUCCAGGGCAUGUGAGCGCUCGUGGCUCGGCUGGCUCGGUGCAGUGGACGGCAAGGAAGCUCAUGAGCACAUCGAGGCGACGAGGGAGCGGUGGUGGCUGUGGCUUCACGGUAGCGUGGUAGUGGCUACAUCGGCCACGGCGAUCAGAGGGCAAGAGAGAGAGGGCAGGGGGAGAGUGAGGUGUCGGGGAGCUCGGGGCGGCACCGAGGAGGCGUUUCGACGCAUCUGCGCACUGUCCAGGUGACACAGGCGAGCAGGGAGCUGCACGGCGAGCUCGGGCGCGCGUGCGCUGUCCCCCUCUGCCUACUGGAAGAGGUAGGGGUGACUGGCACCAGGCCAGGUGGGUCGGCCCAGUUCAGGUAAGUUGUCUGGGGGCCUUCUCUCUCUGCCUUUUCUGUUUUUCUUUUUUUUCCGUCUUUCUUUCUGAUUUAGCACAAACGCCAAACCUCUUUGUAAAAUGCUGAAAAUAUUUGUGGGCACUUGUGAAAUUAUUUCCAACAGCCCUCAAAUGCUUUCAAGAUUAUUUCGACAUUUAAAAUUAUUUAUAAGAUUUAAAUGUCCAAAUGUAAAUACUAUAUGGAUUAGUUCAAAAAUCCAGAGUGUCCUAGAAAUAUGUGCACCAUUUUUGGUAGAGGUUCUAUUCCACUUCAAAAAUGAUGAACUUUUAUGAAGGGCGGUUUGCGUUCAUUGAAAUCAUGUUUUAGUUGAACCUGGUAUUUUCUUGGGGGUGCUAGGGUUUGUUGAUCCCAUUUCAAGUUUAAGAAAAUUUAAACAUGAUGCAUCACUCUAGCUAGUCCUAAUGCAAGCACUGACUAGGGCUGUGACAAGAGAAAUGGGAGAAAAUCAAGCGAAGAUAAUGCGAGUGAUCCUCCAUUAGUUAGGGCCUGGCUAAUUUAGCCGAUCCCUUAAUUUUGGGAUAUGGGAGAAAAUCAACUGAAGAACGCUACUGCUCGAUCCCCAUCCAACACUGGAAAUGCGUUUGGAUUUGUCCCAAAAAAAUUGUUGUUUGCCAGUUUUCUAUGCAUGUUAAUCGGUACUAAGAAAUGGGAGGAGUAGAACCUUUCCUCGCGAAUUAUCUUCAGGCAGAUAUUAUUGCAAUAGGAGGAUUCCAACGUUUCCUUACGAACUAAGUUACGUAAUAUUUAAAUUCUUUCCAUAUAUGGUUUCCAAUUAAGGAAUUUUGUAAAUGCAAGGGAAAUUGGGAAUUUUUUACCUACCACUGCUUUUCCUUCCACUACUGCCAAGGGGGACAUUUUCUCGCGAAAUACAGAGGCCCUUCCGAUGGGUCUGAGCUGUGAGGUGGAGGAAUCAUUAUUUUUUGCGUAAUAAGGAGGCACUUGCUUGCGUGUGGCCAUGGACCUAGCUGUCAGCCUCUCCACAUACAGUCCUCUUCUGAUGGCUGUCAUUCGUUGAUCGCGUUGACCACGCCGCGCGAAGAGCACCCAGGCGGUGGACGACGGUGAGGCACGGAACGACGUGGAGCCCGAGAACACGCAGAGGCUAGUAUGAUGGUUGACUGGUUCGGCUGCGGUAUGAGGCUGUCGUGGUGGCUGGAGCGAGGCAGUCGACGCUGAAUGAACAGUAGCCCGUGGAGUCCCGUUUUGCGGUACGCCACACCCCUCCCGAUGAACAGGACUCCAUUUCGAUCGUAGGCGCUCCAACACAAGUCCAUUUCCUCCGUUUUGCGAUACGCCACACCCAUCCCGAUCAACAACACCAUGUUACAACCGUAUGCACUCGAACACAGGUCCAUAUCCUGUGUUCUAUGGUACGCCAGACCCUUCCCAAUGAUAAGAACACCGUUUGGACCGUAUGCGGUCAAACAGAAGGCCAUUUCCUUUGUUCUGCGGUACUCCAGAGCUUGUUUCAGCUAUUCCAUCCAAGCCGGUUGGCUCCUAAUGAAAACGCGACGCUGUUUACUCUGUUCCGACCUAGCCGGUAGGCUGGCGAUGAACAUGACACUGUCGCUGUAUGCAUUAGAGACCCAACACAUAUGUACGUACGUAGCCGUAUUUACUAUCUUGUAGCAUGGUUGUACGUACGUGUACACGAUAUAGACGGGACUGCGUGACAUGCUAUGUCAGCGCCUCUACUCCAACACGUGUCGCUCCUUACUCGGCCAUGGUACGUCGCUGCAGAGAGACCGUUUGACCGCUAUGUACAUACACGUUCUUAGCAAGACAGAUAACGCUACCUUCGCUUCAACCCGGUGGGUCCCAUCUGUCAGGGGGGAAGAAGUCACUUCCUUCCAUGCAAAGGUAAAGCCGGUGGGUCCUAACAGUCAGGGGGGACAUUUUUUUGCAAAAUACAAAGGCCCUUCUGGUGGGUCCGAGCUGUCAGGUGGAGGAAUCAUUAUUUUGCGCGUAGUAAGGAGGCACUUGCUUGCGUGCAGCCAUGGACCUAGCUAUCAGCCUCUCCACGUACAGUCCUCUUCUGAAGGCUGUCAUUCAUUGACCGCAUUGACCACGCCGUGCGAAGAGCACCCAGGCGGUGGACGACGGUGAGGCAGGGAACGACGUGGAGCCCGAGAACAGGCGGAGGCUAGUAUGAUGGAUGACUGGUUCGGCUGUGGUAUGAGGCUGUUGUCGCUGCAAAAUAACAGGGGGUGUAGGUGAGUAGAGGGAUGGCCUGGCCAGUGGUGGGAGUAGGGUAGGGCGGUGAGGCCUGCGCGGCAGCACAACCGUCCAUGGAGGCAGGAACAGGCGGUCCCGCCGAUGCUGGUUUACGCGGUUGGUGCAAGAAGAUCAGAUAUUGAAGAAGCAGCGGGACCAUUUGAUUAAAAUCGAAUGGUCACUGCUCGUUUGUUGACUAAGUUGAUAAAUCCCUACGUGCGCAUCAACUUAGUAGGCCCACAGGCCAACCUCCGAACCGGUGCGCCGAAGAUGUCAGUGGGAGGAAUCAUUUUUUCGCAUAAUAAGGAGGCAGUUGCUUGCGUGCGGCCAUGGACCAUGGGGGUCCCUAUUGUCAGCCUCUUGACAUACUAUAUGAUUAUAUGAUUUUGUAGGGAUAAGCUUUCUUUGGCCAUGUUAUUUUUAGAAGACAUAAUUAUUUGUUAGUAUGCUUGAAGUAUUAUUGUUCUUAUGUUAAUAUCAAACUUUUGUUUUGAAUCUUACAGAUCUGAACAUUCAAGCCACAAUAAAGAGAAUUACAUGGAUAAAUAUGUUAGGUAGCAUUCCACAUCAAAAAUUGUGUUUUUAUCAUUUACCUACUCGAGGACGAGCAAGAUUAAGCUUGGGGAUGCUUGAUACGUAUCCAACGUAUCUAUAAUUUUUGAUUGUUCCAUGCUAUUAUAUUAUUUGUUUUAGAUGUUUUAUAUGCAUUAAUAUGCUAUUUUAUAUGAUUUUUGGGACUAACCUAUUAACCUAGAGCCCAGUGCCACUUUCUAUUUUUUUUCCUUGUUUUAGAUUUUCGCACAAAAGGAAUACCAAAUGGAGUCCAAACGGAAUAAAAUUUUCGCGGUGAUUUUUCUUGGACCAGAAGACACCCAGGAGACUUGGAGUGCAAGUCAAAAGAGCCACGACGCAGCCACAAGGGUGGAGGGCGCGCCCAGGGGGUUGGGCACGCCCCCCGCCCUUUUGGGCCCCUCGAUGACCCCCCUGACGUAGAUCGUCCUCCUAUAUAUUCUCAUAUACCCCGAAAACUUCCAAGAGAGCCAUGAAACCAUUUUUCCACUGCCACAACCUUCUGUACCCAUGAGAUCCCAUCUAGGGACCUUUUCCGGCAUCCUGCCGGAGGGGGAUUCGAUCACGGAGGGCUUCGACAUCAACACCAUUGCCUCUCUAAUGAAGCGUGAGUAGUUUACCACAGACCUACCGGUCCAUAGCUAGUAGCUAGAUGGGUUCUUCUCUCUCUUUGAUUCUCAAUACCAUGUUCUCCUCGAUGUUCUUGGAGAUCUACUUGAUGUAAUACUCUUUUGCAGUGUGUUUGCUGAGAUCCGAUGAAUUGUGGAUUUAUGACCAGCUUAUAUAUAAAUAUUAUUUGAAUCUCCUCUCUAUUCUUAUAUGCAUGAUUUGAUAUCUUUGCAAGUCUCUUCGAACUAUCGAUUUGGUUUGGCCAACUAGAUUGGUUUUUCUUGCAAUGGGACAAGUGCUUAGCUUUGGGUUCAAUCUUGCGGUGCUCGAUCCUAGUGACAGAAGGGGAACCGACAUGUAUUGUAUUGUUGCCAUCAGGGAUAACAAGAUGUGGUCUUCAUCAUAUUGCUUGAGUUAAUCCCGCUACAUCAUGUCAUCUUACUUAAUGCGUUACUCUGUUGUUAUGAACAUAAUACUCUAGAUGCAGGAAGGAGUCGGUCGAUGUGUGGAGUAAUAGUAGUAGAUGGAUAAUCGUUUAUGUCUCCUUGACAUGGACGUGAUGUCUAUAUUCAUGAUCAAUGCCUUAGAUAUCGUCAUAACUUUGCGCUUUUCUAUCAAUUGCUCGGUAGUAAUUUGUUCACCCACCGUAAUAAUUUAUAUCUUUCAGAGAAGCCUCUAGUGAAACCUAUGGCCCUCGGGUCUAUUUUCCAUCAUAUAAGUAUCCGACCAGGGGUUGUGUACAUGGAGAGGCAACGGACGACAGCAACGGCAUCCUGUUCAUCAGGCAGCGAACCGGCUGGGUUGGAAUGGAUAAACAUCAUCUUGUUCAUCGGGAAACAACCGACUAGGUCGGAAUGCAUCCUGUUCGACGGGAGCCAGCCGGCUUGGACAGAAUAGCCGAAAUGGGGUCUGGUGUAUCGCGGAAUGGAGGGAAUGGCCUUUUGUUUGACCGGCCAUGGUCGAAACGAGAUCCUGUUCAUUGGGAGGGGUCUAGCGUAUCGCAAAAUGGAGGAAAUGGACUUGUGUUGUAGUUCCUACGAUCGAAACAGGGUCCUAUUGAUCGGGAGGGGUGUGGCAUACCGCAAAACGGAGGAAAUGGACUUGUGUUGGAGUGCCUACGGUCGAAACGGGGUCCUGUUCAUCCACUGUCUACUGCCUCACUCCAGCCUCCACGGGUUACUUUUCAUCCACCGUCGACCUCCUCCACCCUCCACGGGCUACUAUUCAUCAUCAACUACUGCUCGUCCAGCCUCCAACAGCUGGUGUUCAUAGAGCCUCCACGGGGUCCUAUUCAUCCACCCCCAACCGGCUGGGGUGCGGAGGCCUCCUCGUGGUCUUGUUCAGCCAGCGACAAUGGCCUACUACCACAAGGUCCUGUUCAUCCAACCCCCACCGGGAACUGUUCAUCCAUAGCCAACCACUCGGCUCGACUCACCACGUCUCGAAUCGUUCUACGUGCCGCUCAGACGAUAGCAACAGUCACUCUUCAUAUAGAGGCAACCGAACACUGGUUGGCUAGCUACAUCUCGCACGGAGGCUCGAUCAGCUUCAGUAAGCAGCAACAGUGAUCGAUCGCUUGGGUUCAGUUAGCAGCAGCAGCGAAGGAAUCACUCGGGUUCAGUCAACAGCGAGUGAAUCGCUUGGGUUCAGUUAACAUCCAAGGGAUUGAUCACUCGGGUUCAGUAAUGUGUGAUCGCUCCGGAUUCAGUAAGCCAACGCCUCGCACACACACGCGUCCACAAGAGAAACGCGCAAACCAUAGUGCAUCGCUCAGCCCCGACCACCCACCGUAACCAGUAACUACGCGAUAUUUCCUCUCCCUCGCUUCAACCAUGAUUCUUUCCGUCAUGGACGGCCCAAAUAGUUAAAGGAAAUAUGCCCUAGAGGCAAUAAUAAAGUUGUUAUUUAUAUUUUUUAUAUCCUGAUAAAUGUUUAUUAUUCAUGCUAGAAUUGUAUUAAUCAGAAACUUAGUACAUGUGUGAAUACAUAGACAAACAGAGUGUCGCUAGUAUGCCUCUACUUGACUAGAUCGUUAAUCAAAGAUGGUUAAGUUUCCUAGCCAUAGAUAUGUGUUGUCAUUUGAUGAACGGGAUCACAUCAUAAUAGAAUGAUGUGAUGGACAAGACCCAUCCGUUAGCUUAGCAUAAUGAUCGUUUAGUUUUCCUGCUGUUGCUUUCUUCAUGACUUUUACAUGUUCCUCAGACUAUGAGAUUAUGCUACUCCCGAAUAACGUAGGAACACCUUGUGUGCUAUCGAACAUCACAACGUAACUGGGUGUUUAUGAAGAUGCUCUAUAGGUGUCUCCCAUGGUGUUUGUUGAGUUGGCAUAGAUCGAUAAUAGGAUUUGUCACUCCGUGUUUCGGAGAGGUAUCUCUGGGCCCUCUCGAUAAUGCUCAUCACUAUAAGCCUUGCAAGCAAAGUGACUAAUGAGUUAGUUGUGGGAUGAUGCAUUACCGAACGAGUAAAGAGACUUGCCGGUAAUGAAAUUGAAUUAGGUAUGAUGAUACCGACGAUCGAAUCUCGGGCAGGUAACAUACCGAUGACAAAGGGAACAACGUAUGUUGUUAUGCGGUUUGACUGAUAAAGAUCUUCAUAGAAUAUGUAGGAACCAAUAUGAGCAUCCAGGUUCCGCAAUUGGUUAUUGAUUGUAGAUGUGUCUCGGUCAUGUCUACAUAGUUCUCGAACCCGUAGGGUCCGCACGCUUAACGUUCGAUGCUGAUUUGUAAUAUGAGUUAUGUGAUUUGAUGUACUGAAGGUUGUUUGGAGUCCUGAAUGAGAUCACGGACAUGACGAGGAGUCUCAUAAUGGUCGAGACAUAAAGAUUUAUAUAAUGGACCAUGUUAUUCAGACACCGGAAGCAUUCCGGAUAGUUUCGGAUAAAACCGGAGUGCCGGAAGGGUUACCGGAACCCCCCGGGGAAGUAACGGGCUUUAGUGGGCCUUAGGGGUGAGAGAGGGCAGCAGCCAGGUGGUGGCACCCCCCAAGGAGAGUCCAAAUAUGACUAGGGGAGGGGGCGCGACCCCUCUUUCCCUCUCCCUCUCCCUUUCCUUCCUUCUUCUCCUACUUGGACUAGUAAAGGGGGAGCCGAUUCCUACUUGAAGUAGGACUCCCCCCUUGGGCGCGCACAUAGGGCCGGCCGGCCUCCUCCUCCCCUCCUUUAUAUACGGGGAGGGGGCACCCCAUAGACGCACAAGUUGAUCUUUUAGCCAUGUGCGGUGCCCCCCUCCAAAGUUACACACCUCGGUCACAUCAUUGUAGUGCUUAGGCGAAGCCCUGCAUAGGUAACUUCAUCAUCACCGUCACCACACUGUUGUGCUGACGGAACUCUCCCUCGGCCUCAACUGGAUCAAGAGUUCGAGGGACGUCAACGAGUUGAACGAGUGCUGAUCACGGAGGUGACGUGCGUUCGAUACUUGGAUCGGUUGGAUUGCGAAGACGUUCGACUACAUCAACCGCGUUACUAAACGCUUCCGCUUUCUGUCUACGAGGGUACGUAGACACACUCUCCCCUCCCAUUGCUAUGCAUCUCCUAGAUAGAUCUUGUGUGAUUGUAGGUAAAUUUUUUGAAAUACUGCCUUCCCCAAAAGUGGUAUCAGCGCCAGGUUUAUGCGUAGAUAUUAUAUGCAUGAGUAGAACACAAAGAGUUGUGGGCGAUAAUAGUCAUACUGCUUACCAGCAUGUCAUACUUUGAUUCGGCGGUAUUGUUGGAUGAAGCGGCCCAAACCGACAUUAGAUGACCGUGUUCAUGAGACUGGUUCUACCACCGUGCUUCGCACACAGGUGGCUAGUGGGUGUCUGUUUCCCCAACUUUAGUUGAAUCGAGUGUGACUACGCCUGGUCCUUGUUGAAGGUUAAAACGGCACACUUGAUGAAAAAUUGUUGUAGUUUUGAUGCAUAGGUAAGAACGGUUCUUGCUAGAAGCUCGUAGCAGCCACGUAAAACUUGCAACAACAAAGUAGAGGACGUCUAACUUGUUUUUGCAGGGCUUGCUGUGAUGUGAUAUGGUCAAGACGUGAUGGUAUAUAAAUUGUUGUAUGUGAUGAUCAUGUUUUGUAACAGUUAUCGACAACUGGCAGGAGCCAUAUAGUUGUUGCUUUGUAAUUGCUUUACUUUAUCACUAAGCGGUAGUGAUAGUCGUAGAAGCAAUAGUUGGCGACACGAAAACGAUGCUUCGAUGGAGAUCAAGGUGUCAAGCCAGUGACGAUGGUGAUCAUGAUGGUGCUUUGGAGAAGGAGAUCAAAGGCACAAGAUGAUGAUGCCCAUAUCAUAUCACUUAUUUGAUUGCAUGUGAUGUUUAUCUUUUUAUGCAUCUUAUUUUGCUUAGUUUGGCGGUAGCAUUAUAAGAUGAUCUCUCACUAAAUUUCAAGGUAUAAGUGUUCUCCCUGAGUAUGCACCAUCGCUAUAGUUUGUUGUGCCGAGACACCACGUGAUGAUCAGGUGUGAUAAGCUCUACGUUCACAUAUAAUGGGUGCAAUCCAGUUUUGCACAAGCAGAAUACUUAGGUUAAACUUGAUGAGCCUAGCAUAUGCAGAUAUGGCCUCGGAACACGGAGACCGAAAGGUCGAGCGUGAAUCAUAUAGUAGAUAUGAUCAAGAUAGUGAUGUUCACCAUUGAAAACUUCUCCAUCUCACGUGAUGACCGGACAUGGUUUAGUUGAUAUGGAUCACGUGAUCAUUUAGAUGACUAGAGGGAUGUCUAUCUAAGUGGGAGUUCUUAAGUAGUAUGAUUAAUUGAACUUUAAUUUAUCAUGAACUUAGUACCUGAUAGUAUUUUGCAUGUCUAUGUUGUUGUACAUAAAUGGCAUGUGCUACUGUUCCUUUGAAUUUUAAUGCAUUCCUAGAGAAAGCUAAGUUGAAAGAUGAUGGUAGCAACUACACGGACUGGGUAUGUAACUUGAGGAUUAUCCUCACUGCUGCACAGAAGAAUUAUGUCCUGGAAGCACCGCUAGGUGUAAAGCCCGCUGCAGGAGCUACUCCAGAUGUUAUGAAUGUUUGGCAAAGCAAAGCCGAUGAUGUAACGCCCUCGAUGCGGCUAUAUCUCCUACGUGUCGAAGCACGACUUAGAAUCAUAACCGCAUUGAAAGCAAUGUCACAAGUGAGGUAAUCUUCACACAACCCAUUUAAUCCAUAAGGGAAAGAGAUACAUAGUUGGCUUACAAUCGCCACUCAUACAAUUACAUGAAUAAAGCAUUACAUCAUCCAGAUACAAUCAAGGUCCGACUACAGAACCAAAAUAAAAGAAGAACCCCAAAAGCGACAAGGUCCCCGAUCGACCCCAACUGGGCUCCACUACUGAUCGACUGAAACGAAACAACACAAAGGACAAGAUCUUCAUCGAGCUCCUCCUUGAGCUCGGUUGCGUCAUCUGCACGGACUCAUCGGCACCUGCAAGCUGGUUUUGGAAGAAUCUGUGAGCCACAGGGACUCAGCAAUCUCGCACCCUCGCGAUGAAGACUAUUUAAGCUUAAGGGUAAGGCAAAAGGUAUGAGGUGGAACUGCAGCAAGCGACUAGCAUACAUGGUGGCUAACAUACGCAAAUGAGAGCGAGAAGAGAAGGCAAAACACGGUCGAUAAAAGUAUGAUCAAGAAGUGAUCCUAAAACAACCUAUGUCAAGCAUAACUCCAACACCGUGUUCACUUCCCGGACUCCGCCGAAAAGAGACCAUCACGGUUACACACGCGGUUGAUGCAUUUUAAUUAAGGUCAACUUCAGGUUUUCUACAACCGGACGUUAUCAAAUUCCCAUCAGCCCAUAACCGCGGGCACGACUUUAGAAAGUUUAAUUCCCUGCAGGGGUGUCCCAACUUAGCCCAUGACAAGCUCUCACGGUCAGCGAAGGAAUAGACCUCCUCCCGAGACAUUCCGAUCAGACUCGGUAUCCCGGUUCUACAAGACAUUCCGACAAGGUAAAACAAAACCAGCAACACCGCCCGAAUGUGCUGACAAAUCCUGAUAGGAGCUGCACAUAUCUCUUUCUCAGGGCACACUCAGAUUGUCCAAACUUCCGUUAGGCCAGCCCAGAGUUGCCCCUGGUGGCCACCGGCGGCUGACAGUUUGGACCAACACUCAGAGGAGCACUGGCCCGGGGGGUUUAAAAUAAUGAUGACCCUCAGGAGCGCGACUCCCAAGGGAAAAGAAAAGGCUAGGUGGCAAAUGGUAAAACCAAUGUUGGGCAUUGCUGGAAGAGUUUUACUCAAGGCGAACUGUCAAGGGGUUCCCAUAAUAGCCCAACCGCGUAAGGAACACAAAAUCCGGGAACAUAACACCGAUAUGACGGAAACUAGGGCGGCAAGAGUGGAACAAAACACCAGGCAUAAGGCCGAGCCUUCCACCCUUUACCAAGUAUAUAGAUGCAUUAAUUUAAAUAAGAGAUAUUGUGAUAUCCCAACAAGUAAACAUGUUCCAACAAGGAACAACAUCUCCAUGUUCCAAAAAGGAACAAACUUCAAUCUUCACCUGCAACUAACAACGCUAUAAGAGGGGCUGAGCAAAGCGGUAACAUAGCCAAACAACGGUUUGCUAGGACAAGGUCGAUUAGAGGCUUGGUUCAACAAUAUGGGAGGCAUGAUAAGCAAGUGGUAGGUAUCGUAGCAUAGGCAUAGCAAAAGAGCGAGCAACUAGCAAGCAAAGAUAGAAGUGAUUUCGAGGGUAUGAUCAUCUUGCCUGAAAUCCCACAAGGAAGACGAACGAGUCCAUGAAGAAGACAAACGAACGUAGACGAACGGGUCCACACAAACGCGACGUUAUCGGAAUCAACCCGAAGAAGCAAACACCAGAAAGAAGCACACAACAUAGUAAACAACCAACACAUGAACAUGAUAUGAUAUGCGGGAUGCGGUAUGCAAUGCAUAUGCAUGAUUUGACAAGAGAUGAAUGAACCUGGCCUCAACUUGGAAAUCCAAGUGUGCCACGGGAAAGGUGAGAUGAAAACGCUUGAAAACAAUAUGAAGAACGCCGGAAUCGGAGUUACGGUUUGGAAAUGACAAGCAAUUCAAAUAUGGCACCGGUCUGCGAUAUACCGCAAGUAGCCAUCUAAAUGCAACAGGUUAACCAUGCUACAUCACUCAAACAUGGCAACAAAAUACAUGGCAGGGAUCCAUUCAUGAUGCUUAACAAAAGAUGAACACUAAGCUAUGGCUAAUUCAUCCAUUAACAGGUUCAAACAAGCAUGGCAAAAGUGCAUUUGGUAAACAGAUCUCAGACUUAGUGAAAUUAACACAAGCCUGGAAUUUCAGAUCAGGUAGCACACUUUGGAGCAUGAAAACUAUAUGCUACAGGACCUGAACAUGGCAAAGUAAAGCAUUUCAUGGAGCUACUCAAAAAGCUUAACAAAAGUCCCUUAGUGACCUUGAGCCAAAAGGGAUCAGAAAAUACAAUUGCAAACAUGUGAACAUGGCAAAAACAUAAUCAGUUCUCAGGCUUGGUGAAAACUGGAGCAUGCUGAAUCAGAUAUCAAUUAGGCAUGUUCACGAGCUCGAUGCACUCACUACAGAGCAAGUCAUGACAAACUAAGCAUACACCCAUCAAGAAUAAACAAAAUAAAAGCUAGACAUGGAAAGAACAAUAACAUAGCAUGCACGGAUCAACUACAACAUCCUCGGCAAAAUCGCUAACAAGUAGACAAUCUGCCCAGAUUCACGAAAUAGCAAAAGUAGAGCUCGAUUGACUCAAGCUAGGUUGCUCCAGAAAUGCAAACAAAGACAUGGAUGGAUAGAGCACGACAAGAUUAACAAAACAUCCUUACUGAUCAUCCUCAAAAGAGGCACGGAUCGCUAGGAAACAACAUGAACAUAUGGCAUAUUGAGAUAAACAGCUCAAGGACUUAGUGGAAAUGCUAAGUCCCUGAAAUCAGCAUUAAUGAAUGCACCACUUUGCAAGCUUGUGUAAGUCACCACACACAUCACAAAAAUACAUGGGUUGCACCUCUGGAUAGAUGACAAAACAUAUAACAAAACUCAUGUAGAGCUCAGGGGCAUAUCAUGCACACAAUAAUCAUGGCAAAAAUGACAAAUAGCUAAAUGGAGCAGCAGAUCUGACAAUUAACUCAAAUAGCACUUUUCCAACAGCAUUUCGGGAAUCAAGAUGCACCCAAAAGAAAAUGACGCAAUGGGAUGAAAUGAUGUACUCUCUAAGAUGAACAUUUUGAUAUGCUAUAUGCCCAAAAUGGAGCUACGGAUGCGAAGUUACGAUGCGAUGAACAUGGGCAUAUGAAACAUGGAAAACUCGGGGACUUAGUGAAAAUAUAGACCUCCAGAUCUAGGGUUCAUCCGGCGCGUGAACCGAGGCGACGGCGGAUCUCGCCGGAGAUGGAAGGAAGAGGAGUGGACCUCGCCGGAGAUGGCGGAUCCGGGCCGGAUCUCGCCGGAUCCGGCCGGAUCCUGGCGCGGGCGGCGUAGGGAGGUCNNNNNNNNNNNNNNNNNNNNNNNNNNNNNNNNNNNNNNNNNNNNNNNNNNNNNNNNNNNNNNNNNNNNNNNNNNNNNNNNNNNNNNNNNNNNNNNNNNNNNNNNNNNNNNNNNNNNNNNNNNNNNNNNNNNNNNNNNNNNNNNNNNNNNNNNNNNNNNNNNNNNNNNNNNNNNNNNNNNNNNNNNNNNNNNNNNNNNNNNNNNNNNNNNNNNNNNNNNNNNNNNNNNNNNNNNNNNNNNNNNNNNNNNNNNNNNNNNNNNNNNNNNNNNNNNNNNNNNNNNNNNNNNNNNNNNNNNNNNNNNNNNNNNNNNNNNNNNNNNNNNNNNNNNNNNNNNNNNNNNNNNNNNNNNNNNNNNNNNGAGGAGAGAGAGGCGGCGCCACAUGGCGUGCCGUGAGUGGAUGUGGGCGGAGCAGCGGCUGAGGUGGCGGCCAGUGAUAGGUCCAGGUGAGGUGGCGGCGGCGGUGGACAUUGUCCGGCGGCGCGGGACGAAAUGUCCGGUGGCGCGCGGGGGAGUUUUAGGGUUUCGUCUGCACAAAUUUCGGAGGGGAACACACACACACACACACACACACACACACAGAUAUAUAUAUAUAUAUAUAUAUAUAGGUAGAGGGAGCUAGGAGAGUCCAAAUGAGGUGCGGUUUCCGGCCACGCGAUCGUGAUCGAACGACCGAGGGGAUGGAAGGGGUUUAGGUGGGUUUUGGGCCACUUUGGAUGGGUGUUGGGCUGCAACACACAUGAGGCCUUUCGGUCCCUCGGUUAACCGUUGGAGUCUCAAACGAAGUCCAAAUGGCACGAAACUUGACCGGCGGUCUACCGGUAGUAAACCAAGGCCGCUUGGCAAGUCUCGGUCCAAACCGGAAAUGUUUAACCCCCACACAUGAGAAGAAGGUAGAAUUGACCACCGGAGGAGAACGGAGCGCCGGAAUGCAAAACGGACAACGGGGAAAAUGCUCGGAUGCAUGAGACGAACAUGUAUGAAAAUGAAAUGUGCAUGAUGACAUGAUAUGCAAUGCAUGAAACGCAAGCAAUGACAACGCAACAAUAGCGAAUAACUGGAGGACACCUGGCACAUCGGUCUCGGGGCGUCAGAGAUGACUACUCGAUAGUUCAGUGUGCCAUGAUUUACGACUUAGAAUCGGGAAUUCAGCAACGUCUUGAACAUCAUGGAGCAUAUGAGAUGUUCCAGGAGUUGAAGUUAAUAUUUCAAGCAAAUUCCCAGAUUGAGAGAUAUGAAGUCUCCAAUAAUUUUUAAAUUUGCAAGAUGGAGGAGAAUAGUUAUGUCAGUGUACAUAUACUCAGAAUGUCUGGGUACCCUAACCACUUGACUCAACUGGGAGUUAAUCUUCCUGAUGAUAGUGUCAUUGACAGAGUUCUUCAAUCACUGCCACCAAGCUACAAAAGCUUCAUGAUGAACUAUAAUAUGCAAGGGAUGGAUAAGACAAUUCCUGAUCUCUUCGCAAUGCUAAAAGCUGCGGAGGUAGAAAUCAAGAAGGAGAAUCAAGUCUUGAUGGUCAAAAAUACCACUAGUUUCAAGAAGAAGUACAGAGGGAAGAAGGUGAACUUCAAGAAGAACGGCAAGCAAGUUGCUGCUCAAGUGAAGAAGCCAAAGUAUGGACCUAAGCCUGAGACUGAGUGCUUAUACUGCAAAGGGACUGGUCACUGGAAGCAGAACUGCCCCAAGUAUUUGGAGGAUAAGAAGGAUGGAAAAGUGAAAGGUAUAUUUGAUAUACAUGUUAUUGAUGUGUACCUUACUAAUGCUCACAGUAGCGCCUGGGUGUUUGAUACUGGUUCUGUUGCUAAUAUUUGCAAGUAGAAACAAGGGUUAUGGAUUAAGGGAAGAUUGGCUAAGGACGAGGUGACGAUGCACGUGGGAAAUGGUUCCAAAGUCGAUGUGAUCGAGGUCGGCAUGCUACCUCUACAUCUACCUUCGGGAUUAGUUUUAGACCUGUAUAAUUGUUAUUUGGUGCCAGCGUUAAGCAUGAACAUUAUAUCUGGAUCUUGUUUGAUGUGGGACGGUUAUUCAUUUAAAUCAGAGAAUAAUGGUUGUUCUACUUAUAUGAGUAAUGUCUUUUAUGGUCAUGGACCCUUGAUGAGUGGUCUAUUUUUAUUGAAUCUCGAUAGUAGUGAUACACAUAUUCAUAGUAUUGAAGCCAAAAGAUAUAAGUUUAAUAAUGAUAGUGCAACUUAUUUGUGGCACUGCCGUUUAGGUCAUAUUGGUGUAAAGCGCAUGAAGAAACUCCAUGCUCAUGGGCUUUUGGAAUCACUUGAUUAUGAAUCACUAGAUGCUUGCAAACCAUGCCUCAUGGGCAAGAUGACUGUAAGUGCAUCUAGUGCCACCCCUAGUUGGUUUUGGAGUAUUGACGACAAACCUAGUUGAGGGACCAAUGUGUUUGUGAGAAUUGCAGGAAAACACAGGUAAAAGUCCCUCAUUGAUUCGGUUUUACUACCAGAGAUGACCCCUAAAAAUGCAUGAAGACAUUGAAGACAAAGGUGGUAUAUGAAGAUAUUCACAUUGAAGACUAUGACAAAAGAAGACACGUUAUGAAGCUUAUGGAGCUCGAAGACUUAGAUCUUUCGUAGUUCUUUUUCUUUUGUGUUGAGUCAUAGGAACCACCAUACUGUUAAGUGGGGUCCAGGAGAACCAGUCGGAAUGACUGAAGUGAUGCCUAAAUCAAAAACCUAUGUCUUCGAGUGAAGACAAUGAAAGCGAAUCUUGUCCAGAGCCGGACAAGUCAGCUUUGCUUGUAGCCCAAGUAAAGUUGCCAUGAGAGUUCGAAAUCUGACCAUUGAGACACGUGUCAGUUCCUUAGUGACCCAGGGUCAUUUUGGACAAAUCAGGUCGGGUUGCCAAGUGGCUAUAAAUAGCCCACCCCCUACAACCAUAAACGGUCGGCUGCUCAGAUUUCAGUGCAUGGCUUUUGUCGUUUGAGAGCAACCCACCUCGAAGCCUUUGAGAGAAAAUUCCUAGCGAGGAGAAAAGCCCUAACCACCCAGAGCCAGAGUAAAUUGGGCAUCACUUAAGUCUUCUUGUCUGUGUGAUCUAAAGACUUAUUACACUUGAGGACUGUGAAUCCUCCAGACGUUUAGGCGUCUCGUUCAGAGCAUCCAAGAGACAUUGUGGAUUGCCAGUGAACGAAGUCUGUGAAGGUUUGGGAGUCUACCUUGAAGACUUACCAGAGUGAUUGGGCGAGGACUAAGUGACCUUAGCUCAAGGAGAAUACGGUGAGGACUUGGUGUCCUGAACUGUGUGUUCAGGACUGGGUGUCCGGGACUGUGUGUCCUAAGGUUUAAAUACCUAGACGCUCCAACCAGACGUACAGUUGUCACAGCAACUGGAACUGGUCCAACAUAUCAUUGUCUUCAACGAGUCACUGGUUUCAUCUUCACUUCCUUUUCUUACUGUUACUCAUUGUGAAGCCAUUGCAUGCUUGCUUUAUCUUUUGUCUUCACAACGUGAAUGUAUGAUCUAUUUGUCUUCAUAACUUCUUCCUACCUGAUCCUUAUUACACUACAGUUGUUUGUCAUUGUGCUUUCACUCUAUUGAAUACCUAACCAUGGCUGGCUUAGUGUAAUCUAACUUCUGCUGCAUAGUAAUAGGCAUAAUCUUCGCUGGUUGUCUUCAUAACUCCCAUGUUUUGAAGACUUUCAUAAAAAUCGCCUAUUCACCCCCCCCCCUCUAGUCGAUAUAACGCACUUUCAAUUGGUAUCAGAGCAAGGUGCUCCCUUGUUCUGUGUGAUUCGGUUUCACCACCUGGAGUUUUAGCUAUGUCGACUGCAGGGAUAAUCAAAGUCUCCGAUGCGUGCCCCGUCUUUGAUGGAACUGAAUAUCCUACUGGAAGAAUAAGAUGCGCAUGCAUCUUGAAGCCAUUGACGUCGACCUACGGUAUGUCGUCGAGAACAGCGUUCCCAAGGCUGGAGAAGGUGUCACUGCUGUUGAUGUCAAGAAGUUCACUCAACUGGACUCUACUGCCAAAAAUAUCAUCUGUGGUCAUCUUACAAAAGGACAGUAUGGCCGUGUGAGUGCCUUGAAGACAUCCAAGAUGGUGUGGGACUGGCUCUCCAAGGUCAAUGAAGUCUCAACCCGGAGAGAUCAAAGAAUCAGUGUUCUUCGCAACCUCUUCAAUCGCUUCAAGCGAAAUGACAAUGAGAAUGUCCAGCACACAUUUGACCGACUCACUGACAUCACAAAUGAGCUUCAAGCCCUCGGUGCCACUGAGAUCACCAAACAUAAAAUCAUCAAGACGCUGCUGAGAUCACUUGAUAGAUCGUUUGACAUCCUAGCCCUGAUGAUUCAAGAACGUCCUGAUUUCAAGACACUCGAUCCAUCUGACAUACUUGAGAGGCUCAACACACAUGAGUUUUAGCUUUCUGAGAAAAGAGAUAUCUACGGUCCAAACUAUGGGCGAACUCGUGCCUUGAAGGAAAAAGCUGUUUCCUCAUCUAAAGAAGAAUCUGACAGCAGUUCUGAUGAUCCUGAAGACAUUGGAAGGGAACUUGCAAUGCUAGUGAAGAAGUUCCAAAAAUUCACCAAGAAGAAAGGCUUCAGAAAAUCUUCACGAUCAAGCUCAAGGAAUGAUGAAGCUUCUGCUCAUGACUACAAGAAGAAAACAUGUCACAAGUGCAAGAAAACUGGACACUUCAUCUCUGAGUGUCCACAGUGGGACAAUGAGAACAGAAGGAAGAAGAAGAGCAAGGAAUAUGAUUCUGACGACAAAAAGAAGAAGAAAUACUCAAAGUCUUCUUCCAAGUCUUCCUCAAAGACUUCAUCACACAAGAAGAGCUCAUCUGGCAAGGCACAUGCGUUUGUUGGCAAGGAAAUGGAUUCAGAGGAGGAGUCCGCUUCUGAGGAGGCAGAGGUGGAGUCUGAGGAGGAGUCUGAUUCUGGCAUUGCGAGUCUGGCUACAGCAUACGUCGCCAAGUCCAUCUUCAACACUGAAGACAAUGACUUCAUCACCGACACCAAUGCAAAUGACAAGAACGACUCCACUCCUACCUACUGCUUCAUGGCACGCGGUGCCAAGGUAAACACAUGCACUACUCGCUAUCAAACAUCUAGUGACGAUGACUCUGACUGUGAUUCAAAACCCAGCUACAAAACACUUGCUAAAAUUGCAACUGAACAACAGAAAGCUAUGGAACAUAUUCAAAAACUGUUAGACAGAAGCGAUGAUCUGUUGGGUGCUGAAAUGACUCGAUCUGAAUCCUUAAUUGAAGACAUAAAAAAUCUUCACGUUAAGUAUCAGGAACUUGAAGAUCAUCUUGAUACUCUCUCAACAACUCAUGAAAAGCUUUCCCAUGAUUAUCUUCAAAGGAAGCAAGAACUUAAGAAAUUGAGAGCGGCUCAUCAAGAUCUUCAAAAGGAAAACGAGUCACUUCGCGCUGAACAGAUCAGUUCCGCUCAGGAAGGAUUUGAACCACCAUGUCUUAAAUGCAUUGAGCAUGAUAAUGCUACUUCUGUUGCUGAAUGUUCCACUGCUACUACUGUUGCAAUAUCCUCAACUGUUGAUGUGGUAACUAACCCCUCUGCUGAGGAUACCACUGCUAUUGCUGAUGAGAAUGCUAGGUUGAAGACAUUGCUUGAAACAGGGAUGUACAAAAGUCUCAAAGGACAUCAGACAUUAUGUGAUGUCCUCAAGAAGCAGAUUCUGAACCGAAACCCUAGGAAAGAGGGUGUUGGGUUCGUAAGAAAAUAAAUGCAAAUGGCUCUUACUAGAAACCUGAGCAGUACCCCAAAACCACAUGGGUUGCUGCAAAAGGAACUUUCAGCAGAUCCAUCCAAUUUAUCUGGCUUCACUUGUGCUAACCCCAUCAUCAUUGAUGAAUCCUUUGAUGCAAACUAUAAACUGUUUAAGAAUCAGAAUGGUGAAGUGUUUGCCAGGUACAUUGGUACUAACUGCAGGAAUGGACCUCCUAUGAAGAAGAUCUGGGUUUCAAAAAGGUGUCUGGAAAAUCUUCCUGUGAAUGUCUUCAUGACACCUCACUUGAAGAAGACAAACCUCAGACCAAAGGCUUCAUACGGUCCAAAGGCUUCAUACAAACAGAGGAAUCACCUGAGUCACACUAACGCAAAUGUUUUGCAGGGAAACCAUACUCAGGCAUAUGAAUAUGAGAGCGGUUCAUCGAACCGUCAUGUUCAUAUGACCAAAAAUUAUUCUGCUUAUUCCUAUGAGUAUUAUUGUCCACCUGCAAGAUUGUUUGCUAAGGCUUCAAAGCCAAAAUUCUCAGAUGCUGCACUUAGACUUAUUGCUUCUAAGCCACCCUUGAAGAUGUGGGUGGUUAAGAAAGCUUAACUCUCUCUUGCAGGGAAAGGUCUCCAGCAGAAAAACAAAAUCUUCUGACGCCAUUGCUGGGGACCUUAAAAAUCUUGUAGGGCGCAAGAUAAAAUGCCCGAAUGGCAUCAUUAUGUACUUCAUUCCUGAAUCGCAUGCUACUCUCCCUAUUAGUCCUAAUCUAGAUCUAAGUUUUCAUAACCCACUGGUUCGUCAAAUGUUUUUGCUUCACAAUUCUCUUCGUGAAGCCUAUCCCCCUAACUGCACUGUAGGGUACGACACCAGCGACUUCAAAGUCUUCAGAAUGGAUUAUUGACAGUGGGUGUACAAAUCACAUGACUGGCAAAAGAAACCUUCUUAUGGACUCAACAUUACGUCCAUCCGACAAGAGCCACAUCACAUUUGCUGACACUGGUAAAAGUAAGGUAUUGGGUCUAGGUAGAGUUGCAAUCUCAAAGGAUCAACACAUGGAUAAAGUCAUGCUUGUUGAAUCCCUUGGCUUCAACUUAAUGUCUGUCUCAAUGCUUUGUGAUUUGAAUAUGAUUGUAAUGUUUGGAAAAUAUCGUUGUCUGGUACUAAUGGAAUCUGACAAGUCUCUAGUGUUUGAAGGGUAUCGCAAAGGUGAUUUGUACGUGGUAGAUUUCUCAGCAGGGCCACAACUUGUAGUAUGUCUUCUUGCAAAAGCUUCAGAAUGCUGGCUUUGGCAUCGGAGGCUUGGGCAUGCUGGCAUGAGGAACCUCCACACCCUUGCGAAGAAGAAGCAUGUCAUAGGCAUCGAGGGCGUCAAGUUCAAGAAAGAUCACUUAUGCGGUGCCUGUGAAGCAGGGAAGAUGACAAGGGCAAAACAUCCUUUGAAGACAAUCAUGACAACUACACAACCCUUCGAACUACUCCACAUGGAUCUUUUCGGUCCCACUCACUACUCAACUUUUACUACUUCUGCUUGCCUCUAUGGCUUUGUCAUUGUUGAUGAUUACUCUAGAUAUAUUUGGGUGCACCUAAUCCUUUACAAGACUGAAGUGCAGGAUGUCUUCAGACGCUUCGCCAAUCGAGCUAUGAACAAUUUUGGCGCCAAGAUAAAGCACAUCAGAAGUGACAAUGGCACUGAAUUCAAGAACACUGGCCUUGAUACAUAUCUUGAUACCUUGGGCAUCACACAUGAAUUCUCAGCUCCGUACACGCCACAGCAGAAUGGCGUCGUCGAACGCAAGAACAGAACACUCAUUGAGAUGGCCAGAACAAUGCUAGAUGAAUACAAGACUCCAAGAAAAUUCUGGACUGAAGCCAUUGACACUGCAUGCCAUACAAUCAAUUGUGUUUAUCUUCACAAGCUUCUGAACAAGACAUCUUAUGAACUCCUAACUGGCAAGAAGCCAAAUGUCAGUUACUUCAGAGUAUUUGGAGCAAGGUGCUGGAUCAAGGACCCACACCACACCUCAAAGUUUGCACCAAAAGCACAUGAGGGCUUUAUGCUUGGAUAUGGAAAGGAUUCGCACUCUUACAGAGUCUUCAAUCUCUUUCAUUAAAAAGUGAUUGAAACAGUGGAUGUGCGGUUCGAUGAGACAAAUGGUUCACAAAGAGAGCAACUGCCAAAUGUGCUAGAUGAAAUUCCAGCUAAUGAAUCAAUCAAGUUAUGGGAACUGGAGAGAUUAUACCUUCUGAAGCUCAUCCUGAAGAAGAACUUAUCAUCUCAGCACCUGAUCAACAUGAAGACAUUGCUCAGCCUGAAGACAUUCCUCCCAACAACAACACAGAUCAGCAAGAGCAAAGUCUUCGCCCUGUACAUCCUCGUGUUGCCAAUGAAGUGCAGAUUGACAGAAUAAUUGACAGCAUCAAUGCACCUGGUCCACUCACUCGUUCAAGGGCAACUCAGCUAGCAAAUUUCUGUGGGCACUUCGCAUUCGUAUCAAUAUCAGAACCCAAGAAAGUUGAAGAAGCCUUCAUGGAACCUGAAUGGAUUCAAGCUAUGCAAGAAGAGCUUCAACAGUUUGAACUGAAUAAUGUAUGGGAACUGGUCAAGCGUCCUGAUCCACGGAAGCACAACAUAAUAGGCACCAAAUGGAUAUACCGCAACAAGCAAGAUGAGCAUGGUCAAGUUGUCAGAAAUAAAGCUCGUCUCGUUGCUCAAGGAUAUGCUCAAGUGGAGGGCAUUGACUUCGAUGAAACAUUUGCUCCUGUGGCUAGGCUUGAAGCCAUACGCAUACUGCUGGCCUAUGCAAAUCAUCAUAACAUACUUCUAUAUCAAAUGGAUGUGAAAAGUGCCUUUCUCAAUGGCAAGAUUGAAUAAGAAGUGUAUGUUGCACAACCGCCUGGCUUUGAAAAUCCAAAACAUCCUGACAUGGUAUACAAGCUCAACAAGGCACUGUAUGGCCUCAAACAAGCUCCCAGGGCCUGGUAUGACACACUCAAAUACUUCCUGAAGAGCAAAGGCUUCAUACCUGGUUCCAUGGAUCCCACUCUUUUCACGAAGACAUAUGAUGGUGAACUGUUUGUGUGCCAAAUAUAUGUGGAUGACAUUAUCUUCGGCUGCACCAAUCAGAAGUACAGUGAAGAGUUUGGAUAUAUGAUGCAAGAGCAAUAUCAGAUGUCCAUGAUGGGGGAGCUGAAGUUCUUCCUUGGUCUUCAAAUACGACAAUAGCGCAAUGGCAUCUUCAUAUCUCAAGAGAAGUAUCUCAAAGAUUGCCUGAAGAAGUUCGGUAUGCAAGACUGCAAAGGCUUCAGAACACCAAUGCCAGCCAAACAUCAUCUAGGUCCUGACGACAAUGGUAAAGAGUUCGAUCAAAAGGUAUACCGCUCCAUGAUUGGGUCUUUGCUUUAUUUAUGUGCAUCUAGGCCAGAUAUUAUGCUUAGUGUUUGCAUGUGUGCUCGAUUUCAAGCGGCACCAAAGGAGUCGCAUCACUUAGCUAUGAAGCGAAUUCUUCGAUAUUUGGCUCACACCCCAGCUCUAGGAUUAUGGUAUCCAAAGGGCUCAGAGUUUGAUUUGGUUGGAUUUUCGGAUGCUGAUUAUGCUGGUGAAAAAGUUGAUCGCAAGUGUACAUCAGGCACAUGUCACUUUCUGGGAUGAUCACUUGUAUGUUGGUCUUCGAAGAAGCAGAACUAUGUAUCUCUCUCAACUGCUGAAUCUGAAUACAUUGCUGCUGGAUCUUGCUGCGCUCAGCUUCUGUGGAUGAAGCAAACACUCAAGGAUUAUGGCAUUCAUCUGAAGCAAGUGCCACUUUACUGCGACAACGAAAGCGCCAUCAAGAUUUCCAACAACCUAGUUCAGCACUCGAAGACAAAGCACAUUGAAAUUCGUCAUCACUUUCUCAGAGAUCAUGUUGUGAAGGAAGACAUUGAUAUCAUACACGUCAACACUGAAGAGCUAUUGGCAGAUAUCUUCACCAAGCCCUUGGAUGAGAAGAGGUUUUGCAAGUUACGGUGUGAGCUAAAUAUCUUGGAAUCCUCAAAUGUCCUGUGAUCAGGCACACAUCCUAACACUUAUGCAUAUUGAUAACUUAGAUGUGCAACACACAAAGUAAAGUAUAUCUUCAAUCAAUGAAGACAUACAUUCUAAGUUUGAAUACAUUAAUGUGGAAUUUGACUUCGGAGCGCCACGAUAAUUGUGUGCCGUGUCUGGGUCUAAUACUUCCUAUACGGUGGGUAACGCCACCACCAAAUGUUCCAUUUUGAAGUGUUUCACUCAUGGCGUUACCUUGCAAUAUCUUCACAUUUGGUUUGACUUCGAACUCAACAUGUCUUCAUGAUUAUCUUCACUACGUUGAUUAUAUAGAUAUAUACAUACUAGUGUUCUAUCCUCUACAACAUUCACUUAUAGCUAUGUCUUCUUGGUUGAAUCUUUUGAACUAAGUGAAUGUGAUCGGACCCUAAUCUCUUUAUGCUUUCUAUCUCAAAUUCUAUCUCUCCAAGUCAUAUGCAUUCUACUGAAACUGUCGAAUGUCUUCACUGUGUCCUUGUCAGCUGAAGAUAUAGAGACAACCAUAAAGUCCGUUUUUAAUGCUCAUUCCUCCACAUAAAAUCCGGAGAAGCAGGAACGACCGCCCGACAAUUUAGGCGUGCGUGGGACGUGGAACAAACCCCAAACUUCCGCUAACUGGCCACGCGUUCCUCAGAUGCGAACCGCCAGGGGCACCUGUGUAAUAGCAUAGUGCCGCCCCUGAGCCUAUAAAUUCACACUUACCGCGGUCAUUAUCUCCUUCUUCCACCCUCGCACGAACCCUAGCGCCACCGCUAGCACUCGACGACGCCGGAGACGAAGCGCUUCGCUGCCGCAACCUCUCCAAUGCCGUCCUCACGCCGACCGCGGACAUCGUCCUCUCUGCCGUCACCGUAGGUGUUUUCCGUCGCCAAGUUAGGGCACGGAGGACUGAACUGCUCGGCAUCAACUCCCACUUCCGUCUAGCAGUUCCAGUGUGGUAAAUAAAACUUCUUUUUACAGCCCCUUUGAUCUCAUGGUUCUGUCACUUUCUACCAUAAGAAGUUUCUCUUCACACUAGAUAGAUCUCUCGCUGCAUCUCAUAACAUGCCUAGUAUAUUCACUUGUGCUUCAUAAAGUAGUUAGAUUCCUCACUUGUACUGAUCUGUGGGUUCGUACAAAUCUGGAACCAACUUCUUAUCUAUGAGUGAAUGUCUUCGCAUGAUGAGGUCAAUGUCUUCUAAACUGAUUAAUCUUCAAAACCUUCUGAGAAUGCAUAUGACCUCUUCCCCUUCCCUCGCACCUUAAUGUUCUCACAGGUACAUGUCCGUGGGAGAAUUCUUCGGUUCUCAUAGUCUGCAUUCAUUUGCAGAAUUCCUACAGCAUCACAUAAACUCUCCUGAAGCCAGUUCCUAUUGGUCCAGAAAAGGAAAGCCUUUGAAGCCUUUGAAAGUUUUGAAGCCUUUCAAGUUAAAGUUUAUGGCUUCAGAAGCAGCAGCAAGGAAGGGGGGCAGACAGAGACGUGAGGGAACUUCCAAAGAUCUGCCUGAAGACUUGGCAGAAAUGUAUAAAACAGAUCCUGAAGAGAGCUAUGGGCAGCGCAAGACCCGAAUCCAAUGGAUUCGACGCUAUUGGGCAGAACAAUGGUUCAAAUACCGCUUCGUCACCCAGGAGUAUGCUGAAAAGAGUGCCAUCAAGAGACCAUGGGGGAUAUCUUAUACAAGAACCUUGUACCCAGGACCAGAGAUGAAGCCAUUGCUCAAGGCUUCUACCCAUGCAUGGUCCGAGGACCACAGCCUGAUGAUGCACACCCGUCGUCACUUCUCUGGUGUCGUGACGACAAUCUAUUCAAGCGCAACUACCAGUUUGCCCAACAGUCAGCAAAGCAGGACAAGAAGAAAUAUGGGUUAGACUUCAACCCUGGCCCCUCCGCACCAAGGGCAGAUGGCACACGCUACGCAGAACCAAAUAUCAUUGGUCCGUUUGCCAACCUUGAGGGCCUCAUCACCCACAUCUUAGUCCAAAGGGCUGCCGUGAAUGACCCUCAAGCUGACUCAGAGUCUAAUGAAGCUCCUGCUGUGCCGAAGCCAAAGCAGACGAAGAAACCAAAAGCUUCAAGGCCGGCCCCUGCCUCAAAAAUCUCAAGGGCGAAGCCAUUGAAAACUGCACCUCCUGAAGUUAGUGUGCAGUCUGAAGAAGUAUCCCGCAUCUCCAAGCCCCGGAAGGAAAAGGAGCCCCAGCAACAAACAGGCAAAGAGCUCACUGCUGCUGCCAUUCUGCGCAGCAAAGCCAUUGAUCUAUCAAGCGAUGAAGAUCUUGGAGAUGACGCUCUAGAGCAGCUUAUCAAAAGCAAGGAAGAAGCUGAAAUCUUCAACAAUUUGUCUCUCUUUGAUGUCGCCAUCAUCCACAACUUCAUCGAUGAAUGGUUUGCCUCACCAGACAUCAGCUUCGAAGAUCUGCAGCUGCUCGUUGGCCUCAGCGUCGCCUUCCAAGGUGCAAUUGCUUCAGAACUGGCCAUUGCUCAGCGCAUUGUUGAGCUGAAGCAGAAAAUUGAUCAUGAAAAGGCUUAGUUCAAGAAGCACAUGGCCAGGCUCAGCAUGCAGGAAGUGAAGAGCUUCAAAACCAUGUUGCAUGAGCUCAAGGAAAAUUUUCUGAACAAGCAUGCUGAAGCUCAGGGCUCGCGUGAGCGGAUGAAGUCUCUGGCAGAACGAUGUGUGCAGGCCUACAAUGAGGCCGAGAAGCGCAAGGCACUUGGGCGUCCUGGCAUCGACCCCAAGAUGGCCGCGAAGAAGAAGAAGCAGCCUACUGUGAAUGAACCAGAGGCACCAAGACAAGAAGCUAUGCCGAUUGUCUUCCCAACCGCCACGACUGGCUCGAAGCCAAAGAGCCGGUCAACCGCUUCAGAGCUUAAGAAGACACGGAAUGCAGAGGCUGAAGCUAGGAAGAGGAAACACUCUGAAGCCUCUCCUUCUGACCCCACCAAGAAGAAGCGCAAGAUCAAGAAAGCUCGGGAUGCUCCCACAGAGCCCUUGAUGGUUGAACCCCUCUCUGUCAUUCACCCCAACGUAGAACGUUAGCUGACAGUUCAUGAGCCUGCUCCCACAGAGGCUCCUGAAGCUGAAGAUAUUCCAGCAGCCGACCCCAUAGCUGCUGAAGACAUUGGUCACCAAGACAAUGUACAAGAUGAUGCAGCCCUUCCUCAGCUUGAAACAAGCGAACUCAUCAGUAUUGGUCGUCCUCUGAAGCCAAUGGCACAAGAUGAGUCAUGGGCGGAUCGCCCUCAGGAGGAAGAAGACUUUGAGGCCCAGCCCACUCCGACCCCACAAGCGUCGUCUGUGUUCCGUAGGCUUCGCAAAGGUCCACGGCCUCAAGUCCAUACUGAAGAAGUUCUGGCUGCAUCAGCCGAAGACAAUGAAGAAACACCACCAGAACCCACUCCCCCGCUCCAUCAAGAUGCAGUUCUCCAGGAGAACGUGCCUGAGGUUGUCCCUCCAACUACACAAGCGGAGGAAGAAAAUGUUGAGGCUGCCACCACAAACACUGAAGCCAAUGUGGAGCCCGCCCCACCAAAUGCUUCAGCGGACAGCGAAGCUACUGAGCUAGACACUUCUGUUCCUGAGUCUGCUGCAGGUCCACAGUUUGAUUAUCAUAUUGAGCAUAGGCCUCAUGUCCAGAAGCCAGUCCCAAGGCUUCCAAGGUUCCCAGGUCCUGCAUCAGCACCUGGCUCCUUUGAUAUUAACAGCUUCAAGGCAGACAAUACAUUUUUCAACAGCUCCAAGAACCCCUAUUCAAGGGCAAGGAUUGUAUCAGACAGGUUCUGGAGCUAUUCUCAGCGUAGCUAUUAUUCAUGCAUCCUAUAAAACCAAGGUCGCAUCUUCCCGCACAAGCGCCUUGAGGUUGAAGCCAUUGCUGGUCUGCCCUGCUUAGAGGAAGCACUGGAUUGCUUCAGGCAAGUGGGUCUGCUACCGUUUGUGACUGAUGAAGAGGAGUGGAAUGAAGAGCUUCUGCUUCAGUUCUAUGCCACCCUCCAUAUAAAAGGAUACAACAGAGAUCCGAAGACUUGGAUCCUGGAGUGGAUGACCGGCAAUGUCCAUCAUGAAGCCAAUGCAUUUGAUAUCAUUGAGCUCACCGGCCUGCCCACUCCAGGCGAAUUCUUCAAGGAAGGCUGUCAACUACAUUCUGAAGCGAUUGAGAGCAUAUUCCAGAGGCCUGAACCCAAAAUGAGUCAGAUGCUCUCAAUGAUGAAGCCAUUGCCCCAUGAUGCACCCUAUCCUACUGAGUUCUUCGUUGAAGACCUAGAGUACCUUCCCAGGACCAUAUAUCACAUCAUCCGGCGGACUCUCUGGCCCAUUAAGGGACACUCUCCACAUGCCAAGAUUGAGGGCACAAUGAAGACUCUCAUAUUCUAUAUCCUGCAUGGCAAAUUCUUCAACGCACAGGAUCUCUUCAUACGCCAACUUGCAGCGUCAGGCUCAGAAUUAUUUGGUUUGAAGUUCUAUGCUCCUUGGGUGAUGAGGCUAAUCAAACUGCACUCUGCGAUCACGUAUCAGCCCUCUGCCCGAAACCAUCAGAUCUUCUUGCCAGAUGUGGAUACCUCUGCUGAAGCAAUAUAUCCUGAGCCUGCCAAGCAACCGAUAAGUCUUCAGAAUGCAGAACACCAGAGCUUCACACAGAAUGUUGAAGGUGUUGAAGCCAUAUCCAGGGUAUAUCCGUUGGCUGGCACUACACGUGCACCAGCAUCUACUGAAGCCACAGACAGCACAAAUGCUCCAAGACCCAAGAAGCGUGCUCGUGUCCUCAAUGACCGAGAGCUUCUUGUGGCCCUUCACCAAUAGCAGGAUAGGCAUCACGACUGGCUAAAACGUCAGAUGAAGAGCCUCUUGGUGGAUGUCAAUCGUCUUCGAAACCUUGCCACCAAGAAUGCCUUCGUUACACACGAAACCUGCCAUCGUACAUGGAAAGGGCUCUCAAUGAUAUGCACUGAAGCUGAACUUGAAGAGGAUGGCUUCACAGAGCGCUUCAUGUUUGACACCACACCUCCUAGAAGGGCUGUGAUGCGCAACACACCAUCACUUGAAGAAUCUGAGUUUUCUUCAUCUGCUGCCACAGUUACUGCAAGGAUCAUUGAUGAAGACGACGAUGCUACAUCACCACCACAUGCUUCAACACCUCCAAGCUCCUCUGCACCGCCAACCACCUCCAACGACCCUGCUGCUCCUGGAAACGAGUAGAAAACUCUAUGUCCUCAAACCUUUUUGGUCAUUACUGACAAAAGGGGGAGAAGCAUAUGAUGUUUAUAGUCUUUAAGUGGGUCAAUAUGGGCGGGUGCCUUAUGUUUUGUUAUAUUUUUCUUCAUGUUUACAACUCUUGUUUUUGCUUCAUUUGGUUCUUUGAGUUGUAAACACUAAAACUCGAUGGUCGUCUGCUACUUGUUUGCCACUCUGUUUGCGAAGAUAAAUUCCGCAUGUGCGACGAUAAAUUUCGCACUUAUCUCAUUCUGCAGACGUCCAUUUUCCAUUAUGCAUGUCAUUAUCUUCAUAUACUUUCACAUGCAUAGUGGAUUGUAAUCAUAAGCUGAAGUGGAUCUCCACAAGUACAACCUGCCAUGUGCAUUUGCAUUCCAAAAGCAAAUUAACUUAUAUGCACAUCUUCAGGGGGAGCCCUUGCAACUUAUGAAGACAAUUCCCUAUCCUUUACAAACUUCACACUUUAUAUUCCCCGUUGAAAACUUCAACUAGUUUGUCAUCAAUCACCAAAAAGGGGGAGAUUGUAAGUGCAUCUAGUGCCACCCCUAGUUGGUUUUGGAGUAUUGACGACAAACCUAGUUGAGGGACUAAUGUGUUUGUGAGAAUUGCAGGAAAACACAGGUAAAAGUCCCUCAUUUAUUCAGUUUUACUACUAGAGAUGACCCCUAAAAAUGUAUGACGACAUUGAAGACAAAGGUGGUAUAUGAAGAUAUUCACAUUGAAGACUAUGACAAAAGAAGACAUGUUAUGAAGCAUAUGGAGCUCGAAGACUUAGAUCUUUCGUAGUUCUUUUUCUUUUGUGUUGAGUCAUAGGAACCACCGUACUGUUAAGUGGGGUCCAGGAGAACCAGUCAGAAUGACUGAAGUGAUGCCUAAAUCAAAAACCUAUGUCUUCGAGUGAAGACAAUGAAAGCGAAUCUUGUCCAGAGCCGGACAAGUCAGCUUUGCUUGUAGCCCAAGUAAAGUUGCCAUGAGAGUUCGAAAUCUGACCAUUGAGACACGUGUCAGUUCCUUAGUGACCCAGGGUCAUUUCGGACAAAUCAGGUCGGGUUGCCAAGUGGCUAUAAAUAGCCCACCCCCUAUAACCAUAAACGGUCGGCUGCUCAGAUUUCAGUGCACGACUUUUGUCGUUUGAGAGCAACCCACCUCGAAGCCUUUGAGAGAAAAUUCCUAGCGAGGAGAAAAGCCCUAACCACCCAGAGCCAGAGUAAAUUGGGCAUCACUUAAGUCUUCUUGUCUGUGUGAUCUGAAGACUUAUUACACUUGAGGACUGUGAAUCCUCCAGACGGUUAGGCGUCGCGUUUAGAGCAUCCAAGAGACAUUGUGGAUUGCCAGUGAACGAAGUCUGUGAAGGUUUGGGAGUCUACCUUGAAGACUUACCAAAGUGAUUGGGCGAGGACUAAGUGACCUUAGCUCAAGGAGAAUACGGUGAGGACUUGGUGUCCUGAACUGGGUGUUCAGGACUGGGUGUCCGGGACUGUGUGUCCUAAGGUUUAAAUACCUAGCCGCUCCAACCAAACGUACAGUUGUCACAGCAACUGGAACUGGUCCAACAUAUCAUUGUCUUCAACGAGUCACUGGUUUCAUCUUCACUUCCUUUUCUUACUGUUACUCAUUGUGAAGCCAUUGCAUGCUUGCUUUAUCUUUUGUCUUCACAACGUGAAUGUAUGAUCUGUUUGGCUUCAUAACUUCUUCCUACCUGAUCCUUAUUACACUACAGCUAUUUGUCAUUGUGCUUUCACUCUAUUGAAUACCUGACCAUGGCUGGCCUAGUGUAAUCUAACUUCCGCUGCAUAGUAAUAGGCAUAAUCUUUGCUGGUUGUCUUCAUAACUCCCACGUUUUGAAGACUUUCAUAAAAAUCGCCUAUUCACCCCCCCUCUAGUCGAUAUAACGCACUUUCAAUGACUAAGACUCCGUUCUCCAGAACAAUGGAGCGAGCAACAGACUUAUUAGAAAUAAUACAUACUGAUGUAUGCGGUCCGAUGAGUGUUGAUGCUCGCGGUGGGUAUCAUUAUUUUCUAACCUUCACAGAUGAUUUGAGCAGAUAUGGGUAUAUCUACUUGAUGAAGCAUAAGUCUGAAACUUUUGAAAAGUUCAAAGAAUUUCAGAGUGAAGUGGAAAAUCAUCGUAACAAGAAAAUUAAGUUUCUACGAUCUGAUCGUGGAGGUGAAUAUUUGAGUUAUGAGUUUGGUCUUCAUUUGAAACUAUGUGAAUUAGUUUCGCAACUCAUGCCACCUGGAACACCACAGCGUAAUGGUGUGUCCGAACAUCAUAACCGCACUUUAUUAGAUAUGGUGCGAUCUAUGAUGUCUCUUACUGAUUUACCACUAUUGUUUUGGGGUUAUGCUUUGGAGAUGGAUGCAUUCACGUUAAAUAGGGCACCAUCGAAAUCCGUUGAGACGACACCAUAUGAACUGUGGUUUGGGAAGAAACCCAAAUUGUAGUUUCUUAAAGUUUAGGGCUGCGAUGCUUAUGUGAAAAAGCUUCAACCAGAUAAGCUCGAACCCAAAUCGGAGAAAUGUGUCUUUAUAGGAUACCCGAAGGAGACUAUUGGGUACACCUUCUAUCACAGAUCCGAAGGCAAGUUCUCUCGAAAGAAGUGAGUGGGAGGAAAGUAGAACUUGAUGAGGUAACUGUACCUUCUCCCUUAUUGGAAAGUAGUUCAUCACAGAAAUCAGUUCCACUGAGUCCUACACCAAUUAGUGAGGAAGCUAAUGAUGAUGAUCAUGAAACUUCUGAUCAAGUUACUACCGAACCUCGUAGGUUAACCAAAGUAAGAUCCGCACCAGAGUGGUACGGUAAUCCUGUUCUGGAAGUCAUGUAACAUGACCAUGACGAACCUACGAACUAUGAGGAAGCGAUGAUGAGCCCAGAUUGCACAAAAUGGCUUGAGGCCGUCAAAUCUGAGAUGGGAUCCAUGUAUGAGAACGAAGUAUGGACUUUGGUUGACUUGCCCGAUGAUCGGAACACCAUAGAGAAUAAAUGGAUCUUCAAGAAGAAGACUGACACUUACGGUAACAUUACUGUCUACAAAGCCCGACUUGUUGCGACAGGUUUUUGACAAGUUCAAGGAGUUGACUACAAUGAGACCUUCUCACUCGUAGCGAAGCUUAAGUCUAUCCGAAUCAUGUUAGCAAUUGCCGCAUUUUAUGAUUAUGAAAUAUGGCAAAUGGAUGUCAUAAUUGCAUUCGUUAAUGGAUAUCUCAAAGAAGAGUUGUAUAUGAUGGAACCAGAAGGUUUUGUCGAUCCUAAAGGUGCUAACAAAGUGUGCAAACUCCAGCGAUCCAUUUAUGGACUGGUGCAGGCCUCUCGAAGUUGGAAUAUAUGCUUUGAUAGUGUGAUCAAAGCAUAUGGUUUUGUAUAGACUUUUGGAGAAGCCUGUAUUUACAUGAAAGUGAGUGGAAGCCUCUCUCAAGGAGGGAGACAUAGAGAUUUGCAAGAUACAUACGGAUCUGAAUGUUGCAGACCCGAUGACUAAGCCUCUCUCAUGAGCAAAUCAUGAUCAACACCAAUACUCCAUGGGUGUUAGAAUCAUUACUAUGUAAUCUAGAUUAUUGACUGUAGUGCAAGUGGGAGACCGAAGGAAAUAUUCCCUAGAGGCAAUAAUAAAGUUGUUAUUUAUAUUUUCAUAUAUCAUGAUAAAUGUUUAUUAUUCAUGCUAGAAUUGUAUUAACUGGAAACUUAGUACAUGUGUGAAUACAUAGACAAACAGAGUGUCCCUAGUAUGCCUCUACUUGACUAGCUCGUUAAUCAAAGAUGGUUAAGUUUCCUAGCCAUAGACAUGUGUUGUCGUUUGAUGAACGAGAUCACAUCAUUAGAGAAUGAUGUGAUGGACAAGACCCAUCCGUUAGCUUAGCAUAAUGAUCGUUUAGUUUUUCUGCUAUUGCUUUCUUCAUGACAUAUACAUGUUCCUCAGACUAUGAGAUUAUGCAACUCCCGAAUACCGAAGGAACAACUUGUGUACUAUCAAAUGUCACAACAUAACUAGGUGAUUAUAAAGAUGCUCUACAGGUGUCUCCGAUGGUGUUUGUUGAGUUGGCAUAGAUCGAGAAUAGGAUUUGUCACUCCGUGUUUUGGAGAUGUAUCUCUGGGCCCUCUCGAUAAUGCUCAUCACUAUAAGCCUUGCAAGCAAAGUGACUAAUGAGUUAGUUGCGGGAUGAUGCAUUACUGAACGAGUAAAGAGACUUGCUGGUAACAAGAUUGAACUCGGUAUGAUGAUACCGACGAUCGAAUCUCAGGCACGUAACAUACCAAUGACAAAGGGAACAACGUAUGCUGUUAUGCGGUUUGAUAGAUAAAGAUCUUUGUAGAAUAUGAAGGAACCAAUAUGAGCGUCUAGGUUCUGCUAUUCGUUAUUGUCCGGAGAUGGGUCUCGUUCAUUUCUACAUAGUUCUCGAACCUGUAGGGUCCGCACGCUUAACGUCCGAUGACAAUUUGUAUUAUGAGUUAUGUGAUUUGAUAUACUGAAGGUUGUUCGGAGUCCCGGAUGAGAUCACAUACAUGACAAGGAGUCUCAAAAUGGUUGAGACAUGAAUAUUGACAAUUGGACCAUGCUAUUCGGACACCGAAAGCGUUCUGGAUAGUUUCGGAUAAAACUAGAGUGCCGGAAGGGUUAUUGGAACCCCCCGGGGAAGUAAUGGGCCUUAGUGGGCCUUAGGGGAGAGAGUGGGCACCACCUAGGAGGUGGUGCCUAUCGGAUCACGGGUUCCAGCAAAACCCGUAAGGUUCAAACUCUGGGGUGCGUGCGAAGACCUCCACCCCCCUAUCGAUCCGCGUCCUAACUUAACCUAGAUCUCACGAACUAACUCGACGAACUCGCAACACAAAGGACACAAGAUUUAUACUGGUUUGGGCCACCGUUGUGGUGUAAUACCCUAGUCCUGUGUGGUGGUGGUGGAUUGCCUCUUGGGCUGAGGAUGAACGGUACAUGGGGAAGAACAACCUCCUUAGGUUGAGGUGUUCUUGUGCUUGGUGCACUUGUGGGGCUGGGGGUGACCUUGGAUCCUCUCCCUCCCUAUGGUGGUGGCUAGUCCUAUUUAUAGGGGCCGUGGUCCUGUCCCCAAAUAUUGAGCGGGAAGGGAUCCAACAACGGCCAAUUUGAAAGGGGACAGCUAGUACAAGCUAUCCUGACUAAAGGUGGUCUUCGCCUGCCAAAGUUUCUGGCGGUGACGCCGUCCUGGGCUCCAUGGUGACCUCCGUCUUGUCGUCCUUCUGGUCUUGGUCCCGUUGCACCAAUAUGGAAACCUUUGCUUGAUGCCUCGGUACUCCGUGCCUGUGCUUGCCCCCUUAGCACUAAAGGGGAAACAAGGACGCUUCGCGUGCUGGCGCCCGCCUGGUCUCGAUCAUCAUAGCUUACGUCACGGAAACAUCACGAGGUUUGCCCAACCUUGAACUCUCCGCCCCUCACGAACCGGCAUAAUGAGGCUGCUCCUAAGGAGGUCUGGUGUCAUCCGCCUUGCGAGGCUUGGCCCCUCGCGUGGGUCUUGCUUCCUUGUUGAUGAAGAUGGGUCGUACAGGCCUACCAACAGAGCCACGCCAUGGGCCGCAGGCAGGCAACUCUGGGGACCCCCGUUCCCAGAACACCGACACUAGCCCCCAGGCCCAAGGCGUGCUCGGGCUUGGCUUCGAGGCGAGGCCAAGAGUCAAGCACGGAGCGCCACGGGCCCCAAUAGCCUGCGGCCUCGGUCGACACGUGGCGGUUGAUUGGAUGUGGGCGUCUCCGCUUCCGCACGCUGCCUUGAUACCUGCCUGGCUAAACGGCCACCGCGGUCUACAUGGUUAUUCUUCCAUCGCUUGCGACAUUCUCUUCCAAUUUGUCUGCUUCCCCCAGACUCUGCUCCUCUUUCCUAUCUGACCUUAGCUCUGCUUGCCCCAUCGCCAUGGCACCGACCCAAGCGGAUAAAGGGAAGAAGCCUCUAUCUUCGGCUAGCGCGCCCCCGGCCGCCGAGCCUGCAGUAGGUCGAUCGCGGGUGCUCAAUGAUGAGGCCAUGGGCAAGGUGCGUCUCAUGCUCGCAUCCAGCUUCAAUGAGUGGGGAGAGAUGGUGGCUUGGCCUUCUUCCCGUCGCAUUGAUCAGACGGCCUCUGAGGUCCCCUUCUUCAUCGGCGCCCUCUGGGCCGGCUUGGUCCCUCCUUUCUCUGCCUUCCUCAACGCAGUGCUUUCCCAUUACCAGAUCCACAUGCUGCACCUUGAUCCCCAAUCCAUGACCCUGCUUGCCGUCUUCGCCUUCGUUUGUGACCCUGCGCUCCUUUCGUGGCUCUUGUCCGCCACUUCUUCUUGCUGCACCUGAUUGAUCCUAGGCAGAGUUCCGGGUGCCUGAGCUUUCAGGCCGUGGCGGCGACGGCCAGCGAUGGGAUUGACUUCGAGCUUCCACCAUCCGCGAGCGGGUUCCGGACACGGUGGGUGUUUGUUGACGCCGCAGUGAUCAGCCCCCUGCUCUCUUCUCCGUCUGAGCCCGCCAUUCCUAACUCCGGCUGGUGCCACCGGAGGCUCGCCGAUCCAUGCCUUGUCCCCAUCUGGCUGAGGUUGAGAUGGCUCAAGGACCUUGGCGUGACUGCGCCUAUAGUGGUGAGGGAGUUCGUCCGGUGCCGAAUUGCUCCGCUUCAGCGCCACUCCCGGCCGAUGUGGGCCUUGCUCAGCAGCCAGGACCACAUGAGACUUCAGGAGUCUAAGCUCCCCCAUGAGGCGCGGCGAACGGUGUUUGAGGUCCUGACGGGCGUCCCAUUCCCGGACGACUUGCCGAGGAAGAGUUGUGUUUUGUACUGCUGCUCGAACAAGAUGUCCUUCGCGGAGCAGAUGCCCUCCUUCGACGAGUGGGGGUUGCACCCAGCUGGCCUCGUGGGGCCCCACGAGAACCCCAUCAUCAUGGUUCCUUUCCUCGACACUGGCACAGAAAUCGCCCCAAGUGUUGGUGCAGGGGGCGUGCACCGCUGGGGGCCGAUAGUGAAGGUGCCGAGAUGUGGAUGCCAUGUAGGGAUCCUAAAGCGUCGACCUCGGGGUCCCGUGACUCUUGCCCUAGGGCGGCUAUUGAAGGGGCGGUGCAGCCCGCAUCUCCCGCGGCCGGGGCUCCUGACGCCUCGGCAAGUCACUGUGAGGUAGAGCCGGCCAGCUCUCCUCAUCCUAGUGCUUCUGAGGCUGCCCCUCCGAGCACUUCUCCAACCGCGCCUCGCGUCGGCCUCCAUGUUCAGCGCUUCGGCCGGCUGUGCGUGGACUUCACAGAACUCCGCAAGAGAAAGGGGUCCCCAAGCUGCGGCAGCGGUACCUUCGGGCCAUUGAAAUGGAGGAAGUAUAUCGCCGUUGACGAGUAAGUACCUUAUCUUGGUGAUCUUCUAUGUGCCGCUUUCCUUCCUGAUGAACAUCCCCUCAGGACCCCUUCUGACAAGGCCGUAAAAUCUCCUAAGAAGUAGCUCCCUCUCGUCCUGUUGCACACGCCAUGCUCGAGCGCCACAGGCUCGUGCGCCGCCCACGAUGCUGGGUCCACUGCGGGAGUUGGCCCGUCAUCAUGGCAUCUUGAGCUCGCGCCUUCGACGUCCUUCCUUCGCGGCCUGGCUUGGAUCACGGCAAGUGUGCCAAGGGCUCCUCCCCUAAUCACUGCCGGCGGCUGGCUGGCUUCGAUCCUGGGGUCUUCUUCAAGCAGCGGGCCCCGUUUAGUUUGGGCCCCUCACGAGACCCAGUCGGUGCCUGGGGCAGCACCAGCCCCCUGCCCCCUGCUGAGAGGGGACGUACUGUGUCGGGUGUCACCCACAGCCCCCGUAGCGGAGGGCGAGAUGAGCCAUGCACUCGAGUUCGAGCACGGGCGGAGUGUUGUUCGUCAUGAGCUCUUCCAGGAGGCGAUGGGCGCAAUGAACCGACUCGGUGAAGAACUUGAGGGUGUCGAUGCGUGCCUCGAGGCCGAGGGUCUUCGGUUGGCGGAGGAGUGGCACAAGCUGCAGGUGGCCAUCAACCUCGGGCUCCACCAGCGCGAGCUGGACAACAGGAAGGUCGAGGCUUCUCUUGUAGCCUCCCGUGAGGCCUGCUCACGAGCUCUGGAGGAGGCUCGGGAAGUUGACCGCCAACGCGAGGCCGCGGAGAAAUGUGCGUGGGAGCUCCAAUCCUGGAGCGCUUUCUUGGAUCAGUAGGUGGAGGCGCGCAGGGCUGCUCUUGCGUGAUUGAGGGGGUCGCCUGCCGAGGAGGAAGAGAUCCGGAAGUGCGAGGAGGUGCUCGCGCUGGAAGCCGUGGAGCGUAGCCUUGAACUCGAACGGCUAGAGAUGAGGUAGCGCCAGGUUCCUCAGGCGGAGGACGACGUCGGCACGCGCGAGGUCAGGGCCCAAGAGGAGAUCGACCAGCGUAUGGCCGAGGCUCACACGGAUCUCGAGAGAAGGCAGAACAUGAAGCUGAAGCUCUUGGAAGCUGGGGCUGCUGGUAGGACUGCCGCCCUCAAGUCCCGGCUGGUCGAGGUGGAGCGGCGCGAGGAGGCCACUACAUCAGCUCUGUCCUCGGCACAGGCUGAGCUGGUUUUAUCCCGCGCCGAUCUGCUCUCUCUUCGGCAGCGGGUCGCCGAUGCCGAGUCUGUCGCGCGGCAGAACAGGGAUGAAGUGCUUGAGCGGCAGACAUUGGAGCGUGUGCACGCCCCCAUGCUCGAGGACCUCAGGAACAGGACCAACACCGCCCUGGGCCAUAUCUGCGAUGAGAAUGCUCCUCAUCCCCAAGAAAACGACUACGCCAGCCACCUCCGCUUCUUUGGGGAUGUGCUGAUGCGCCUGCAAAACCGUUCCGAGAGGGCUCGCCAACUUGUUGAGGAGAGGAGUCGCAGUCUGCUCAGUCGCGCGUUCUCCCACGUCUUCAGCCACCUCUGGAACAUCGACCCCAACUUCGAUUUUGACGCCGCCAUUGCUCCCUUACCGGAAGCCAUCCGGGGCGAUCUGGCGCGAUGGGUUGAAGACAAUGUGGAUGUGCUGGUCAGGGCCUUCGCUUCUGACGACGACGAGGUAGUGGUCAUGGUAGGCGAAGGCGUGGUGGUUGACGACGGCGACGCCGGUGCCGGUGAAGGUGGAGGAAACGCCAACGAUGGCCACAGCGACGCCAACGAUGGCACCAGCGACGCCAGCAGUGCAUCAGAAGAUGAUAUGGGAGACGCGGUGAGCGACAUAUCCGGCUGGUUCCUCGUUCCCCUGCUGUUUACCCUAUAAAAACUUGGGCGUGGCCCCGAAAGAUUGUAAGAGCAUUUUGAGAGGGGGAUCCCCUCAUGUAAACAACCGUAGCUUUUAUCCUUCUGUGUCAAAUUGAGUACGCGUCUUCACGAGCUUACGCAUGUCGGGGCAAGGUUGUUGUUGCGGUUUACCUUAGCUUGGACGAGCCCAAAACCGGCCUGAGAGAUUGCAGGUUUUUGAGGAGCUCCUGAGGAGUUCGUCGACAUGCCUGAGGGGGGCGACAAGGCAUGCAGUGCCACGUAAGCUGGCAGGCUGCUAAGAUGGCAUGGUGGUAGGGUCUUCACGAAGAUCUGCAUGCCACCACAUAAGUACUUGCUGGGUUGGCCUAGAGGCCGCGCGUCGCCACACAGGUGCCUGCCUAGCUGGUUGGGCUGGCGACUGCAUGGGAACAGCGGUGGGGACUUGGCAGAGGUGGGCCUGGCUAUGGCCCCGCAGGUGUCCUCGGCAAGGGUCUUGCCGGGGCCCCGGCAAGGGUCUUGUCGUGGCAUCGCGGUCGUCCCCAGCAAGGAUCUUGCCGUUGAUUUCCUUGGCACGGAUUUGGUCAAGGAUCGUCAUCUUCUGGUCCUCAUCCGAUCUUGUGUGCUUAUGAUCUUCCAAAGAUCUGUAUGCCACCAUGGAGGUGCCUCCCGAGCCUUGGUUCCAAUGUGGUUGAUGGUGUUGGAACCCUUGGGCUCAAGGGUGGCGCGCUCUGUUGGCAUUGGGCAAGUUUCCCCGGCAAGGCUCUUGUCGGGGCUGCGGAGGCCGCCCCGGCAAGGGCCUUGCCGGGGGAGUCCACCUCGCCAUCUUCUCUUUGUGUCUCUGGUCUUGGCGUUGUUCUGGUUGCCUUGUGCUUUUGCUCCCUCUGCCCCACUAGGUAUGGUCGUACGCGUGGCUCUAACUGUCCGCGCAAAAGUAAAGGGGUACAAAAGUGAGCCCCUACUUUUGUGCACCGACACAAUGCAUGAUCAUGUAGUUGACAUCGUAUUUGUGGCGAAGCCACCGAUCAUCCUAUUUUUUAUACAUGUCACUCUUGAUUCAUUGCACAUCCCGGUACACCAUGGGAGGCAUUCAUAUAGUCAUAUUUUGUUCUAGUAUCGAGUUGUAAUUUUUGAGUUGUAAGUAAAUAAAAGUGUGAUAAUCUUCAUUAUUAGAGCAUUGUCCCAUGUGAGGAAAUAAAAAAAGGGGAGAGAAAGGCCAAAUAAAAAAAGAAUGCCCAAAAAAUGAGAGAAAAAGAGAGAAGGGACAAUGUUACUAUCCUUUUGCCACACUUGUGCUUCAAAGUAGCACCAUGAUCUUCAUGAUAGAGAGUCUCCUAUAUUGUCACUUUCAUAUACUAGUGGGAAUUUUCCAUUAUAGAACUUGGCUUGUGUAUUCCAACGAUGAGCUUCCUUAAAAUGCCCUAGGUCUUCAUGAGCAACCAAGUUGGAUGCACACCCACUUAGUUUUUUUGAGCUUUCAUAAACUUAUAGCUCUAGUGCAUCCGUUGCAUGGCAAUCCCUACUCACUCACAUUUAUAUCUAUUGAUGGGCAUCUCCAUAGCCCGUUGAUAUGCCUAGUUGAUGUGAGACUAUAUCCUUCUUUUGUCUUCUCCACAACCACCUUCUAUUCCACCUAUAGUGCUAUGCCCAUGGCUCACACUCAUGUAUUGCGUGAAGAUUGAAAAAGUUUGAGAACAUAAAAAGUAUGAAACAAUUGCUUGGCUUGUCAUCAGGGUUGUGCAUAAUUUGAAUAUUUUAUGUGAUGAAGAUGGAGCAUAGCCAGACUAUAUGAUUUUGUAGGGAUAAGCUUUCUUUGGCCAUGUUAUUUUGAGAAGACAUAAUUAUUUUGUUAGUAUGCUUGAUGUAUUAUUGUUUUUAUGUCAAUAUUAAACUAUUGUUUUGAAUCAUACGGAUCUGAACAUUCACGCCACAAUAAAGAGAAUUACAAGGAUAAAUACUAGGUAGCAUUCCACAUCAAAAAUUCUAUUUUUAUCAUUUACGUACUCGAGGACGAGCAGAAAUUAAGCUUGGGGAUGCCUGAUACGUCUCCAACGUAUCUAUAAUUUUUGACUGUUCCAUGCUAUUAUAUUAUCUGUUUUGGACGUUUUACAUGCAUUAAGAUGCUAUUUUAUAGGAUUUUUGGGACUAACCAAUUAACCUAGAGCACAAUGCCAGUUUCUAUUUUUUCCUUGUUUUAGAGUUUCGCAGAAAAGGAAUACCAAACGGAGUCCAAACAGAAUGAAACUUUGGCGAUGAUUUUUCUUGGACCAGAAGACAUGCAGAGGACUUGGAGUGCACGUCAGGGGAGCCACGAGGCGGCCACAAGGACGGAGGGCGCGUCCAGGGGGGUAGGGCGCGCCCCACCCUUUUGGGCCCCUCGUGACUCCACCAACCUAUUUCUUCCGCCUAUAUAUUCUCAAAUACCCCAAAACCUUCCAGGGGAGCCACGAAACCACAGUUCCACCGCCGCAACUUUCUGUACCCGUGAGAUCCCAUCUAGGGGCCUUUUCCAGUGUUCUGCCGGAGGGGGAUUCGAUCACGGAGGGCUUCUACAUCAACACCAUUGCCUCUCCGAUGAAGCGUGAAUAGUUUACCACAGACCUACAGGUCCAUAGCUAGUAGCUAGAUGGCUUCUUCUCUCUCUUUGAUUCUCAAUACCAUGUUCUCGUCAAUGUUCUUGGAGAUCUAUUCGAUGUAAUACUUUUUUGCUGUGUGUUUGCUGAGAUCCAAUGAAUUGUGGAUUUAUGAUCAGCUUAUCUAUGAAUAUUAUUUUAAUCUCCUCUGAAUUCUUAUAUGCAUGAUUUGAUAUCUUUGCAAGUCUCUUCAAACUAUCAAAUUGGUUUGGCCAACUAGAUUGGUUUUUCUUGCAAUGGGAGAAAUGCUUACCUUUGGGUUCAAACUUGCGGUGCUCGAUCCUAGUAACAUAAGGGGAACCGAUACGUAUUGUAUUGCUGCCAUCGAGGAUAACAAGAUGGGGUUUCCAUCGUAUUGCUUGAGUUAAUUUCGCUACAUCAUGUCAUGUUAUUUAAUGCAUUACUCUGUUCUUAUGAACUUAAUACUCUAGAUGCAUGCAGGACUCGGUCGAUGUGUGGAGUAGUAGUAGUAGAUGCAGAAUCAUUUCGGUCUACUUGAUACGGACGUGAUGCCUAUAUUCAUGAUCAUUGCCUUAGAUAUCAUCAUAACUUUGCGCUUUUUUCUAUCAAUUGCUCGACAGUAAUUUGUUCACCCACCAUAAUAUUUUCUAUCUUGAGAGAAGCCUCUAGUGAAACCAAUGGCCCUCGGGUCUAUUCUCCAUCAUAUAAUCUUCUAUUUUCCAUCAUAUAAGUUUCCGAUCUAGAAUUUUAGUUUCCUAUUUACUUUCUUUGCAAUCUUUUACUUUCCGAUCUAUAAACCAAAAAUACCAAAAAUAUUACUUUACCGUUUAUCCAUCUAUAUCAGGUCUCACUUUGAAAAUAACCAUGAAGGGAUUGACAACCCCUUUGUCGUGUUGGGUGCAAGUUGGUGUUUGUUUGUCCAUGUAUUCGGUGGCUUGUUGCAUUGUCUCCUACUGGAUUGAUACCUUGGUUCUCAAACUUGAGGGAAAUACUUACUCUACUUUGCUAUAUCACCCUUUCCCCUUCAAGGGAAAAACCAAUGCAAGCUCAAGCGGUAGCAAGAAGGCUUGCUGAAGCCUGACUAUCUACAAGGCCCUUCAUAGGCUCGAGGCUGCCACCUGAGUACAAGCUACUCAUCAACAUCGAGAUCUACAUGUUUAUUAAGCAAACAUGGGUACUAAGGUACUCAGCAAGUCUUACAUCAAAUCCUAUAAUAUAUGCAACAUUAUCAACAAGGCUAGUGGAAUUUAUGCAGCAAGCUAGCUCUGACUCUUAGCUAUUCUAUCCUUCGUAUAACAGUAGUUUGAAUAAGAGGAGAUAGCGCACAUGAGUCCACUAAUCACCACAACAAUACUCCACCGUGGAUCCUCUCCCGUAUUCCUACGAGAGGGCCAUCCACGGCACUCACACUUGUCUUGAGUCUUUUAUGGGUAACUGUUAACUUGUCUAUGAACUGCAUAAGCAGCCAAGUGGUCCAUUAUCGCAGACGCGGCUAUUCAAAUAGUUUGAUAACCCUGCUGGGGUGUACUUCUUCACACAUGUGUCCACCACUUAGCGCCUCCACACGUCAAGUGCUCGGCAUACUUCAAGCGAAAGCCGGCGAGGGUCUAGACCACGACCUAAGCAACCACAUAAGUCUCUAGUCCAGGUUUAUUGCCUAUUCGGGUUCCAUCCACAAGGAGAUCCGGCUGGUGUUUCCAGUACAACCCCAAACGCUGUGUGCAGGGUUCCCGAGGCACCAAACUGGCAUGCCGGUAUACCGUGCUAGGUACUUGCCCCAUCACACUCCACCCCAAGGAUUAGCGUUGCGCACAGCCUCCAGUAUACUAUAGACACCAGAAACUACUUGCAACUACUAGACCGAGAUCAUGGUAGUCAAUAAGUCAAGCGGGGUCAUAUUUUAGGGCCCAAUGUGUGGUAGUAGCUGGUGUUGAAUCACACACACAGAACUCAGUUCUUAGGGACGGUUCCAAUGAAACAACCCAUCAUGUACUCCUACAUGGCCUCUCAUCGAUACCUUUACCAAAACAUGUUCAACACUUCACUCUCAUUACUGGACACAACCUUUUCACUCCAAUCCAUCACCCAGAUGAAUCGGACCUAACACAACUCUAAGUAUAGCAGGCAUAGCAUGGUAGGAACACAACAUGGCUCAAUCAACUCCUACACAUGCUAGUGGGUUUCAUCUAGUUACCGGGGCAAAGACAGGUCAUGCAGAGGAAAGGGGUUCAACUACCGCAGGAAACAGCAGUUUGAAACGUUAUUGUCUUAAUGCAGUAAAAGAGAGCAAGAGCAACAAGAUGGUAUUAUAUCGAGAUGAUCAAUGGGGGUUGCUUGCCUGGAAGGGUGGUGGAAGUGUACUGCCCUUCGGUUGGAUAUAUUCACGGAUAUCCUCGGUGUAGGACCUACCACGGAGAUCACACCGGUAACACAAUCAAUACAUGGCAAUAUGAAACAAUAUGAUGCAUGCAUAUGACAUGGAAAAGUGAGUGUGUUGGGCUAAUGCAACUAAAACAAGAGGGGUUUGAGUCAAUUCAAACCAAAGGUUCAAAUUCAAACUCAAACUAUGAAUUUAUAAAGUGCGGUAUCAUGUUUUGAUCUAUACAGCAAGGUUAAGUUGCUUUGUCAUGCAUGAAACCAAUGCUAAUGGAUGGAUUGGAUUUUUCUGAUCAUUUUUCAUAUGUAAAUCUUUUCCAUCUAAGCUAUAGAUUAAUUUCUAUGAUUUUUUGAAGUUUAAACCUUUUUCUGGAUUUUUUGAUUAAUUAGAAAUAAACUAAUUCCAUAAAAGGGAAUUACCGCGUCAGCAUGAUGUCAGUGAGUCAACGGGGCGGCCCAGGUCAAACUGACCAGUGGGUCCCGCAUGUCAGUGACCAACUAAACUAACCUAAUUUAAUUAGUACUAACCUAGGUUAAUUAGCAGGGCGGCCCCACACGUCAGUGACCUAGGGGAGGUCAAACCCCUCUUCAACAGGGGCUAACACGCAGGCGCUUAGCCGUCGGUGAUAAUGGAUGUGGUGGGGCGCUUCGGGAACGGGUUGUGGUGCCCCAUUCGUAGUGCAGCUGGGCUCGUUCGAGAGCCUAGACCAGCGCGCGUCGGGCGAUGACGCCAGUCGGGCCUGAGGUGGCCAGAUGCAACGACGGGGAGCUCGGCUGCAGCGGCCGGAGCUUGUUUGCAGGCGCGGGCGGCGCUGCGGGGCAUAGGCGGGUGAGCUAGCACGCUAGGGACGGCGUGCGCGAAGCGGCGAGUGCAAAGGACACGAUGGGCGGACCAUUUGGUCACUGAAGUUGUGUCGGCGGCGAUCGCAGCCAGUGGCGCAUGCGGGUGAGAGCGGCGGUGUGGCUACGCAGUGCGGCAGCGAGAACAGAGAGGGAAAGAAGGGGCAGCAGCUCACGGCGAUCAUAGUGGAGUGGACGGUGAGCUCGAAGGUGGUCGGAGCUGAGCGCGGUGGCGACGGGGGUCUCCGGUGAUGGGCGAUGAAGGUGGGGUUAGGGAGGCAUAUCUAGGGCAUGUGAGCGCUCGUGGCUUGGCUGGCUCGGUGCAGUGGACGGCAAGGAAGCUCAUGGGCACGUCGAGGCGAUGAGCGAGCGGCGGUGGCUGUGGCUUCACGGUAGCGCGGUAGUGGCUGCAUCGGCCACGGCGAUCAGAGGGCAAGAGAGAGAGGGCAGGGGGAGAGUGAGGUGUCGGGGAGCUCGGGGCGGCACCGAGGAGGCGUUUCGACGCAUCUGCGCACUGUCCAGGCGACACAGGCGAGUAGGGAGCUGCACGGCGAGCUCGGGCGCGCGUGCCCUGUCCCCCUCUGCCUACUGGAAGAGGUAGGGAGUGACUGGCACCAGGCCAGGUGGGUCGGCCCAGUUCAGGUAAGUUGUCUAGGGGCCUUCUCCCUCUGCCUUUUCUGUUUUUCUGUUUUAUUUUCUGUCUUUCUUUCUGGUUUAGCACAAAUGCCAAACCUCUUUGUAAAAUGCUGAAAAUAUUUGUGGGCACUUGUGAAAUUAUUUCCAACAGCCCUCAAAUUCUUUCAAGAUUAUUUGGACAUUUAAAAUUAUUUAUAAGAUUUAAAUGUCCAACUGUAAAUACUAUAUGGAUUAGUUCAAAAAUCCAGAGUGUCCUAGAAAAAUGUGCACCAUUUUUGGUAGAGGUUCUAUUCCACUUCAAAAAUGAUGAACUUUUAUGAAGGGCGGUUUGCGUUCAUUGAAAUCAUGUUUUAGUUGAACCUGGUAUUUCCUAGGGGGUGCUGGGGUUUGUUGAUCCCCAUUUCAAGUUUAAGAAUAAUUUAAACAUGAUGCAUCACUCUAGCUAGUCCUAAUGCAAGCACUGACUAGGGUUGUGACAAGAGAAAUGGGAGAAAAUCAAGCGAAGAUAAUGCGAGUGAUCCUCCAUUAAUUAGGGCCUGGCUAAUUGAGUCAAUCCCUUAAUUCUGGCAUAUGGGAGAAAAUCAACUGAACAACGCUACUGCUCGAUCCCCAUCCAACGCUGGCAAUGCGUUUGGAUUUGUCCCAAAAAAGUUGUUGUUUGCCAGAUGCAAAUUUUGUUUAAUUUAAGCUAUUGAUAUUGGGGGGAGAUACUAUGUUAGUUUUCUAUGCAUGUUAAUCAGUACUAAGAAAUGGGAGGAGUAGAACCUUUCCACACGAAUUAUCUUUGGGCAGAUAUUAUUGCAAUAGGAGGAUUCCAACGUUUCCUAACGAACUAAGUUACGUAAUAUUUAAAUUCUAUCCAUAUAUGGUUUCCAAUUAAGGAAUUUUGUAAAUGCUAGGGAAAUUGGGAAUUUUUUUACCUAGCACUGCUUUUCCUUCCGCUACUAAGGAAUUGCCGAGCUAUAUAAAUAGGCACCUAGACCCGUAUGUUUUCCUCACCCAAUGAAAUUUAGUUCAUAGUGAUCUAGACAUGGCGAUCAAGCUUAUACCAGUAGCCUUUUUCUUGCUCAUCCUGGCCUUUGCUGAGUCCAGCGACAGGGGCGAACCUCCAUCUUCUCGUAAGUACUACUACUAGCUUUACCAAGUCGAGGGUCUCUCAUGUCUGAAUCACCUCAUAUAGUUUAUUAUUUCCUGCAGAAGAAAAUGCUUUUGAUACGAGUGCUUAUGCGGUUCAUUGGGAUCCACCUGCUGGUAAAUACUUGUGCUACCUUGUCAAGUUGCGAAAUUUGUUAAUUGUGAGUCAACACCUAAUUUGUCAGUUACUGCAAAGGGAAAUGGUUUUGGUGAAAGUGCUUAUGCGGUUCAUUGGGAUCCUCCUUCUCGUAAGUAAUUGUGCUACCUUGCCAACUCGGGAAGUUUGUUAACUGUGAAUUAACUCAUUGGUCAUUAUUUCCUAUAGAAAAAGAUGGCUUUGGUGAAAGUGCGUAUGCGGUACAUUGGGAUCCCCCUUCAAGUAAGUACUUGUGCCACCUUCCCAUGUUGAGAAUGUGUUAAUUCUGAAUAAGCUCAUAGUUUGUUAUUUGCUACAGAAGAAGGAGGUUCUGGGGCAAGUCCUUAUAAGGUGAAUUGGAGCCCAGAAGAUGCACCUUCUAGUAAGUACUUGUGAUACCUUACCAAGUCGAGAACGUGUUAGUUUUGACUGAAAUCAUGGUUUGUUAUUCCUAUAGAAGAAAAAGGUUUUGGGGCAAGUGCUUAUGCGGUACACUAGGACCCAGAUCGUCCACCAUCUGGUAAGUACUUCUCCUACCUUACCAUGUUGAGAAUGUGUUAAUCCUGAACCAAAUCAUACUUUUUUAUUACCUUUACAAGAAAAAGGUUCUGGGACAAGUUCUGACAAGGCGACUUGGAGCCCAGAAGAUGCACCUUCAUGUAAUUACUUGUGCUUUAUUAGAAAUUGAAGAAUGUGUGAGUCCUGAAUCAACUCAUGAUUCUUUAUUUCCUAUAGAAGAAAAAGGAUAUGGUUCAAGUGCUUAUAAGGUAACUUGGAGCCCAGAUGAUGCACCUUCUGGUAAGUAGCUGCGUACCUUAGGAAGUGGAGAGUUUGUUCAUUCUGAAUAAACUCAUAGUUUGUUUGUGCCCUUAGAAUAGAAAGGAUUUGGUGCAAGUGCUUAUGCAGUACAUUGGGAUCCAGAUCAUCCACCUGUUGGUAAGUACUUGUGCUACAAAUCUUAUCAACUAGAGAUUGUGUUAGUUCUAAAGCAGCUCAUUGUUUGUUAUUUCCUACAGAAAAAAACCGCGCCUGACAGCAAUAGCCAUGUGUCAUAUGAACACAUCUGAUUGGGACACGCGGUACUCUGAGCUGUUGGAUGGAGAGCGUGGCGAACCUAUUUGGCACUACAUGCCCACCAAUUACAUCAUGUUCUAUUAGAUAUAUUUAAAGUUCAUGCUCAACUAUGUAAUCUUGUUAUCUUAUCAAUAAAGCAUGUCGAGUGGAUGGAUGUUUGUUAAAAAAACUCAUCACCACCAAAAUCUGGGAGUCUUUUGACUGCUACACACCAAUAUUUUCUUUUAUUGCAUCCCACAAAACUCCAGUUUGAUUAAUUGUAAUGUUGCACUUGGGAAUUAUUAUUUUUGCAUU
RNAcentral lists this long non-coding RNA (91467 nucleotides) under Triticum aestivum (bread wheat). RNAcentral describes it as "long non-coding RNA (TAES_LNC010144)". The record is from RNAcentral. Lineage: Eukaryota; Viridiplantae; Streptophyta; Magnoliopsida; Poales; Poaceae.